RNAcentral lists this long non-coding RNA (96127 nucleotides) under Marmota monax (woodchuck). The record is from RNAcentral. Lineage: Eukaryota; Metazoa; Chordata; Mammalia; Rodentia; Sciuridae.
UCCACACAGCUCCUUUAUGUGCCUGGUUGCUUUGAUUCCCCUAUGAAUCCUGAGCAGUUGGUAUCCACAUGUGACCAGUGAGGAAUGGCAGACCUCGGAGGUAGAGUGAACCUCUCGGGUUGCAUCACUAGCUAGUGGCAGAACUGAGGUGAGAACCAGUUCCCCUUCCUCAAACCUACUCUGUUCUUAAGGGUAAUUAUUAUGAUCAUUCAAUAUGAUCAUGGGGAGUGAGCACGGGUCUAACGGCAAUUGCAGGACCAUCCCUAAUACUGGUAGGGCUUAGAACAAGCCACUCGGACAGAGCCUUUACACCACAUGCCUACAUAUUUUAGAAGUUAUAAAUCAACCCAUUACAUACAACUAUUACGUAAUAUAUUUUGAUAAAAUUUUUUAAAAAUUGUUAAAUUGCAGUUUUCAGUUGAGUGAAAGUUGGCAAAGUCUAAAGAUGAUUGAAUUUAAUGAUUACUGAAUAUAUCUGAGUAUUCCACUGAUGAGUCCAUAAUGUUUGGAGGAGAGAUAAAACUAAAUGUGCAUAAUUCAUUAAUUUUUAUGUAUUAUAAGAUUAAUUUUUUUCUUUUAUUUCUGAAAAAUGAGUAAAUAUGUUGUUAUUAUCAAUAUUUUUGCAUAGCUCAGUCUAUUGACAGCAAUACCAAACUCUAUAAACUUGAUUAGUCUUUGUAUUUAGUAGAUUUAUUGUUUUUACUAAUUUCAAGUUGGAGAAUCUUUGCUUUCUUGUAGCAAGACUUGUAAUUAUUAAUACAAAUUUUAAGUCAAAUUUUAGAAUUUUAAAUAAAAAUGAAUGUGAAAUUCAAGUUUAAAUAUCAUAUUCAGAUAUUUUAAUAGGGUUUUAUCUUUAUCACAAAGGUAUUAUGAAAUAUUUGAUCAUAUCAUACAAAUCACUGCAAUAUAAUAUGUUUAUUUUUACUAACUUAAAUACAUUUUAUAUUGUUUCUUUUGGAUUUCAUAUCUUGCCUAUAUUAAAUUUAGUUAGAAAAAAACCUGACUUUUACUUUUAAUCUUGUGGACUAACUUGGUCCAAACUCAUUCUCUCUCUUAAAUAAUUAGAAAAAAUGGGCAAAAUACCUGCAAACAAGUGUUAUAAAAGGAAAACGAAUGAAAUGAACCCAGUGAUCAAUUUGCUUUCUGCCUAGAGACAAUUUUGGUGCUGUGGUGUAGGGAGGGAGAUGCCAGUCAUACCACAGAAGUCUUGCUGAGUUGAGGAGUUUGACAUCAGAAUUCAGGGAGGCAGACUUUGCUAAGAUUGUCAAAUCAGAGUACCAGAGAAAAAAGAACUACCAGAGAAAAAAAGUAAGAUAUCUGCUUAAUUCUAGUAUUGAAUAUUAAGAUGCAAGUGAUUAGUGUAAAAAGAACAAUCUCCAAAGCUCACAAGUACUGGGAGAUGUUUGCAUUUUGAUCAGCUAGAGAGGAGAGACUUCAUUGAGCACCAAGGGCAUUCAAUAAAUACAAGAAGGGUAAGGCAUAUUAGAAGUACUAAACUAGUCCUAAAUUAAGGGCUACCCUAUGAAGCUUAAAACCAUUCUUGAAAAGAUUAGUCCACAAGUGGUUUAAGUGCUCUGAGAACAAAUAUAAUACUCACUAAAGGAAGAAAGUAAAAUCAAGCACACCACAAUGUCCAGGAUCCAGCUAGAAAUUAUUAGACACAUUAAUAAAUAGAAAAAUAGAAUUUAAAAAGAAAAAAAUCAGCCAGUUAAAAUGAUCCAGAAAUGACAGAAAAGACAAGAACUUUAAAAUAUUUGCAGAUACAUUCAAGUGUUUAAAGAAAAUAUGGGCAUAAUAAAAAUUAAAAUCCAAGAUAUGGAAAAAGUAAAAUGUAACUUUCAUGCAUGAAAAUACAAUUUUAAAUAAAAUAUUCACAUUUAAUGGGAUUAAAACAGAUUAGACAUUACAGAAGAUAACACUAGUGAAGCAGUAAGCUAUAUGUGUUAGUCUGCUCAGGCUGCCAUGACAAAGUAUCACAGACUGGUGGCUUAAACAACAGAAAUUUACUUCCUCACUAUCUGGAGGCUAGAAGUCCAAGAUCGAGUUGAUCAGUGUUGACUUUCCUGGUUUAUGCAUGGCCACCUUCUCACUGGGUUGUCAUGUGCCCUCUUCUCUGUGCACACAUACAGACAUGUCUAUGGUGUCUCUUCUUCACAUCAUAAGGACAUCAGUCUUACUGGAUUAGACUGAUUAAACUCUUAAUGAUCUCACUUAACCUUAACUUCCUCUCUAAUGUCAUAUUUCCAAAUACAGUCACAUCAGGAUUAAGGCUUCAAUGUAUAAAUUUUGGGAGGACACAAUUCAGUCCAUAACACUAUCAAAAUCAAAGUAUGAUGAGAAAAAAAAACUUAAAAGAAAAAACAUAGAGCUUCAGUGGCCCAUGGUAUUAAACAGGCAGCCUAAUAUCAGUGUAGUUAAAGUCUCAGAAAAGUAUGGGGAGAGAAUAGAAAGAAUAUUUGAAGAAAUAAUAUCUGAAACAUUUUCUAAAUGGGAUACAAACUACAACUCACAAAUUCAGGAAAGUCAAUGAAGUCCAAGCAGGAAACAUACACAACCCUUCUAAGACAUAUUAUAAUCAAAUUAUUAAAAACCAGUGAUCCAAUGAUAAAGAGAAAAUCCUAAAGGCAGCAAAAGAAAAAAAAAAACAUGUUACAUAAAGACAGUAAUAAUUUCUGCUGGCAAUAUUAGUUGAUAAAUGGUGUUAUAGUUUAGAUAUUAGGUGUCCCCCAAAAGCUCAUGUGUGAGACAAUGCAAGAAAGUAUAGAGGUGAAAUUAUUGAGCUAUGGGAAUUUUAGCCUAAUCGGUGAAUUAAUCCUUGAUAGGAAUUAACUGGGUGGUAACUGUAGGAAGGUAGGUUGUGGUGGGAGGAGGUGGGUGCCUAGGGCAUGCAUGUGGGGUAUAUAUUUGGUCCUUGAGCAGAGGUUUUUCUCUCUCUCUGCUUCCUGGAGUCAUGUCCCGAGCUGCUUUCCUCUGCCACACUCUUCUGCCAGAUGUUCUGUUUCACCUUGGGCCCAGAGUAACAGAAUUGGGCACCUAUGGACUGAGACCUCUGAAACUAUGAGCACCAAAUAAAUUUGUCAUCCUCUAAAAUUUUCUCAUCAGAUCUUUUUGGUCACAGCAGUGAAAAAGCUGUCUAAAAGAAAUGAUUAAAGCUUAAGAGGCACAGGAUAUUAGUACUAUCUCAAUGUGCUUUCCUCAAAAUAAAUAUUUAUUAAAGUAAAAGUAACUUUCUGGCAGAGAUGCAGGGACAAUCCUCUUUAACAAAGUAACCAAGGUUAACAUAAGCAAUGAGACACCUCAACAUUGUGAACCCCUGAGAGGAUGUGCUGAGAAGGGCUUUCUUCCUAGUAAUGCAAAACUUCAAUCCAGUUGUGAGACAUUCCAGAAGCCCCAAAUGAAGGCCAUUCAAUAAAGUAAUUGACCAGCGCUUACAAAGUCUCAAGGUCAAGAUUAAUGAAUGACAAGCCAAGGCUGAGGAACUGGCACAGAUUGGUUGAGAUCAAGAAAAUACAACAACUAAGCAGCCCAGAUUAGUUUCUAGAACAUAAAUAGGGCAUUAGUGAAAAGUACUGAGUACUAAUAAAGCCUGUAGUUUAGUUAAUAGUAUCACAACAAUAUUAUUUUUAAAAAGAUUUUGACACUUGUACUAAGGUUAUGUGAAAUAUUAACCUUAGGAGAUGUGGGUGAAGGAUAAGCGGGAAAUCUUUGUGUUAUUAUUUGCUAGCAUUCUGGAAGUCUAAAUUAAGCUAAAAAAAAGUUAAAAAUAAUUUCUUCAUAACACAAAACGUUUUAAUAUGCAGAUGGCUUUACUGGUGAUUUCUACAAAAAAAUUUUAAGAAAGAAAUAAUACUAAUCUUGUACAAAAAUCUUCUUUAGAGGAAGAGAGGAUACUUUCCAAUUCCUUUUAUGAGCCCAACAUUACUCUACAUCCUAAAUAUUAAAAGAAAAUCCAAGAUUAAUAUCCCUCAUGAAUAUAGAUUCAAAAUACUGGCAAAACAUUAUCAAAUAAUAUCCAGUAAUAUCCUGUGUUUUUCCCAGGAAUGUAAGUUUGGUUUAACAUCUGAAAUUCAGUUAUGUAAUAAAAUGAUAUUAAUAAAGAAGAAAACAAUGUUAUCUCAAUAGACAGAAAGCAUUUGAAAAUAUGAAACAUUCAUUUAUAAUAUGAUUUCUCAAAAACUAGGAAUGAAAAGGAACUUCUUAAUUUGGUAAAGAUUAUUUACAGUAAAACCUAUAAUUGACCUCAACUUAGGGUUGAGAAUGAUCCUUUUUCCCUAUGUUUAAGAUAUCCAUUUUCACCAGUUCUGUUUAAUAACAUGCUGUCCUUGACAGUCAAUAAAGCAAGAGAAGAAAAGGCACUAAGAUUGAAAAGGAAGAAGUAAAACUAUUAUUCGUUGAUGACAUGAUUAUACGUGUAGAAAAUCUCAAGGAGACAAAAAGCUACUUUAUGUUUUCUAUUUCUAUCGUGAUCUCAAUCUAUCAUCAUUGUCAAUGAUUUAUUCUACAUGAUUAAAAAUAAAAUGCAGUGGUAUUCAAAGUAUAUAGAGUUUGGAUAUUUUGCCAAUAAAUAUAAAAAUAAAAAUGAAUGCUGUUCCUAUGUUUUUCAAAAAGAUACUCAGGUCAAAAGGCUAAAAACAAAUUAUACUAAAUAUACAUGAAGCCUUAAAAAUACUUAAGGCUGAAAUUUUAAGUAAGGAUAUUUAAAGAUUUUUUAAUGAAAAUAAAACUAUUAAAAAUUCUAAUAGUCAGCGGGCAUCUGGUUGCCCAUGGACACUUUUCACACUUCCCUCAUACCUCAUCUAGAUCUGCCUAUGUACAUGCUUCUAAGCAAGUGAAUUACUUUAGGUCGCAAAGUGUUUUUUGAUGCUGUGCACAUUGUGCUCACUUGCAAACACCUUUGGAAUUAUGGAAUUAUGGAGGCACCAUAUUUUGUGUGUGUGUGUUUGGGAUAUGUAGGGCUCUAUAGUCCAUAGGGAUCCUGGAUUGUUAUGCUUGAUGAGGAACAAAGUAAAGAAAUGGAUUAUGCCUUUCAAGGUGGAAACUGCUUGUCUCACCACAGUGUGCUCUCUGGCAGGCUCCCCUCUCCCCCAGGACUAAGGGGCAAAGUGAGCAGUGGAGGCCUCCUGAGAAGUAGCUGUCUGGGCUCUGCAGAGAACAAUCAGGCAGAAACACAGUGAAGGUUAAGACUUCUUUCAAAGCCUCUGAACUAGAUGUUUCCUAACUGUUCCUUGGCAUCUGGAGCUUAGGUGAAUGACCUUCACAGGCAGGAAAAGUGGAGUGGGGCAUAGCCCCUAACUCUCAUUUAACUUGAACCAGUGAAAUCCCAUUUAAAAAUUUUAAUUCUUUUUGUAUAUUGGACUUCAGACCGUUAUUUUGCCAAGGAAAAAUUUUUUAAAAAUUAUUUUACUAGAAUACGAGCGGAAAAAGAGAUCAGGUGCAAUUUCCUCCCUGCCACCUCAGGUCCCCUUGGUAAUUGGGAACAGUAGGGUCUCAGGAAGGACAGGGACCCGUCCAAGCUAUUGUGUAAGCCAGUGAGCUACAGGCCUGGAGCAGAAGCCAAGCGCUAAACACUGAUGGGAUAAACUGUUUAUUACUGUGUUGGUCCUAGAGAAGAUUUUUAUGAUCUCUUCAGCCUCUUGCCAGAGUUGGCCUGACCUUUGGUGGUUUCAGAGACAUUGUGUUCCUGAGGAGCCAUUAAGGGUUUGGAGGCCAUUGCCAACAUUGGAUGUCUCACGCCCUGUGUGCUCUUGUAGUUUUCAUUGCUUAUAGGUUAUCUGGUAAGAAAAUGGCACACAUCAAAUUUGAGCCUCCUUCCCUCUGUCCAUCUGUGUAACUCUCCCUCUUUGUCUUCAUUUCACAUUCACUCAGAAACCUUCAUUAGCUCCUACUGUGAACCAGUUAGCAAAGUGCAGUUGCUCAGUGACAAGGUCUGCCUUUGUCUUUAGUCUGUUUCACUGUUUUUGCCUCCACAUUUCUAAUUGUGUCUCUCAUCUACAUAUAUAUGUGCGUGUGUAUUUGUAUAUAUUCCUUUUUUUUUUUCAUUUUCAGGGUCAGUGUCACUAUUCUUUCUCUUUUCCUUCUCUCUUUCCUUUUUCGGCAUCUCUCCACCUCUUUCUCAAUUUUCGUCUUUCCUGAGGUAUCACUGUAUCUUCUCUUUCUUUUCUCCUUCUCUUAUGUUCCACCUGUCUUUAAAUCUCUUUCUUUCUCUUUUCCUCUGUGUUGUUGAGUCUGUCCCCUCAGUUUACAGAAUGUUUGUGCACAAAGUAACGGGGGUGUGGGGGUCUGCAAAGGCCUCUUGAAUUUCUGCAAUUCACCCAAAUAUAUGGGAAGACACGGAGGCCACCCCAGUUGUUAGGCAGAUUUAAUAUUUUCUCCUGCUGAUGGCUGGCUUAUGCAAGCACAGUUUGAUCCCCCUGAACAGGAGUUGGGGAACUCACUGACUUGUGGAGUGGGCGAGCAGGGAGAAGAAUUUUCUUUCAGGUUGCAAUGAGACUUGCACUACUUUUAACGUAAGUGAAAUGUCUCUUUGAGGUGUGGAUUCUAGAGGAGUCUUGAAGGAAACUGGGGCAUAUCAAACCCGAGUUUGCUUUUAUAUCCCUCAAGAUGAAAGCCAGAUUGACAAAACAGUCACUGAGUACCUCCUGUGUACCAGGCUGUCUGAUAGGGGCCAGAGACACAGACAAGAACCACAGUCUUAUAGGAACACGGUCCUGUAGAGAGUUUCCUGGGUCACAGAGAGGGUCCUGCACUUGACAAAGUGUUGAAACGAAGGGAAGCACAACAUGUCAUAAGAGUAAGUCAUUAAGCCUGGAGUGACCAGGAAAGGCUGCAUGGAGAUGGGACUACCAGACCUGGACCGUAAAGCAUGAACAUAGUUUUCCAGAGAGAAAAGGGUGAAGGACAUUUUUUUGGGAGGAAAUGGUGCAGGAGCAUAAAGCAAUUUGAGAUAAGAUGAAGCUGGAAAGUUAUGCUGGGGCUUUCAGCACUUGGAUGAGGAAUGUGCCUUUUUUCUCUGGUGGCCACAGGAGGUCAUAGAAGAGUUUUAAGCAAGAGUGUAGCAGUGGGUAGGGCAAUGUAAGGCAGUUUGCAGACUGGAGGCUUGGGAGGAGAGGCAGCGGCCCUCAAGUAGGGGAGGCUGGUGUUGGUGAAAGCCUCCUCUUGUCAAUCACUGCCUUCCCUUAGGUUUGGUUGCAUCUGCCCUGUGCACAAGAGGCUUUGUACUCACAUAGCAGGAUUUAAAAAACCCUAUCUCCUAUCAGGCCCUUGUGAGAUUUGGGGCACGGAGACAAGUAAGAUAUUGUUGACUAAAGCUCAGGAAAUAAUACCAAAAAUUGAUCAAAUCAAAAAACUUCUGCAUAGCAAAAGAAACAAUUAAAAAUGUGAAAUGAGAACCUACCAAAUGAGAGAAAAUUUUCCACUAGCUAGUUUUCUGACAGAGGAUUCAUAUCCAGGAUAUAUAAAGAACUCAAAGAAAAAUUAUCACCCAAAAAGAAACCCACUUAAUAAAUGGGUAAAUGAACCAAACAUAUAUUGCUCAAAAGAAGAAAUACAAAUGGCCAAAUAACAUGAAAAAAUGUUCAGCAUCUUUAGAGAUUAGGAAAAUGCAAAUCAGAAUUGCACUGAGAUUUCCUCUCACUCCAAUUAGAUUGAUAGUCAUCAAAAAAUAGUAACGAUAAUAAAUGCUGGAGAGGAUGCAGGGAAAAAGGAAUACUUUUACAAUGUUGGUAGGAGUGUAAAUUAGUACAACCGUUUUGCAAAUCAGUAUGGAGUUUCCUCAAAAGACUAGGAAUGGAACCACUGCAUAACCCAGUUAUCCCAGUCCUCAGUAAUUAUCCUAAAGAAUUAAAGUCAUUGUAUUAUAACAAUACAUGCAUGCCCAUGUCUAUAGCAGUACAAUUCACAAUAACCAAAUUAUGGAACCAGACUAGGUAUCUGUCAAUGGAUGAGUGAAGAAAAUGUGGCAUGUAUGUGCAAUGGAGUUUUAUUCAGCCAUAAAUACAAGUGAAAUUGUAUCAUUUGCAGGAAAGUAGAUGGAAUUUGAGAGAGCAUUAUAUUAAGCAAAAUAAGUCAAAAUCAGAAAGUCAAAGUUUGUAUAUUUUCUCUCAUAUGUGGAAGCCAGAAAGUAAAAAAGAAAAGUAAGUUAGGUGGAAAUCUCAUGAAAAAGGCAAGUAGAGCAGAGGAAAGGAAGCAGGGGAGAGAAAAGGGGACAGAAAGCUGAAAUACUGGGGAAUGAUAUUGGCCAAAUUAUAUGGUCAUAUUGUGUGCAUGUAUGACUAUGUAACAAAGAAUCUCCCUAUUAUGUAUAAUUAUAGUACACCAACUGAAAGAUAGAAAAAACAAAACUUUUUCAAUAAAUAAAUAAAAUAUACUUGGGAUCACAAAGGAAAAACAAAAGAACAACAAAAAGGGCUGGGGUUGUAGCUCAGCGGUACAGUGGUCGCCUAGCACGUGCGAGGCCUUAGGUUCAAUCCUCAGCACCACAUACAAAUAAAUAAAUAAAAUAAAGGUAUUGUUUCCAACUACAACUAAAAAAUAAAUAUUAAAAAAAAUAGAACAAUAAAAAAACAAGGUUGAGUUGGAAUCCUAAAGGAGCUUAAAACCCAGAGAGGGUACAGACACCUUGACACCUUGACAGGAAACUCCUACAUAAUCCAUUCUGUGCUAUGAUAGAGGAAAUGAUGGAACUGGGGGAGAAGGGAGUCCACAAGGGCAUCUAAUACCACAGGGAGACAGCUGGUCCCAUGGGUGGGCUUCCUGGAGGAAGUGAAGUCAGACUUGAGCAUGAAAGGGAGCUCAUAGUGUGGACCUAGACCAGUAGCACAAGAAUCAAUUGGAAAAUUGUGAGAAGUGUAAAUUUUGGGGGUCCAACCCAGACCUACUAAAUCAGAAACUCUGGGCCUCAGGAGCUAGUGAUCUGUUUGAAACAAGUCCUAUCUAUAUUGCAUGCUUGAGUUUGAGAACCACUGAUCCAGACAAGGAAGGGUGGCACUUGCUCCAGACCACAGGCCAGGAAGGUAAAGGCCCAGAAGGACAGAUGGCUGCUGAGAAGCCAUAGCCGAGUUGGAAUGACACAUGGCAUUUUUGCCAGAACGGAGUGGUUGAGAGGUGACGCUAGCAAGCCAUUGAGAUGAUAAUGGUUAUGAUAAGCUGUGUAUAUUAGACCCCUGCUGUCCGCCUCGGCCUGCUACUUUGGAGUUCUUGCGGGAUUCCCGGAGAGUUCCCAUUGGUUGGGGAAGUGCUGGAGGACAGAUUUCUGGAAGAGGGAUUUCCGGUUGGUGUGUGGUGUGUCCCCGGAGAAGGCCGGGAGUGCGGAGAAUAAAGAAGUGCCUGUUUUGAACCUACAAGGCUGUGUGGUGGCUCGGUUAUUUUGUGCCCAGCCAGACUGUGGCAAUUGGUGCCCCCCCCACUGGCACCAAGGCCAAAUUUGGGGGCCAACAGAGGUGAGGCAAAGAACCUCACCCCCCCACUGGUGCAGAGGCUUAUCCACAAGUAUGGCUGUAUGCUGGACCGGUAGUCAGUGACGGGUAAGAUCCAAUUGCAGUGGUACCAACCUAAGACAGGAGGCUGACGCCUUGAGGUCAGCUCAUGGGAUGACAGGUAAGGACCAUAUGUAGUAUUGGACAGCCUAACAGGCACGGUCCCUAAGCCAUAUGCUUGGUGUUUAAUUAAACAGAAGCGGGGAGAUGGCCAGCUGGGAGCAUUAUGCAGGCUCAUGGUGUAGAUGUGCCACAGGAAAAGCCUAGAGUCCAGCAGGGACAGAACAUGAGGAACCCUAAACGUCAAGAGAGGAAUGUGGACUCUAUCCUAUAAAGAAUGUGGAGCCUUGGAAGGGUGUUACAGAGGAGAUGACAAGCCCUGAUUUCUCAUUAGAGGUCACUUGGUGCCAGGUCCUAGGGGGCAUAUGCAAAGCUGGCCCUCAUCAGUCUGUUGAACUGAUCUGCAAAGAACUGCAAUGUCCCCUGAUCGGAGGACUUGGCGUGAGACGAGGCAGGGCAAACACACUUGCCUUUGUGCCUCCUCUGAGGUAUUGGUGGCAGCUGCCUGAAUGCAGCAUUGUGAAGCAUUCUGCUCUAGGCAAGGGAGGGGUGGGGUGCGCAGAGGCCUGGUGGCUCACAGGCUAAUAUAUUUGAGUUACUUCUGCCAGAUAAAACCAAAACAAAAAAACACAAACAAAAACAAAAACACAUGUUCUCCAGAGUCUAUUUGAUCCUAGUCUAUACCAGCUAGAAUCUAUUCAAAAUUAUGUGGCCUAGAGUCAUAUGAGGGGCAUGUAGUCUCUUCUUCAACAUUUUACCCUUGGGCUUUUCUUUGGGGUAGGACAACUAAAGCCCCCCCCCCCCCCCCCCCCCCCGCCCAGGGGACAAAAGAUGCUACAAGAGAAGAGGAAUCAACUCAUCAUUUGGCCAACAACAUCCAUAGUCACCUGCCACAUGCAGGGCUUGGCUCUCAGGAGGGAAGAGCAUGCACAGUUCAGUAAGGAAUGACAAUAUUAAAAACGCUUUUCUAUCCAAGUUCGCCUCAUGGCAUAGGAGACUGAAUGGGUACCAGCUGGGGGCCCUGGAGCAUGGCCCAGAGCAGCCCUCCUCUGGUGCAAAUGGGUUGCAAGACCUGCAUUCAUCUUUAAAAUUUAUGCAAUCUUCAAAUUCCAUCCAUUAUGUGCAACAUCUGGGGCUUGUUUUAAUGUAGAUGUUCUUGACAUCAAACAACAUUUACGUUUCUUACCAGUAAGUGAAAGGGAUGCUCCAGGUAGAUGCCCUUGUUUUUCUUACAACUCUGUACAUGAGAAUUCAUGCUGCAGGUGGGCAGAAAUGACUGUGGGGAAUGCACCACAGAAGCUGUUCGAUCUGGUUUCCAAAGGAAUCCUUUACCUUCUAGCUGUGUGAUCUUGGAGAAAUUCAUGUACUUCUCUGCGUUUCAUUUCUCUAUCUGUAAACAGGAGAAGAUAAGAGAAUGGGAAGAGAUAAGAUACAUGAAAGUGUGUGGCACAGGAUUUUGCUACAUACUAGGCGAUUCAUGUUUAUCACAACCUGCUUCAAGGAAGAAUGAAACUGUUAAAGGGUAAAUUUGGAUUUUUGGGUGACCUUUGCUAUUUGUCCUCACCAUAAGUAGUGCUGUGAGAACAUAAAAGAAGGGGGAGUCCUGGGUGGUUCCAAGGAGAAGGCACUGAAGUUGGACCUUGCAGAGUCGGGGAGUUUCAACAGGCUUAUGACUGAUCACAGUGAAGGAAGGAACCUAGGGCUGUAUGGAUUGAAUCGAGUCUGAGUCUGGAAGGCCUAGAAUGUACUAAGAAAUCUAGCUUGUAUUCAGUUGGCCUUGGGGAGCUAUUGAGGUCUUCUGAGUGAGGGCAGGGGAAUGACAUGAUAUCAGUAGGAUAUAAGCCCCCUGCGGGCAGGUAUUUUCCCACCUUUGUCCUGCUGUACCCUCUGCCUAAGCACUCUGGCAUAGAGCAGGUAUCCGAUAACUGAUAUUUAAAGUGAUGAUUGAAAUCUCGUGACAGCAGGCAUUUGGGAUGGAUUGGAGAGGGUACACCUGGCGACAAGAGGGUGGGUUCAGAAGCUGGACAAUCCUGGGGGAUCAGGCUGUGAAUGCGGUCCUGGGGGUUGGCAGAGGGGAUAGGAUAGAGGAACAGCUGCGUAGAAACCUGGGGAACACCCCCUCCACUCUCUGUCCCUCUCCUAGAGCAUCGGCCAGUUUUGGGGAAAACUUCAGGGCAGCAUAAUUCAUCCUGACAGCCGGGACCAAAUGUUUCUCCAGAGCCCCUGCUCCCCUCCCCUGCCCGUGCAGAUUGGAACACAGUGGAGGCGUGCUCCAGAGGAAACAGUCAUUUGCAUCUGAACAUGAAACAGCGUUUUCCUAAGCUGCGAGCAGGGCCCAGCUGGUGUGAGCUGGGCUCACUCACAAUUGCAGCCAGCUUGUUUCAAUUUAGGGCCGCUGGGGUGAGGGGACGGACUUCGUACGCCAGCGUCCCGCGGGAAGACACCCGGGACACACCACGCACGCGAUGCAACUGCAAGGAGCCGGCGAGCCUCGCCUUCCAGGCUGCGGAGGGGGCUUCUAGGGGAAGGAAGGUCCCCUAGCUGUUCCCAAUCCCCAGGGCGGCAGCUACUUUUGGGAGUUUAAUCAAUCCACUGGGAGCCAUAGGGCGACCUGCACGUCCUGCGGCCCUCUGGGCAAUUUGAACACCCACUCUGUGGGAAGCAUUUUGGAAUGUGCUUGCUGCAUGGCGUCCUAGGAGGCAGGUGGUGGAGGAAGAAGCAGGCGGGUUGCCAAGCCCUUCUAUUGUUCCAAGAAAAAUGAUAAAUUAAAGUUGAAAAAGUCACUGGAGUGAGAUUUAAGGGGACUCUUUGGAAAUUUUGCUUCUCUAAACCAGACUCUCUGUAUUCUUGUGGCAUCAUCCCUUAAAGUCAAGGCUGGAUACUAAUGUGUAAACAGAUCGAUAAAUGCAAAUGGAGCUGGUUCUGGCCCCUCUCACUCUUUUCUUAGCCUCCUUUCCCUCAUGUCCAUCCCUCUUUUGAUCUUCCCUCUCCUGCUUGUUACUAUCCAGACACAGUCUCCAAAGGCUUACUUGUUCCAGGACCCUCUCCACCAUCCUGCGCCCUUGCCCUACCUGACCUAUAAGGUGUUGACCAGCACAGAGGCAGGGGAUUGUGGAACCCUACUUAGACACAGGUGAGACACCCAAGGCUACCAAUAGACAAAAUGAUGAGAAACCCUUUCAAUGCAAGGAAUGGUAUUCUGGAAAUAUCUCAGGCUUAAAGCUGCAGAGCUAUCAAUAUUUUGGUUGUAUUUAUUUAUUUAUUUAGUUGCUGGUAGAUCUUUGUUUUUAUUUAUUUAUAUGUGGUGCUGAGAAUCGAACCUACUGCUUCACAUGUGCCAGGCAAGUGCACUACCGCUGAGCCAUAACCCCAGCCCCUAUCCAUACUUUUGAUACAAUAGUUUUGUAAGUUAGACUGGUGACCAAAUAGCUCUCCUGCUCCUCGAUGUUACUGCCUGUGAGUUGGGUGUAAUGAUCCUUGGCCAUAGUUGUGGCACUGACUAUGUGAGAUGAUGGGAGAAAGUGGACUGUCUGGCACACACCGAUGACAGCUGAGACUUCUGUGACACACUGUGUACUUUCCCAAGCACUUAGAUUAAUGAACCCAUUGAGCCCUCACAAUAGCCUUAAGAAGUACAAUAGCUACAGGUGCUCAGUGUUCCUAGGGCCUCCCUCCCCUAAUUCCUUUCUUCAAGGAGCCGGGAGUCUUGCAAAAAGCUCUCUGGCAACUGCUGGAACAGUCCUCUUCAUUAAUUAGGUGUUUCAUUUUACUGCCAGCCCUUUGUUUCCCCCCUGGAGAUCUGGCAGAAUUCUCAAUAAAUUGCAUUUCAAGGAAAGAAAUAGAAAAAGACAGUGAGUGGCUUCCAGGUUGGGGACUGCAGGUUUCUUUCUGCAGGGAGAACAAUUUGGCCAUUGUCCUCAUUAAUGGGACUUCCUGGGGAAGCAGCUGUGGACUUUGCUCCCCAGAUUUCUUUUCUUCCCCUUCCCUGUGGUCAGUAGCAUUUUUAUUCUUUCAUGGACCAUUCCUUAUUCCCAUAAAGGAAAUUAAAGUUUUGGUUUUGGGUUUAAAAUAGAGCUGUAGCCAGGGUUUGCUUGUAUCUAAAAAUUGGGACUGAAUGUUUUGCAAGACCUCUUGCUAACUAAGAGUUUCCUUUGGGUGAAUACUCUGGAUCUCCUUAGGCAGCUCCACACUAGCAUCUCAGAGAAAACCCAUGGCAUUGAACCCUGGAUUGAUCACACUACUUAUUCAGUUGUAUGAUGACUCAGGCUCAAAAGUUCAGUCUCUUGCUCUCUGGUUGAACAUCUAAUUCUUUACCAGCAAGACACAUUAUUUAACUUCUUUACCAUGGACAACACCUUUCAACAUCCCAGUUUCAUGGAAUGAUUGGCACUCUCAAGAAUGUGCUGAACCACAGCACAUGCUAUGCUAUACGGAAUGCCAUUUCCUCCUAGCCACGUGCCUCACCUAGUCUUCAAAUCUCAUUUCAAAUGUUGCCUGACUCAUGGAAGCUGUCUAACAUGUACAUAUAUUUCUUUGUAGGAGACAUUUGUCCUUUUUUUGGGCUGCUCAGAGCCUCCUCAGACUUAAUAUGUCUAUUUUAUGAAUCUCAAUAGAAGGCUGACUUGUCUCCCACUAGGAAAGGUGGACCGAUAAGACAAUCUCUUUCCUGGUAUCUCUUUCACCGAGGUUUUGCUAGCCAGAAGAGAUUUUAUUCAGAAGCUAGAAAGAAAUUGGAACUACUAAAGAUGAUCAAUUGCACAGGUGUAACUUUCCUCAUUUCUGCCAGUGACUAUAAGGACAUAUUAUAUUAAAACUGUAUUUCCUGCUAGAUUUAUGAGCUUUUUUUUUUGCUCUCAUUCAGAUACCUCAGUUGAUUAAGAUUCUUUAGCUAAUUGUGUGACCCCAACUUCAGUUGUAGAGGAUCUAAACCCAUAGUAGAUACGAAGGUACUGGAUUCCUAUGAUCUUCCAAUAACUCUUACCACUAGUCAAGUUGGUUCAGUGGUGUGAGGAGUACCAGCCAGCCAGCCAAGUGGCAGUCUUGACUUCAGUUCAUGGAGCCAUCGUUGUGUCCCCUAGCAGAAAUAUUCUUUCUUUGCAAACUAAGACCAGUAAACCAUCAGAGCCAAAUCUUGUACAAUUUUUGCAAAUGUGUCAUUAGAGAUAAUGGUGAAAGAAGCUCCUUUCACUGUUUGGCUCUUACACCCAAGAAUUCUGGCUAUUGGAAAAUGUCAUUGAAUAUGAACUGGUAGUUCAAACAAACAUGGCAUCAUGUAGCACAGUAUUUCAACUUUGAAAGUAUUGUCAUCUAGAAAGCACCAUAUAACUAAGUUUAAUAGAUCAUUCCACUAUUCUCGUAGACUAUCUGUGUUUGAAGUUCAUAGUAAGACUCAUGGUCAUAAGCCCACUGACUCACUUAUUGCUUGUAAAAUUAGUCCUUGGUCUGAAGCAAUAUAUGUGAGGUUCCAUGAUGGAGAAUAAGGUAUACUUAUGCUAUCACCCAUAGAUGGUGUUGUUUCUAGAAACACUGUUGGCAGGGAUGUCAACAGACAUGUAGGAAUCUGUUCCAGUGAGGAUGAAUCAUUACUCUCUACAGGAUUUGAAGGUCUGAUCCUAGUGUCUGAGUGAUCACUAGCAAUGAUGCCACACUCUAGGCUCAGCUUUUGAGGUUUGCUGGUGAUGGGUUAGAUGCUUGCUCCUGUAGGUUCAGUAACAUAGACUUCUCACCAAAGUGGAUCUGGCUAUAACAUUGCCAACCUUCUCUGUGACUGUGACCAUUUUGUUCAUGAACCUAUUGAGUAAGUGUGAAGGGGGUCUGGGAAAGAAGCCAGAACUCUUGAUCCCCCAACUCUUGAGUGUUCCUUUGUACUGAAUUGCUUAUUGGUGAACAUCUACACAGACACAAAUAUCCUCAUGCUUUCUAACCAUUCUGAGAGAUUCACCUUAGACCUCCCUGACACCACAUUUUAGUCUUGUUCUUUCCAACUCCCUGCCCAUCUGGCCAUCUGGAUGGCCUUCUCAAUAAGUUCCAAAUCUCUCUCUACAACUCAGUGGGAAGGGGAUCUAUUUUGGCUAUUCAUAUACUCUGUAAUUUAAGACCUAAUUAAUGGAGAACCAGGAAGCCAAGAGGAUUGAUUUGUUUACUUCUCUCUACCAGCUGAAUUUCCCAUCCUAGCACUUGAGUUUUGAGAAAGGGAAGGAGGCCAAGCACAGGGAAAGCUCCAGGCGGCCCAGCAGGAGGAGAGGUGAGUCAUUUACUUCUAGAGGAAUUAGGUUGGGUAAUGUCCCAUUAAUCUGGCUUCAUCAGGAAAUGAGCUGUGUCACCUAAGUAAAUUUUCCAAUAACUGAAGCUUACCCUUUCAUGUGCCAAAACUUGACUUAAUCAUCUUGGAUGGAAGUCUUUCUAAAACUAAUUACAUGCUUCCUUGCCUGUUUCAGUGGAGGAUCCUGCCCAUAUUCUAACCUUUUCUUGAGGACAUGGGGACCAUUAAUUCACCAGGUUGUAAUUUAAGAAAAAUAAAGUGUGGUUCGCCCCAAUAAUGAAUUUUACCAGCCAUGCUGUGAAUUUGAGUUCUUCUUCCUUCUGUAAUAAUUUUGUUUUUCAUGCUCAUUGGUGACUCUAUGACAGAUAGGAAUGGGUUCUGGAAUCAGAGCUGAGUUUGAAUUCUAGCUCUGCCACACACGUUCUGGGCUCCAGUGUCCUCGUAUACAAUACGGUAUGAAUAGUCUAUCUCUGACCAGAUGUCUGGAAAUUGAUACCACUCAGUGUCAUUGGAAGGGCCAAAUACACAAGGAAAGAGAAGCUCCAGCACUGUGAAGGCCUUAGCACGUUGUCUUUGCAUAAUCAUAAACAUUGCUCCCCACUAAGUGGGUUAACUCCUGAACUAUCCCAAAUUACUGCAUCUGGUUUGUCAGGGCUCAUCUGUUCAUUGCAAGGCAAGGUUGUCACUAUCUUAUUUGCCCAAUCUCAGCCAAAUGGCAUCUAGCACAAAUGGGGAAGAGGCUAGGGACUGGGACAUGUUUUUCUCAUUAUCUGGAAGACACGCGCCAGCAUUUCAGGAGAGGUGGAGCUUCUCCUAGAGUAAGUGUUGAAUCAGUUUUUCCUGUGGAGGUCCUAGGAGAUGCAACAAUUCUCUAGACGUUGGAUCUUUAAAAUGUUGGUACGCAACUGUCAACCCCCUAUUGGAUGCCUGCCUCUAGCUUUUCUGUGUUUAAGGGGAACUGCACAUGUAUUGCGCCUCAGCUCUUGGAGAACGGGGAAGGUAUUUUCUUAUUAGUCUAGUCAUAAGCUUUCAGAGCUGCAAAUAAAAACCACAAAACUGUUCCCACCCACCCCCCUUUCCUUUUCUCAGAAGCAAACAACUAGUAAGUUCAUACAAUUGGUAAGGCAUGAACAGUAAGUGGGACUUUAGGAGUGAUGGUGUACUAUUUACAUUUCUUUUUAAAAAUUUUAAGUCUCUAGAGCCAAGACCAAAGCCACAUACUGAUAGGGCAGGGCACACCUCUAAUAGCAACUUCCUGGCAAGGAUCCUAGGAUGCCCAUCCUUCUUGUGAAAUCAAGACCUCUCUAAAGGGAAGGGAAGAGAAGGGGAGGGGAGGGGAGGGAACUGCUAUAUUUUAAGCCCCUGGUAUGAGUCAGGCUAUAUAUAUGUUGUUUCAUUUAAUGCCAACGAUAUUCCCACCUAUUGCUCACUUCUUGCAAACUUGGAGUACAGUUGGAGAGGUUGAAUAAUUUGUUCAAAUUGGCAGUUCAUACAUGAAGUAUUUUAUUUGGCAGGCAAUAGCAUGUAGGGUAGAUAUCUACCGUGAGACAUGCAGUUCCAUGUCUUUCUCCCUUCUCAUCCUACAGAAAGCUAAAAAAGGGAAAGCAAUAUGGAAACUCUAAAGUAAGCCAUGCCUUGGAGUUUUGAUAAAAACUUAAGCUGGGUAUAUCAGAGCACAGAAAUGACAGUUGUCAGUUGUCAUAACAUAUAUAUAUAUAUAUAUAUAUAUAUAUAUAUAUAUAUAUUUGGGAAAUUUACAAAUGUUUUGCCCUCCCUAUCUCCCGUGUUUCUUCCCUCCCUCUUUCCUUUCUUCUACAACAGUAGUGUGGUUAUAUCUAUUUAUGAUCUCUCUGGCUUUGCUUUUACCUCUCAAAUGGGCCUAACAAUUUGUGCAUUACUCAUGCGAAGGUUUUUGGGAGAUCAACUAAGCCACCAGAGUGAGUCCCUCUGUUAUAUGUUCUUUUAACACUCAAUGUUUGGUAAAAUUGCAAUUAAGUAAUUAUAUAUAUAUUUUUAAAGUCCUUCCUGUGGAAAGCUCAUAGGUUUUGUUCACCAUAUAUCACCAGUAUCUUCAUCAUAGGAAUCUUAAAAGAAGAACAAGGACUUGAAUCCAAGUCUCCUGACUGCUACUAGAAGAUGAGUGGAAAGUGAAAUCAAUGCUUCUAAAGCAAUAAAAAAUGAAAAGAAAAACUGGAUGGAACAGAAUAAUGCUACAAAGAUCUGUGAACCCAAGUUGCCAAGCUGAUACCAGUGCAGGCUCUACCAUGCGGUCCACACCUGCUCUAAUGGGUAGAUUGGGAAGCCUUGGUGCUGAAUGAACAGUUUUUAGUUUGCAAUACUGGGAGGUGCAAAGGGCACCACAUGUGGAGUUUAUGAGUCAUAUGCAUAAUCCCCUUGAGGUUUGUUUUAAGCUGCAUAUUUCCCUGGAAGGUGUCCAUUUUGGAAAUUGUUGGUAGUCAGAGUUCUGUCCUUGGUUCUUCCUGUCCAAGAAACAGCAUGGGUGAGGUUAAUCAGACAGUGAUGCCCAUUGCUCUCUCUGGACAAGGAGAGGACUUGUCCACUGGAGGAUUUUGUGGAGGCUAAGUUAAUGGUCUUGCUAGAUUUUGUCAAGGAAACUGGCAAAAUUCUCUGUCUUUGCACCACAUCUAUGAAAUGCUCUUGAUUUGAUAAUUUAGUCUCAACUCCAGGAGGAAGUGAAGCUGGUUUGGUGUGAUGUGCUUUGAUUAACUUCUCUCUUUUUUCCUAUGCCACAGACACCAGUUUGAUAGUCUCUUUUUUAAUUAUACUGAGGAUAGUUUUCAAAGCUGAUGUCAGUGCAGGUGCCGUCAUGCCAUCCACGCCUGCUCUAAUGGGCAGUAACUCAUAGUAAUUAGGUAACUACCAUAUGUUAGAGCUGGGCACUGGGACGCUCCUGUUAUGCAAUUUAAUUCAUUGGUACCCUGUUUUAGAGAUGAGGGGUCCCAUGUACACUGUCUGGAAGUGGAUAUUUUUGUGGUAAAUACAGACACAAAGCCUGUUUCCUUGGAGGAGUAGAGGAAUAAGGAAAAGGAAACUAGUAUCUAUUGGCAAAUAGUCCUGGACAAAUCUUGUCUCAUUUCGUGCCUAUUGCACACCUGAGGUGGCUGCUGUUAGCAUCUCCACUUUAGAUAGAAGAUAACAGAAAGGCAAAAUAACCUGACCAAAGUCAUGGAUCUGGUAAGUAGGGGCAGGUUGGGAGCUCUGGUCCAUAUUCCACAAAGCUUGUCCAUCUAAUUACCCUGUCUGUAGUGCUGCCUCACAGGACAUGUGCUGGAGAAGCUGGGGAUGUCCCACUGAGCGUCCAGGCAGACCUGGAAGCUGCAGUUGCAGGAGGGUGUGGUACCCCUCCACACCGCCCCCCCCACAAGCCCUGCGUGUCUCUGACCAGUCCGUGUCUGCUAGCUUCCUCCUAUUGUCCCCUGCAGUUUCAGAGCUUUCAAUCUUGCCUCCCUCCCUGUCUAAAAAUAAGAUUUUGUUUGCACACAGGGCAAAGGCCCUGGGACCCUCCUGAGAAAAUCCGCAGAGGAAACAGGACACGGAGUGGACUGCAGAGGCAGAGGCAUUAGCUCCCAGAGCUAGAAGUUCAGAGCGGGAAAUGGCACUUCCCUUGUGAUUUUAUGUUUAGCUGGGGUUUAAUUAAUAACCGACAAACAAGUCUAUAAUUAACUUGACUCCCCUUUCGGCCAGCCAAGGGAAUAAUAAUAACAGUCCUUUUCACGUUCCACAGUGGUGCUGGGAAGAUGGCAGGGAAACCAGGCUCUGAGCACUGAUUGCAAAGCGACAGGGGCCUGCAGUAUUCAUUUCCCUCCCCCUGCACGUUGCAUUAUCUAUACCAGAUGUUGCAUUAAAAGAAGAAUUACUAUACUUCAGGGCUCAAAUUAUAUGUGCCUGAUUUAUUGCCCUGCUUCAGUUUUAAGUGCUACCUUGCAGAACGCUGAUAAAUGAUAGCUUAUUAUUUGGGGCUGAUGAAGAUAUCAAGGGCAGGAAGGGGUUAACUCUUUCCAGGCUGGGACCAUUUGGCUGGUUGGUUUCUCUUUCUUUCUGAUCAUUUCACACACCCCCCACCCUGCCCCCCAAACUCCCACCACCAAAUAAGUGCCCUUUUGGUUGCUUUUAUUUUUAAUCUCUAAAGUGAUGUGCCCCAGGCCCUGCCUUGGCUUCAUUGUACCUCAAAGACAAUUUGAAAUGUGCCAUUCAGGAUCUGCCUCUGACUUUCCUUUCUAGCUCUCAUUGUUUUCCUAUCUACCUGCUUUGCCCUAAAGUCCUCAACAGUUUGGCUCAUGCCUACCUCCCCAGCCUUAUUUUGUGUCCGUCUGUCAUGCCUGCCCUCUUUCAGCUCGUGGCCCAUUCCAUCCGAGGAAUGGUGUGCAAGCUGCUCCCUCUGUCUGGUCCCUCUCCCCUCCAUCUUUUGUCUGGGUAACUCAUGCAUCUUGUCCCAGCACUUCCUGAUUGGCACUUCCUGACUCUUGAUGCUUAUUGGACAGUCUUUUCUCUUUAGGUUCAUGGCACCAAAGAUUUUUCCUUUCUAGCACUUCCCACACUGUAUACCUAUUUGUUACUAUGUGGGGUUAUUUGUCUGAUUCCUCUACUGCAUUACGAACACCAUGAAACAAGGGACGGAGCUUUGUGUGUUCUGAGUUCCAGAUCCGAUCACAGAGCCAGGCUCAGACACAUGGAACUUUUAUUGAGUGAGUGACGAAGCAAAUAGCCAUGCCGCUCGGCCUGCCCCUUUCCUCACACACCCUACUUGACUCCCUCUUGGUGAUUUCUGCUUCUGAAAGGAACUCUUCUUUCCCUCUUUCUGGGCCCACCUUUUCCUUCACAAAAACUGUCAUUUACUAACUUUAGGACUUUGGGAAAACUAGUACUUGACAUCUUGUGCCUCAGUUCCCUCCUAUGUACAAUGAGGAUAACAAUAAAACCAGCCUCACACAGCGUUUGUGCACAUUAAAUGAGCCAGAGGAUGAAGGUACUCAGAAAUGCACUGGCUCAUGGUAGAUCCUGCAUAAAAUAUUUCAAAGAACACAUUCCCUAUAGCCUAUGCAUUUCCUCUAACUAGACUUUAAUUUGGGCCUUUGCUCUGGCUCCAUUUCCUCUGGUCACACCCCUGUGGCUUGGACUCUGCUCUUCUCAGAACACACGACCUCAUAGUGGGCACAGGUCAACCCAAAGGAUGGAUCAGUUGGACAGGAAUGAAUUGGUGACCAGAACAGCAACAAUUCCAGAUGUGAUUCAGGUAAACCUGACUGUAGUAGCAGUCAGGGAAGCCUGUGAAGGUGACUCCCUGGAUUCCAGUGGUUCUGUUCGGUCCAAUAACCUUUACCAAACAUUGGCUGCAUUUGGAGCCCUGUGCAGAGGUGAAGGGUUCAACACUGGAUAAAAUCAAGUUUUUGCUCUUGGUAAGCUCAGGGUUCAAUAGGAGACAAAAAGGGAAUCAGGAGGUGGCAACAGAAUGGGCUGGGACCACCCAGAAUGGGCAGCCAACCUGGAUCUGGGGGAGUCACUCAAGGGAAUCAAUGCUCAAGCUGGUCCUUGGAACACAAAGUUGACUUGCCUCUGAACUGAAGAUGGUGUUUUAAGCAGAGAUAUUGACGUAAAGCAGUCCUGGAGGUGUUAGAGAACAAGGUAUUUUGGGAACAUGGUUCAUAUAAAGACUCAUUGUGGUUGGAUGAGAGAAUUCAGAAGGACUGUAGGGGGAGAGGAGAGUCCAGGACUCAGGGGACUCUGAUGUCCUGCUAGGGAGCUGGGAUGAAUCCUGUAGCUUAUGGGCAGUGAUUGAAAGCAUAGAAAGGAGACAUGCUAGGGUCACUUCCAGAUGCUAUAAUGAAGCAAACUAGGGCUCAUAAUUCUGUGAGAUGAAGAAGGCGAGCAAUGCUUCAGUGACACACAUCCAACUUGUCAUCAUCUGCAGAGGAGAUGACACAUUGUUCCCAGGGGGCAUGUGAACUCCCUGGGAUUCACCAGCCUUUUAAAACCAUGGGCAUGCAUUUACCAUCCCACUGAGAGCACCACCAGCUCUCUAGGUGUGGAUGGACCUGGCUUCUCCACUCUGUUUUAGUGGGUUUUGGGGUGUUCCAGAGUCAUGAGAGCACAAGGGAGGGUGGAGAGGAAAGAAAGUAGCUUUUGUUGAGUUCCUACUUUGUAAGAAAACUUACAUGUGCCUGGGGCAAACAUUUUCUCUUUUAACUCUUGAUAACCCUAAGAAGUAGGCAUCACCACCCCCGUUCAUAGAUGAGGACUGAGGCCUAGAAAGGCAAGGAAAAUGUGCCAGCUAGAGGCCAGGGAACUUUGAUCUCUGUACUCCUCCCAUAUGCUUGCCUUUGCUAUUUUAACUGGUUGUUAGCUUUCUUUAGCACAUGGAGUAUAGUUGGAGUAUAGUGACUCUUUGGAGUAUGUGCUAUUGCUGUACUAGACUGUGAGCUAGAUGUGAGCUUGGUUAGCACCCAACAUUGGCAUUCUGUGUGUAGCUCUCAAUAUGUUUGCUAACUGCCUAGCAUCCUCUAAAACCUACCAGCAGGCACUAGAGGGCAUUAUGGAUAUAUAUUAUGAACAUAUGAAGAGUUAUAGAUGAUUUCAUCUACACAGCUUGUCUUUCCUUCCUACCUCCCUUCCUUUCUCCCUUCUCUCCUUGCUGUCUAUCAUUCACAUAUAAAAAUCAUUAACACUUCACAUGUACUAGGCUCCAGGCUGGAGAUACUGAGGUUAAAACCCUUCUAGUUGCUCACUGUUUUUUGGCCCUCUAUGGGGGAAACACCUCAAGGGGUUAGACCCUAAGGACACAUGGAUGAUCCUUCAUUCGAUUCAGGAGUCAGGAUUCAGGGGAGCCUUCUCUGAAGGGGAAACAUCUGAGCUAGGUUAAGAAAGUGAGUUUGAAGAUUGCUGAGUGUAGAAGGGGAGAGAGCCGGGCACUCUAGGCAGAAAGGCUAGCUGAAGCAAAGCCCAGAAAAGACCAGUAAGGUCUGGGGACUGCAAACAGAUGGGUGAAGGGCAGGAGGUGGGGCUGGCAGGCCUAGAAAUGCAGGUUGAGGACUUUGAACUUCCCCAGUCUUCAGAAAAGUCUGUGGAAGGAUUUAAGCAAGUUGAAGAUGGGAGAGAGAAGAAAUUCCUUUUACGGUGUGUUUUGCCUCUUAGAAAGAUCAUUUUGGUUGUACAGGAGACUAGAAUAUGGUGCCCCAAAAUAUUAACUGUAGGAGACAGAAUCUUUCACUCUCAAAUAUGCCUCUUUGGCAUAAAGAUUAUUUUGAACUGAUAUAUAUAUAUAUAUAUAUAUAUUUCUUUUGAGUACCAGGGGAUUAUUUUUGAGAUUUUGAACUGAUUGUUUUUGAGAAACUGCAGAUACAGGAAAAGCUAUAUAAACAGAAUAGAAGUCAUUUCUUUGCAAGGGAAAUUUAUAGUUAUAAAAGAAAUCUCCACUUGGAAGGGUGUCUCCCUCUCUGUAUCAAGAAGAGAAAGAUGAUUCCAAAUCAUUAGAGAAUCAUCUGUGGAGAAGGCUUUGACUUAAAUCUGCCUACCUGUUAUGGUUUAGAUGUGAUGUGUUCCCCAUAAACUCAUGUGUGAGACAAUGCAAGAACAUUCAGAGGUGAAACCAUCAGGUUAUGAGAGUCUUAACUCAAUCAAUGAAUUAAUCCCUUGAUAGGAUUAGCUGAGCAGUAACUGAAGGCAGGCAGGGUGUGGCUGGAGGGGGUGGGUCAUGGGCCUGCCUUUGGGGUAUAUAUUUUGUAUCUGAUGAGUGGAAUCUCUCUCUCUCUACUUCCUGGUCAUCAUGUGAACUGCUUUCCUCUGCUACACUCUUUAGUCAUGAUAUUCUGCCUCAUCACGAGCCCUGAGGAAUAGAACGUGCUGUCUAUGCAUUGAAACUUCCCAAACUGGGAGCCCCAAAAUUUCUGUUACAGCAGCACAAAAGCUAUCUAAAACAAUAGCAAACCUUAUGACAUCUUAUUCUUGUUUUCCCAUUUUCCUGGGAAACCCCCAUAACCAGCCUUCCCUACACCCUUCUUUGUUUUAGGAGAUAAUGGUAUUUAAAUGCCAAUUCAAAGUUGUCUCUUUGAGAUGGAUCCAUUUCUCUGGGUCUCGCCCAUGUAUGCAUGAGCUACAUAUGUUAAUAAACUUCUGUUUGUUUAAUCUGUCUUUUUUUAAAAGGGCCCCUGGUAACUAAGAAUUAUGAAGACUGGAAAGAAAAUUAUUUUCUCUUCCCCUACAGUUUCAAGGGAAGAAGUAAAAAACUGGAGACAAAGCAGCAGAUAUUGUGAUUGGGAGAACUGAAAAUCUUUAAGGAAACAGAAUAAAUGGAUCUUGGUGCCAAGUGGAGAUGAAAGAAGCAUUAAUGAUGGCUAGGUUUGAGUGCCUGAGUAGAUGGAGGUGACGUUUGCUAGGGUGCAGAGGCAGAGUUAGGAGAAGAUGACAAGUUUGGUUUUGAACAUAGAAAUUUAAACUGCAUCCAGGUAAAAAUGUUCAGCAGCCAACUCUGUACAUGGUUUGGUGUUUAGGAAAAAUCUCUGGGCUAGAGAGAUAGUGUUUCCAAGGCACAAGUUUAAAGAUGGUGUUCAAAGUUAUGGAUUUGAAUGAAUCCCCCUAGGAAACCUUCAAACCUAGUUUUGAAGAAAGAAGAGCUGGAGGGAGAACUUUGAAAAUUUCAGCCAUUAAUAAUCAAGACCUGAAAAGUUGAGUCUAAAAGUGUGGGAGAAAAAUCCCUAUGAGAAAAACCUAAUCCCAGGGGAGAAGAGCUUUAAGAAGGUUUGGUCAACAGUGGCAAAAACUUCAGAGGUUGUAAUGUGAAAGGUCAGGUUCCAGUGCCACCUGAUGAAGCCAGUAAUGAGAGACAGGCUGAUGGGGGGAAGAAACAGCUUUAUUGGCAGCAAGCUGGUGGGCGGAAGGUGGAAGUCUUCCACUAAAAUUCAUCUUGCCAUGAGUCGCAGGUGCAGAACUUAUGUGGGAUUUCUGGGGAGUCUGACUUUAGCCAUAGCCUGGUGGGCAACAGAGUGUUCAUUAAUUUUUGUAGGAAUAAAUUCUCUUGAUGUUAGUUUGUCCACAAGUCACCAUGUGUCCCAGGUGUUCCUGGUUCCUAUAACCCCCAAUCAAGAUCACUGAUUAGAAGGUAUUACAACUGACAUUGUUCUUUGAUGUUUUCUUUAUUCUUCAUUUCAGGCAAGGCUGACUUUAUUGGUUAAUUAUUUGGAGAGUGAGGCAAAACAGAAAUAGUGAAAAACAAGCUUGUUGAUAUUAGUGAAUAACAUUGGUAAAAUAGGAGUCCCUGAGUUACUGGUGUAGAGACCCCAUUUUAGUGGUUUGAGGAAUGAUUAAGAGACAGAGAAGUAAAGGCAGCAAGUGAAGAUACUAUUGUAGGCAUCUUGAGUAUGAAGGCAAGUAGACAUUAGGAAAUAACUCUAGGAGUAUGGAAUUGAGUGAGGCAGUCUAAAUUUAAGAAAAGGAUCUGGGCCACCUUUAUGAAAGAAGAAUGAAUAAAGAGGAAGCAGCUGAAGAUCCAAGAUGGGGAGCAGACAUAGCCAGGCCCAUGGGUAGUUGGUGGAUUGCAGGGAAUGGAGGUGAUGUUCACCUGGGAGACACUUUUAUCCCAAGACACUGAAACUAAAAAGAGGCGAGUGGGGGAAAUGGGGGCGGGGAGAGAGGGAAGAAGAAGGAGGAGGAGGAUCAACUAGAAGAGGAUAUAAACUAUAAAACAAAGAGAUAAUUCCCUCAGCCAUACCUGUCUGAAGCUGGGAAUUUGUCUUGGGUUUCUGUUGCAAGUCUUUAUGGUUUGUUUUGUCUGCUCAUCUGACAUUUCAUUCAGUUUCCAAUCACCUACACACUGUGAUAUACUCACUGGUGUCUGUGACCUAUCCACCUUAGCAGAGUCAGUUCCCAUUCCCAUGUGCGAGAUCAGUCAUGUUCAGUUUAUUAUUUUGUUCUCCGCAUAAAACCCCACCUAAGGGGCCUUUCCAGAUAUUGUUAGAGAUUGAAUAAAUGGAUGAAUCCAUGCAUGCAUGGAUGACUUCUCACUCUAGAUAUCGUUCAUUCAAUCAUUUGAUAAAUAUUUACAAUCAAAUACUAUGUGUAAAGUACCAUUCAGGUAUCAGGGCCAUGAGGCUGAACUCCAUGGAAUAAUAGCACUUGGUGCCUGGAUCCUGGAGAGAGGGUGCCUGGAAAUGGCAUCUCAAAAUGGACAUCUAGCCAGAAUCCUGAGCUCUCCAGCUUGAUUAGAGUUGACUUUUAUAGUCUGAACUGAUGUUUAAUAAGUAAAAAAUAAGAAUAUUUCCAUCAGAAUCUGCUACUCUUAUGAAUCCAUGAAUGAAAGAAUCAAUCCAUAUACUAAUGGGUGAUUUCUUUCAUUCUCUUAAGACUAUUCAAAGUCAUCUAUCUUUGAACCCUUGUUUCCCAGAAAGUGUCGACCCUUAAUAAACAGCUGCUCAGUGUCAUGGGAUUUGUAAAUAGUGACAUUUUGCUGUAGAUAUCCUAAUCCCAUCUUGUUUCUUUCCAAUACCCAAACUUUCUUGGGAAAAAGAAAAUUGUGUGGCUUCUCCUCUGACUAUAAUAAGUUCCUAAGGCAAGGCACUUGACCUUUGGUUGGGGGGACCUAUUUUCAGUUGAGGAAGCUAGGUUCUCCUUCAUCCUCGUGGCCAUUCAAUUGACCUAAAGGCUUGAGAGGGCACUAUUGAAAUGACUGUCAGCGGAGGACGGCUUUGCUCGGAAUCCUGGAGCUGACUGGGACAGAUCAACAGUUGUAGCUCUCCCCUCCCCUGUUUUCUGGCUGGGCCACUCAGGAACAAAUUCCCAGCAAAGAGCACUCUUCUACUUUUGUAUAUCUCCAGAGGAAAAAGAAUCUACAUCUUUGCCAAGGUCCAGUCCUGGCGGGGGGAGUGAGGGUCCAAGGGGUCCUGAAGGAGGAGUGGCAUCUAAGAAGAGGAGUCGGGACAACAGGUUGCAAGUUACGAGCAGCCUCCAGAAGAAAUCUCUGCUGGCCCUGGAGGAACCUUUAUUUUUAUACCUUUUUAUUUACAGGUGUUUUUCAGAUAGUUAAUGGAUAGCUUCAAAGCCCGAAACUUUUUUGAUUUACAAAAUGUUCAACAGUUAAAAUCUUUUCUGACAUACAUUGAUUACCUAAGAUAUUGAGUACAUCGUUCAAAAAUAUUUUUCUGUAACCUUAGACAAUCAUGAUUAAGCUUUUAGGUUUUUACCUCAAUCACUAGGUACUAGGUGACGCAACUAGACUACAUGACUCCUGACCUAUUAUUCACUUCUAACUUUAAAUCCCAUCUAUAAUUAUUUCAUUAACCUUGAACUUUAAAGCAUACUUAUGAUUAUUGGUAAUCUUUCUUACUUCUAAACUAAAAUCCCAGUAAAACACACUUAAAGUAGUGAAAGUCUCUUAUUUUAAAGCCUACUACUCUGAAGUGCCUCUAAAAUAUAUCUAUGUUAAUUUUACAUUAUUCUAUUUUUAAUUUCCAAGGUAAUUUACCUUUUUUCAUAUGACCUAUUCAACUGCUUUCUUAAAGAACUUCCUUGAUCCUUGGUCAAAGCACACCAAUUCUUAUGUCUUUGUAAUCUUUAACUAAAGGGCAGGCUUUAUACCUCAACCCACUUGUCAUUUAUAUUAACUAUGUGUUUUCCAUUUUCAUCAUAAGUUUUUGUGUAAGGCAAAGGAGGGUCUGUUGGUGGCGGGGAAUGAUUUUUAUUAGACUCUUGUCCUCAAGGGAGAUACCAUAAGCUACAUACGGUGGUCCUUGUGCUCUUGGCACAGCAAUUGUACAGGUUAUGGCUUUAGGAUGGGGUUGGGGGGGGCUAGUGUAAAUUGUUAACCAUGGGAUAAAUAUUUCUCAUUGCUUAGGCUUGAGGAAUAACACCAUUGUUUGUAUCCUGAGAGAUAUUGAAAUGCACCUCAUUGUGUAAGGGUCCGGCAAACGACAGAGGAAGAGACCACCAAGAGACCAACUCAUGCAACAGCAAAAGGGGGUUUAUUGAGGAUCCAGUGCGCUGGGGCUCCGUGCUCACUCAAGAAGGGAGAGCGGCCCAGAGCCCCGAGCAGGGGUUGAGCAGUGCUUAAGUACACUUUUUUUGGGAGGGCAGGGACUUUACAUACAUCACAGUCCCCUUUAACAAAUCAACAUACACCACGGGAAAAUCAAACAACAAUUCUCAAACAUGAUUAGUACAUUCAUUGGCGGGAACAGGUCGGGCGGGAGUGAUAGGUCAGUCCUAAGGAGGGGGAUACAUUCAAACUGAUUGGUUUGGGCCCUGAGAUGCCUACGUGCCAAGCUGCACAGGGUCUAGGUUAUUAAACAACUAAAUGGUCAGGGGGAAUAUCUACUGGGCAUUCCCGGGAAUUGUCCUAACAGCUACAGGAAUUUCAGGUUUUGAGUGUAGCAUAGGAAUUUAACAAUACCUGGUCCUUUACAUUUUAACUCAGGCUUUGCAGCUUAGAAACUUUACAAUACCUGGUCUUUUACACUUUAACUUCAAUUUCUUUUACUCUUUCAAUUGGAAUGUCUCAAUUGUAUCCUUAGAUUCAUUCUGGGAAUUUUCCUGCAAUCUCAGGCAAUACAUACUUUUAUUAUUGAUUGACGUAUGCCCUGUUAUCCAUAUUGUAAGUAUCAUAAACAAAACACUUAACAUUCCUAAUAGUUCCGGUUUCCAGAUGGUGAGGCCCUGCCAUAGCAUCCCCCAAGCUGUGACCCUGUCAGACAGUGGGUGCAGGAAUGCCUUCACCACAUCUUGAAUACUCCUUCAUUAUGAUUUUUAAAAAUGAUAAAGGUUAGGAAAUGCUGUUACAGACUGAUUGAUGUCUCAAGGAACUGACAGUGAAGCAGUUGCUAAUAAAAAUAAAAACAAUGUUAGCAACUGAUCAUGGUGUUUACUGUGUGCUUUCCUGGUGGAUAGACAGGUUAUGGGGUCCUUGUCCAAAGAAGUUAAAACUAGGCCAGUCUGCAUGGGAUAGAGAUGGAACAGGCCUACUCAUGUCUUAACAUGGCCACCAGGACCAUGGAGCUAUAGGGGUCACUUGGAAAUGUUCUGCUAAGACUCUAUCACUCUCCAUGUGCUGCAAAAGGGAAUUAUUUUUAGUUAACACAGAAAAAGCACUCUAAACAAUAUAGAGUUAAUCAACCAAUUGGCAAAGGUCUACUAAUUAUUUACUGGGUGCUGUUUGUUAGGAAUGAUAGAGUGAUUAAAAAACUAGAGAGAAUAAUUUUGUGUGUAUGUGUCAGUUAAAACAUAAAUCAAUAAAUAAAGAAUCAAAAACAACUAGAUACUGGGUUGUACAGUUCAGAAUCAGAGGAUUAUUAAGAUUCAGAAGUGAGAGGAUGCAAGACAUGGCCACCAGGAAGCAGAGAGACUAAGAUGAGCUCACAAACUAUAUACCCCAAAGGCAUGUCCCUAGUAAUGACCCAUCUCCUCCAGUCACACCCUACCUGCCUUCAGUGACCGCCCAGUUAAUCCCAUUAAGGCAUUCAUUCACUCAUUAGGUUGAAGCUCUCAUAACCCAAUCAUUUCAUCUCUAAACUUUUUUGCAUUGACUCACACAUGAGCUUUUGGGCGAUCUGAACGAUAAUGAAGAAGUUGCUUAAGAGUCACCUUUUCUGGGAAACCCCUGGGCUGACCACUCCUCCCCAGCGCCAUUGCUCUAUCCCCAGUCAUGUGAUCUUAUGGUGCAUACACUUGCCUCCUGGUGCUCACCAUUCUGUUGACUUGCCUAUCGCAGUAAACAGACUUCCUCUGUCUAGGAGACUUCUAGAAAGUAUAAUUUGCUCUUUGGAUGAUGUUAACCAAAUACCUAUCUUCUUUGCUUCACUUUUCUUACCUGAAAUUAUGAUGAUAAUAGUAAUUUUCCAUUUGCUCCCAGAUCCAUUUUCAACUCUCUUUGCCUAGCUCUUUGUUCUGGAAGAUCAACCCCAUGAAUUGCAUUUCCAGGGCUCCCUUGUUGACUAUUUUCUGGUUGAGUUUGGUCCAUGGGAGGUACUGGCAGGAGGUUGGGCUGUGGAAAGAGAGAGGUCUGGGUUUUUUCUGUCCUUCCCCAGCACCACAUUUCUGGCAGUAUUUUGUCCAUUCAUGUCCAUGGGUGGCCCUUCCUUUGCGUGCACUGGUUUUCUCAGCUUCACUGAUGCUGCCUUCUUUCUUGCCCCUGUCCCUUCAAUAUAGUGGUGGUAACAUCCCUGGUUGUUGCUGGUGCGCGGGUGCCUCAUGGUUCCUUAUUUGUUUCCUGUGGACCUUAGUUCAUACCUAAGUCACUUUUUGCUCAAGUUUUAGUUAUAUUUCCUUUAAUUAUCUGUGGUGAACUUGACUUCCCUGAUGGAUUCAGUUCUCUAACAGGGCGGUUGUGCAGGUGCCUCAAUUUUGUUUGCUUCUUCCUACUGCAAUGGGAUCAACUGAGACUCUGUGGCCAGUCUGGGAAGGAACUUGCGGCACUGAGUACAGUUUCUUCAGGCCUGAUUCGUGGUCAGUGCCAAGCCUGUUACCUGUCCACAGUCCUGGCUGCCUUAGCUUCUGUGUUGGAGGAAUGUCUGUGCAUCUACUCUAGCAGGAAGAGCAAUGGGGUCUUAUCCUGAGAUUUAUUGCCCAACUCCAAUUUCGGAUCUCCCAUUACCUGGCUCCUUAGGGGUAAUUAAGGCUAGAGACAGAUUGGAAGAUAUAUCCUUCUUCCUGUUUGGGUAAAGUCUUGGUUUACUAGGACUGAUGUAAUAAAAUACAGCAGAUUAGGUGGUUUGACCAACAGAACUUUAUUUCUCACAAUUCUGGGGGCUGGAAUUCCAAGAUCAAGGUGCUGGCAGGUUUGGUUUCCCCUGAGGUCUCGCUCCUGAGCCUGCAGAUGGCCUCCUUCUCACUGUGUGCACAUACAGGGGAGGGGAGAAGUGGGGGAGAGAGAGGAGCGAAACUGACCUUUGGUGUCUCUUCUUGUUCUUAUAAGGACAACAGUCCUAUUGGAUUAGGGCCAACACUUAUGACUUUAUUUAACCUUAACUAUCUUAAAGGCCCCAUCUCCAAUCAUCCUCAUGUUGGUGGUUAGGGCUUCCAUAUGUGAAUUUUGGAGGAAUGUAAGUCAGUCUAUAGCAGGCAGUGAUGAAAAGAAAGAAGAAGCAGGUCAGACAUUUUAGGAAGACCAAUGCCUUCCUUCUGGCACUUUCUGUAUAGACAGAUAACUUUAGUCUCUUAUUGAUGCCCACAGAUUUGUCCCAGGCUAACUGUCAACCUUUCUGUGGGCUAAAGGAAAGGCUUUAAACCUAGAAAAUCUUAGCCUGCAUUUACAUGAUGUGCAUUUCAGGACAACUGCUUUACUUCCCUGAGCCCUCAUUACCUCCCUAGACUGGGUUGUUGGGUGAGUCAAUGCGAUAAGCUGUAAGAAUGCCCUGAGCAAACUCUGUUCCUCUAGAGACAAUUUUGGAAGAAACCAUUAGGAGAAUGUCUUCCAACUUCCAUUUCUGUCUCGUUCAUAAAUCAUUGCAACUGUCUUAAUAAUUUGUUCUUUGUCUGACAACCCCCAGCUUCUUCUCCACCAAUAAAACAAAAACAAAAACAAAACAACCCAAAACAAACAAAAAAAUAAUACAACUUCUAUCUGUAAUUCUGAACCUAGACAGGGCAGCCCCUCGAGGGGCAGGGUUCCUGGGGAUGUGGAAGCAGGCCUGCAUGUAGACCUGGUGCUGGGGCCUAGGGAUGAGUCAGGCAUUGGCUUUGCCUUCAUGGAUGCUUGGUGUGGAGCAGGAAAAUAGCUGAGACCCUGAGGAUUCAUCACAGAAAGUGUUUGAGAAAGGGGAGUGUGACUAGGAAACCAGCUCGGACUUGGAGUGGUUCCAGGCCAUUGAGGGCAGAGGCUUGAAGGGGCUUCCUAAAGAUGAUGAUGCUGAUGCAAGUGCUCGCCCUUCAUAGGUGUGGGAGUUUACCUGAAUGAGUGGUGGGUAGGGCACUCCAGCAGAGAGAACCAUGGGACAAUGAGGAACAGAAGUGAUGCCCUCGGACUUCUGGAAGAUUAGGGCUGAACCAAGAGGAUUCCUGGGAUCUAUACUGAUGGAAGGUGAAUGGAAGAAAGGUAUGGAAGUGAGAUGCCUGUGGAAGUGCUUGUCAGCAAAGCACAGCGUCCAAGGGUCUGGAGAGGAUGCCCCAGGAUGACUGGCUUGGUGGAAAUUCUCCUGGGAUCUCCCUGGCCAUCCUUUCCCAGUACUUCCUGACCUACCAUGCCUGUGGCUCUUCAGGUCUCACUGAAGGUUAAAUCUCUGGAAGAUGCUUUCAAGCUUGGUGUGUCCAGAGCCAGGGCCUGGUCAGGGGUACCCCUCUUUCUCUCAUAACCUCAUUUGAGCAAGUAUCAUCACCAAAGAUAAGAUGAAUGCUUUUCUUUAAGAACUUUACUUAUUUCUAGUUACACAAGCAAUAUGUGUAUCAUAGAAAAUUGGGGACCUAGCAAAAAGUAUCUAAGGAAAAGAAUUUAAAAAACUAACCUGAUUUCAAAGAUACCUAAUGUCAGAGAAAAUACUGUGAGCAUUUUUUUGAAUACAUAUUUCAGUUUUCUACUCAAAGUGUAUUUUGUUUGUGUUCAUAUGUAUGUUAACAUGUGUGUUCCUACAACAUGGAUAUUCAUAUAUUUGAGGCACAUAUGCUGGGAUGAAAAUGGGUUUGAUAUUAAUAGUCAUAACUCGUAUUUUAUUGGAUUUUUACCUCUACUUGGAAUUACAGGAUCGCAUCCCUAUCCCCCAUGCAAUAGCCACCUAAAUUAUUUCUAGGAUGCACUAAGAGGUUUCUCAAAGGACUUAAGAACUACUUCUUUAAUUUUUUGCACUUUCAGAACUGUGGCCCUUAUGGUAGCGUGAACUCUGAAGGCCUCCAGAAAUGUAGCUCCCUUCUGCCAGGGCCCACCACUGAACCCUUAUCUCCUGGCCAGAGCCCUGAGUCUUCCAGCAACUCCUUCCAAUCUGUUGCCCUGCACCCUUUCUCCAGGUACAGAAUCCCAGCUGUGCCCUCUGGAGCCUGUAGUGCAUCAAAGCCAUGCUGGGGAGUCUCAUUCCCUUUUGCUUAUGCUUUGAAGUAUGAGUGCCUGCUUCUGGUUUUAUGUAGCAGUGCCUUGAAAAGCUCUUUAUUGAAAAAAAUUAUGAUAGAGAAGCUUGAAUGAUGGCCAUCAUCCAUGUCUUCCUCCUGUCUCCCUUCCAGCAAGUGCCUGCUACUUGUCCCAUUGAGAGAUGCAAACGUAUCCCCUGCCCUUUGAAUCUGGGAUGGUUUUAGUGACCUACCCAGGAUGCAUCCAAAAGGAUGUUCUGAGACUUCCAAGGAUUGAUUAUGAGAAGGUUUGUCACUUCUACCUGGUCUCUUGUAUUGCUCAGUCUUGGGCUACUUCAUUUCAGAACCCAGCUACCACAUUAUGAGAAGACUCACAGAGAGUCCAUGCCUCAGUGCCCUGGUUGACAGUCCUGUCUGAGGAGACAGUUGGAACCCCUUGCACCAUCUUAGAUCAGCAGACAGUUGAGCCUUUAGAUGAUUCCAGCCCAAAUGUCACUAGAGGGCAACCAUUUAAGAGAGCCUGCUAAGCAAAGUCAGCUCACAGAACCAUGAGUGACAAUGACAAACUGGUGUUUUAAGCCAUUAAAUGUUGAGGUUAUUUGUUGCAUAUAACAGAAAAUCCUCCUUUCUCCAGGCUCAGAAAAGUCCCGAGUCCCUUUAAGCUGAGUGACAGGUACCCUGCCUUCCAGAACAACCCCACCCUCUUACUUAAGAGACUCUGUGUCUGGAGUAAGCUUGUCAGCCUGGCCUCUUCCUUCCAGAUGAUGUCUUCCUUCCCACGAUAAUUCCUCCGGAUCCAUCUCAUCAUUCCACCUGCCAUUUCUAGACAUAUUCCAAUCCCAAGGGUAAACAUGGCUUAAGCCCCAACUAGGAACUCUGUGUACAAAAAAAAAAAAAAAAAAAGGAUUUUGCUGUAUAUACAAUGGUAUGUAUUUAUUAAAUUCUUUUUUCACUAAGUGUCAUAUUGUGAUAAAUUUUUCAUGUCAUUUAAAGUCCUGCAGAAUUAGUAUUCCACCAUUUGAAUUUAUAUCAUUACUCAUUUGCCAGUUUCUGGAAACUUGCCCCAUUCUCUCUCUUUUUCCUCAAAUUGUAAAAAAAUGUUGAGCUGAAUAUCUUUGCUCAUAAAUCUUGACCCAGAUUCUUAUGGAAAUAAUCAAGCAUUCAGCAUAGGGUAUAGUUUUUUAAAAGUCACUUGAUAUAUAAUGUCACAUCAUUUUUCAGAAAGAGUGAACCAAGCUACUCACCACCAGUUAGUUUGAUAAGUAGAGAAGGUAUCUCAUUUUGAUUCUAAUUUGUAUUUCUCUCUCAGUGAUGUUUAUUAAAAAUAGUUUUUUAGUCUUUCACAUUUCUCCUGUAAUUUUCCCAUUACUAAUUAUUUUAUUAUUAUGUUAUUAUGAUUAUCAUUUUCUACUGUGUACCAAGAAAUGAACUUGACAUGAGAAAGGGAGGAAUUUUGGUGUAUAGUCCCUAGGAGCUUUGACAGUGGACCCCAUGGCUUGAGAAACAGAGUAGGCUCUAUGAGAUAAGAAGGGCACCUGGCCUGGUUAGCUUGGAUGCAUUCUUGGCUGCCUGGUGGAUCCUCAAUACACUUGCGAGAGUGACACGUGGCCUUUUGGAGAGACAAUGACUUUGGCACAAGACAGGUCAACUUUCAAGGUGGAUUCCACUUCUUACCAGUUGUAGGACCUUGUCAAGUUACUUAAUCUCUUCAGUAUCAGUUGCCUCAACUGUAUAAUGAGGAAAUGCCAUGUCCUAUGUAAGUUCAUUAUUAGCAAAGAGAUAAUAAACAAAAGCAUCUUAUAGAUGAGAUUCAUUCAGCAGUCAUCAAAUCCUGUUCCACCUCAUCAUCUUUUGAGUCUGUUUCUUCCUCCUCACUGCACUGAUACUACCUGACUUCAUCCGGCUCCUACCAUCCUGAGCUCUUUUCUGUUCCAGCCCCACCUAGGAUCCUUGUCCAAUGUCUCAUCUUUCCAAUUCAGUUUGUCACACUGUCCGAUCACCUUUCUGAAACAAAAUCGGAUCAUGUCUCUAUUUGACGGCCUUCACGAGCUCUUCGCUGUGAUUGGGGCCUGGGUACUGCUAACCUACCAGACUCAUCUCUCAUCUCCUGCUUCAUCACACUCUGUCCUCUGGCCACAGAACUGCCUAGAGUCCCUGAAAAAGUUCCCACCUUCUCAGAGUCUGGUGUCUUUGAAUAUACCAUGUGGAACCAUUUUCUCUCCUUUACACACCUUAUGGGUAACUCUUGAACUGACCCUUUGCCCAAGCUGAUGCUCCAAGCUGGACUAGUCACUCCCUUCUCCAAGGUUCCCCUGCUACAGCACGUGGCCAGGGAAGUGCAUGAUCUCCCUCCUUCACUGGCCAUGGCUUACUGAGUGCAGGAAUGACACUUUCACUUCUACAUCCCUUUUGCAGCACCUACCUAGGGUUUCUUAAUCUUGACACUCUUGGCCAGGACUGGCUGCAUAAUGUGUGGGGUUCAGGGAAAGAUGAAAAAUACUGAGUCCUUUGUUCAAAAGUUACUAGGAACUCCUACAUCCUAACAAUGGAGCAUUAAACAAAGUGCAGAGUCCUUGUGAGAGCUGGAUCAUGUUGGCAGUGCAGGUUAUGUGCCCACAAGACAAGCUCUGCUACUGACCAUUUUGGGCAGCACUAUUAUUUGUUUUAGGGACUGUCUUGUAUAUGGUAGGAUAUUUAGCACAUUCCUGGCCUCUAUCCACUAUAUUCUAGUAACAUCUGUAAUGGUGACAACCAAAAAUGUCUCCAGACAUAAAUAAUCUUGGGAGGGUGAGGGAGACAUAAUCUCCCCUGUUGAGAACCGCUGGUCUGGAAGACUGCAGGAACUUGGAGCGGUGCUUAAGUUUCCUGUGCUUUGCUAAAGGUGAGGGCAGUGGUCCAUGGGGAACCCAGCCAGCCUGAGGGAUUGUGUAAGUCAGCUUUCCGUGACUGUAACAGAAUAUUUGAGACAAUCAACUUAUAGGAGGAAAAGUUUAUUUUGGCUCAGUUUCAAAGGUUUCAGCCCAUAAUGGGGUGCCCACUGUUUGGGGGCCUGUGGCGAGAGCAUGUGGUAGAGCAAAGCAUCUGACUUCAUGAUGGCUGGGAAGCAGAGGGCCAGGAAGGGCCAAGGUCCCAUCAUGCCCUUCACAGUCAUGCCUCUGUGACCUAAAUUCCUUCCAGUAGGUGCCUCCUCCCAUUAGUGCCACAGGUUGGUGACCAAGCCUUCAACACACAGGCUUUUGGAGGACACGAAUCCAAACCAUAGCAAGGAGGCUUCCUGGAAAUGGGAUAACUCAGGGCAGGUGCCAGAGGAUAGUCAUAUUUGGCUAGAACUUGCUACCUGGCUAAGUCAGCUCACUUAGCAAGGACUCCAAGGGGUACCAAGGGAGAGGAAAUAUCCAUUAUAGCUGGGAAGCUUCGGAAACCUCCGGAUGAGUCACGGAUCUGGUGGUUUGGCAUGGGUGGGCAGAACUUCCCCAGGCUGCAAGAUUUAUAAUAAGAAAGCAGCUUUGAAGUUCUUGGAGAUUUUUCAGGGCCAGGAGUCAAAGGAGCCUUGAGGAUCACAGAGUGCUCUGGGCUCUAAAACACUGGGAAGGAUUCCUUACAAAUAGGGAUCGGGCAACUGCCCCUCCCGGUCAGGCCUAAUGGGUUGCACAUGUCCCAGCUGUGGCCCUCAGUGGAUCUGGGUACAUGGCCUGACUUAUCAUCUCCUGCAGAUCCUCCUGCCCCUGAAGCUCCCGGGGAUGCAGCAAGCAGGGCACCCCAUUUAUAUGCUGGGGAAGAAUGUGGUGGUGAUGCCAUGGCUUUGGGACUGGAGAAUCUAGGACGAGAUGGCAGGUCAUAUGUUUGGGGGCAAAUGCUGGCAAGCCAGCUGUCAGGUCAGGUGCCCUGAGCACCAUGAGCUUCCAGGACCUGUGUGGAUGAAAGGACUGUUCUUCUCCACAGGCCAGGACAACCUGGUGAACCUUGCUGCCGAUCGGCAUUCUCUAGUUCCCACAAGGACUGCUGCUUGGAGAAAGCAUCCUCCCAAGAGGAAGGGAAGGAGACUGUGAGUCAGAUGAGAUUCUGGAGAAUGUAGAUCACAUUUUCUUGAAGUCUGUGUUCUUGCCUACAGUCUCGCAUUGAGGUUUCCAAUCCUUUAUGUUUUAGCUGUGACUUGAAAAAGUUACUUAACCCCUGUGCUGCAGUUUUCUUCUUCUUCUUCUUCUUCUCCUUCUCCUCCUCCUCCUCCUCCUCCUUCUUCUUCUUCCUUCUUCUUCUUCUUCUUCUUCUUCUUCUUCUUCUUCUUCUUCUUCUUCUUCUUCUUCUUCCUCCUCCUCCCUUCUUCUUCUUCCUUCCUCCUCCUCCUCCUCCUCCUUCUUCUUUUCUUCUUCCGCAGAGCUGGGGAUCCAACCUGGGGCCUUGCCCAUGCUAGGCAAGGACUUUGCCACUGAACUACAUCCCAGUCAAGUAUUCUUACUUUAAAAUGGGUAUAGGAAGAAUAUUGAUUUUAUAGGGUUGUGAAGACAAAAUGAGAUUUUACAUGCAUCAGAGGGAUAAGCCACUUCACACAAUGGUUAGAACAUACACUAUUGUCUGUUUAAAUGUUUCUCUUGACCUUUUUUCUAGCCAGAGACUGCCUGGUGGGUGGCCCAAGAGUAAGGGCUCUCAGUUGCAGGCAAUGAAGCUCGACUGUGGAACCCCCUUCCCACAGACCCACUGGAAGGGCAUCAAAAGAUCCAGAUUCAGCAGAUGCUGGAGGAUUGACUUCAAAACCAGAGAGGAGUCAGGGGAACUUGGACUGUCAGGGAGAAAAAUGGCAAGAAACAAAUCUUAACUUUUGGAAGAUGACAGGUUUACACCAUCACCAGCGCCCUGGCCACAGAUGCUGGACCACACAGAGACUGCACAUGACCCUCCUCCUCAUUCUGCUAGGUGGGAAGGUGGGGGGGGUUCCCUCUGCCCAGUUAGCUUCCAGAGAGGGUGGGCAGCUCCUCAUUGUGGGCUUCCCUCCAGUUAAGAAGAGCCCUUGCUAGGUAGUUGUUGAGAAUUAAGGUCCCCUGUGCCUACCUCUGUGACUGCCCACCUCCACUCAAAUCCUCCUUUCUGUACUAUUCUUGUAACACACACACACACACACACACACACACACACACACACACCCAGAGCCUCUGGAUAUGGCCCCUCUCAAAGGAACAGAAAACCAAACCUAGCCAGUUACUGCAUCUAGCCUAUGCCUCCAGUUUGUUCUGAAAUCUAUGGAUUAACACAUAGACCUCACUGUUUCUAUUACCCACAUGUUUGAUAUCAGGAAGAAUGGGGAGGAAAGAAGAGGAAACUUCAGCAAAGUAUACAGAUCCUUGAUACGGCAAGGAAGAAAACACUGAAAGAAGAUGUGUUCCUCAUUUCUGCAUAACUAUUGUUUGUGGCUUCUUUUCACUAUUUCAUUCCAAUGAUUUUCUGCUUUUUGUCUUCAGCCAGUCCUUUGCUGCUCUGCCUGGUGGGUGGCCCAAGUGUUUAAUUUUGAGGGAUAUGAGCUCUUGAUAUGAGGCUGCAGAAUUUUUCCACUGACGUCUUCUACUAGAUAUGGCAGAAGUUGGAGUUGCCCAGGGGAUCCCUAAAUUCUCUGUUACUUCUCCCAUGUUCCCAUAGUCAGCAAUCUUAUUUUUCUUUCACAACCAGGAUCUAACAUGCUGGCUAGUUGGGGGACUACCCAUCUUCCUGGCCUGUCUUUCCAGUGGCAUCUGAAAUAAGCAGAUGGCUGGGUUAAACCCCAGUUUUGUUCCCCUCGUGGAAGCAAUUGUCCUCAAAGCAUAGCUUCUUCCAAAUCACUGAACUAGCAGAGCCCAGAGCAGUAGGAAUGGGAACAAGAGCUAUAGUGGGGCACAGGAACUGCAAACCUUUCUUCUACCUCUUUGUUCUGAACACUUUCUUCUUACUCUGAUGACUAGAGAACCACAAAUUAUUCCCCUGUUCAGAGUAUUUAUCACUCUGCAGGAUGGUGCCCCACCUGGUAAGGUACUAGUCAACAGGUGUGGGGACCGAUUCUUCAACAGACCCCCUCAUCACUUGGAGCACAAUAGCUCUGGCCAUGGGUGCAUUCUAAAACAAAUGAAUACCAUGCACAUAAAUCCUCUCCCUCCCUGGCUUUCUUCUUUUCUUCCCAAAAGGGACAAAGAAAGGUAUAGCUCAAUGUUUUGCUUCCUGUGUAGAUAGCCUUUCUUGAUGGUUCUUGGAUGAACUAUAUACAAGCACAGUGCUUCCAUCUUGUUCUACUAGUUGGAGGCAUUUCCCUAUGAGACUGAAAGUGUGGGUUGUUGGAGGAGAUAGAUUAGCACAUGGGUGGCUUUGGGGAGUGUGGCCACUCAGCUUGUUCCUUAAGAACCCAUGGCUUGGUCCUUGGAUGAUGGAAUGCUGCUGGGCAUGGCCAACUGUGUGGCUGGGUGGGUUGGAUAACUCCUCGUCCGUGGUGCUGAGCUUGGGGAAGUGCUCAUCUUGUGUCCCAUAUUCAGCCAUUCAGUCCCCAACAGGACUCAAUAUCAAUCCAAAUGACACUUUUUAAAAGGAGCAUAAUCAAUUGGUAGAUAGGGCUUGGAUCUGCCCUUAGAUUCCAAGGACUUUUUACUGACUUCCACUGGGAGGCUUGCCACAGGGUCACACAGCAUUCGAAUCUGGCAUAAACAUGGUGAGUACUGUUGGGUCCACUAAGUCAUUGUGGAGAAAUCAUGGACCUGAUUGCAUUAUUCUGCUUGUUAUAACAAAUACCUGAGAGAAUACAGCUUUUACAGAGGAAAGGUUUAUUUUGGCUCCUGGUUUUGGAGGUUUCUGUUCAUAGUUGCUUGGGUCUAUUGUCUUCGAUUCUCUGGUGAGGCAGAACAUCAUGGUGGGGAGUGUGUUGGGGACCAUGAUGCUCCCCUCAUGGCAGCUGGGUGGGUGCAGGGAGAUAGAGAGACAGAGAGGCCCCAAUAUUCUGUUCAAGGGCACACCCCCAGUGACCUUCCCACCUCCUAAAGGCUCCUCCAUUUUCAGAAGUGCCACCUGCUGGGGACCAAACCUUUUAGCACAUGGGUCUUUGGGGGUCAUUUCAGAUCCAAACUCUAGCAACGUCCUCUACUCAAAGUAAUCUUACAAUCAAAAUGGGCUAAGGUAGCAUGUCCAAAUAAUGUUGCCUCCAAAAUUCUGAGGCCUACCAAUUAUUGUGCUCCUUUUUACAUGGUCUGGAGUAGAAGGCACAGCAACUUAACAUUGAUUUUUGAGAAAAUGUUGGUGCUCAUGGAAUUUGCAGAAGUCAAGUCUGCAUUUCUGUAGGAUGUAUCUCCCACACCCUGGCUUGCAGGUAUUAUAUCAUGCCAAAAGCAUGAUAUAUGCUAUUUCUGUUUGGUCCUAAACUCAUGAUGCAAUUAAUGUAAUGGGUUAAAAUUCUGCUACUGGGGGUAGCUGUAUGUUCAAGGCCUUUGUGGCUUAAAUUGUGACCACAGACCAGGGGUUUUGAUAUUUCCUUAGGAAAAAACAAGUAUGUUGCUGUAUCUACCAGAUGAAAGCAAAUAUCUUCUGCUACUUGUCAGUAUAGAAAAAUUAGUCACUGUACACUCAGUCAGAUGUUAAUAGUUAACUCCAGUAAGCAGCAACUCUAGGACAUCGGAUUCUAUGAAUGAUACCAUUUAAUUCAUUUUCUCCAAAAUCAACAUCGUCUUCAACUGUCUAACAAUGAUGAUGACAUUAGUGCUCAGAAUUCCCCCACUGAGUUCUCUAGAGCCCAAUAAAUUGAUAUUCCUCUUUCUCUUUUAGUUCAAAGUUUGUUAACAGAUAGGUAGCCAUUACAUAUUAUUAAAACACUGUAUUCAUUAUUAAUAAAGCUGAUUGGAGAAUGUGGCUUUUGAUCUGAGGCCAAAUGGGUUUGCUUGAUUUCGUUCCUGAAUUCUGGCUCUCUCGUUGCCAUCGGUAUAGCAGAAACGCCACAGGUCUUAUCCUGAACCAGAACCAGCCACAGAAAAUUUAUGACACAGAGAAAAAAACACUGUGUGAUCCUUUAGGCAGAACUGGUUUGAAAAAAAAAGGAAGGGCUUGUUUAAUGGAGCAUGUUUAAUUCCUUCUCUUAAACUUGAUAAUGACGUAUGUUACACUUCUUCCCAUGGGGAAAAGUUAGUGGGCAAAAGAGGAAGAGGCCAGCAGGGUUGCUCUAAUUGCAAUGCCUCCCCAUGGAGACAUGGGCGGGGGGACCAAAUGGUCCUACCCUCCCUUUGCUCUCACUGUGACACCCCCUUGCUAGAUCAGAUUGAAUGAAUCUGACUCUUCAGCUUUGUACUGCUUGUUCUCCUGCCGCAGAGGCAUCCUGGGUUCCAUGCCUGAGCUUUGGCUUCCAAGGCAUGCCCUGAUGGAGCAUCUCUCAUCUCAGUUGUGGUAGCAAAAAGAAGAGUUCUGUGUCCACUGCUAGAAGAUACAGAGGGAGCUAGGAAUGAGUAGUUAGUUAAUAGCCCGAAGGCAAAAUGUGGUCAAGUUGCUUAACACUGGGGGUGCAUUUUGAGAAGGGCAUCAUUGGGUGACUUCCACCAUUGUGUGAACAUCAUAAAGGGUACCUACACAAGCCUGGGUGGCUUAGGUGCAUCACCUGAUGUGGCCUCUUGAUGCAUUUGAGAUGCAGUAAAUGCAAGACAUUUGAGACCACUGCUGACACGGUAACUCAACAGGCUGUUUUUCAGUAAACAUUUUUUUUUUAAAUAGGAGUACACUAUAAAAUAAUGAAUAAAGUAUUCUAAGGUAAAUACAUAAACCAAUGACACCAUUAUUUAUUAUCACGAUCAAGUAUUAUUAAGUCCUGAACAUAAUUUUCCGUGCUGUAUUUUCCGAUGAUGGGCAUGCAGUAGGCUUUAUACCAGUGCCACCACAAACAUGUGAGUAAUGCCUGUGCUAUGAUGUUAAGAUGGCGUGGGUCACUCGUGUCAGAGUUUGGAUCUGGGAUGUCCCCCAAAGCUCAUAUGUUAAAGGCUUGGGUCCCAGCAGCUGGCACUAGCCAGGCACCUUGGUACAUAUCUGUAAUUUUAGUGGCUCUGGAGGCUGAGAGGAUUGCAAGUUAAAACCAGCCUCAGCAUUUUAGCGAGGCUCUAAGCAACUUAGCAAGACCCUGUCUCAAAACGAAGAAUUAAAAAGUGCUUGGGAUGUGGCUCAGUGGUUGAGUGUUACAUGGGUUCAAUUCCUGGUUAAAAAAAAAGGUCAGCUGGUGGCCCUGUUGGAAGUGUGGAAAUUUUAGGAGGUGGGUGGGGGUUGUCACUAUUGAAAGAAGUUGGUCACUGGAGGUGUGUCCUUGAAGGGUGUAUCUCGUCCAUGGCCCUUUUCUCUCUCUCUCUGCUUCCCAAUCACCAUGAAAUGAGCAGCUGAGUUCCACUCUGUGCUCCCCACCAUGAUGUUCUGCCUCAUCAAAGGUCCAAAGCAAUGGGGCCACGGGACCAUAGACUGUAACUUCUGAACCUGUGAGCCAACAUAAAUCUUUCCUCUUUUAAAUCGAUUUUUGCCAUAAUGCUGAAACACUGACUGGGAUACAAGGUGACAGAAAAUUUUCAGCUCUGUUAUAAAUUUUAUGGGACCACUGUCAUAUAGGUGAUCCACCACCGACCCAAGGGAUUAUAAUUGCAACUGUCCUCCCCAAGAUGUGCACGUCCAAACACUCUGGAUGGGGCACCUCAUCUGUAAUAGUCAGGUUAGAUAUUGGUUCCUUCUUGGUCCUCUUUCUUUAGCACUUGGCCCACUGAUCAGCAGCCCCAUCAUCCAGCUUAAGCUCAAGAUGAGUUUCCAGAAUUCUCCUUUAGGACAUACAUUUUGACUUUGAUUUUCUGGUAUUGCAGAAAAACAAUGACUCCCCUGCCCAGCCUCCACCCAGGGCUCCAUGGAUCUCAUCAGAGCUCACACUCAGAGGAUCAGUAUUUUCCCAGCAUUUGAGUUGUGUUCUACUGAUCAUAGGGCCGAGGAUAACAGUGGAUGGAGUUCUCUAACUGCUUUCCAGAUAGGGUCUGGUUCCACCCACCAUUGUUAUUCUCUGUGCAUCUAGAUGUUACAAUGGAGGAGUAUGGGUAGAGGGGGAUUUGUGCAAGGAAACAGUCAUGAUUUCUAUCAGAGUGCCUGUGUUAAUUUCUUAGGGCUGUUCUAAUACAGUGCCACAAAUAGGUGGCUUAAGACAACAGGAUUUUAUUCUUUUAUAGUUCUGGAGGCUGGAAGUUGAAAAUCCAGCUUUGGUGUAGAGUUGGUUCCCCUUGGAAGUGCUGAGGAUCUAUCUGCCCCUACCCUGUCUCUCUCCCAGCUUUUAGUGGCUGCAGGAAUCCUUGAUGUUCUCUGGUUUACAGCUGUAUACUCCAGAUCCCUCUUCAGUCUUCUCAGUGAUACCUCUUCUCUUACAAGGAUGCAGCUAUGUUAGCUUGCCCUAUAAUCCAGUGUGACCUCACCUCUACUUGAUGAUGUGUUGCAAAGAUGUUAAUUCUAAAUAAGGGCACAUUCAGAGGCAGGGGGGUGGGGCUUAGAAUCUCUCACAUCUUUUCAUAUGUUUUUUUGUUUUUGUGAGACACAGGUUACCCCGUAGCAGUGCUAAAUUAUUAAGUGAUUUCUCCCAACUUCAUUUCCUUAAACCUAAUGCAACUUAUCUCAUCUCUAAAAUGGAGAGUACAUUUUAGAAGCAGCUCCUCUUCUAAAGUUUUCUAUCCCAAUUCUUACCACAUAGCACAAUUUUUAAAAUUCAAGAUUCUGCAGGCUAUGCUAUUAGAAAAAUGUCCUUUAGACAUAGGUGUGGUCUGCUUCAAAAAAAAAAAAAUCAAAGAAACUCUUUGAAUUCUAGCCCAGGCAGAAAUACAAAAUUCCUGAAUUGAAAUACAAAGAGUCCAGGUAGGGUAGGAAUUAACAAAUGGAAAAUCAUAUUUUUAGGGGAAAAAAAAAGAACCAAAGAAAUAAAAUGCCAUUUUUUUCCAGGUGUAUGGCCACGUUUCCAUUAAGGUAAGAAGGAUUCUUCUAAUGUAUUUGUUUCAGUUUAAUUUUUGUGUCUUCAAGGAUCUUGUUAUUUAGUAGAUGAAAAAUCCUUCAAAUUCACACAAUAGCAGUUUACUCAGUGACAUCAUGUAAUAACACAUUUGUGCCUUAACAUAACAGUGAGAGAGGAAGACGAAAGAGACUCCUGCUUUACAUGUUGGGAUACUCAGGAGGAGAGAGAUGAGUUGACUUGUCCAAGAUCAGAUGGCUGGUUAGCCAGAGAGAGGAGAACAUUAGCAGUCUGGGCAAAAUCAUAACUACUUCUUUAGGGCACAUGGUGGAGGGUGUGGGCCUUCCCGUAUUUUAGUUUAAAUUUUUUUUUCUUUCAACUUAAAUAAGAUAGAGCCAUUGCUAAAGAAAUUGCUUUGAGCCAGGACUUUGCUCAGUGCCUGGAUCCUUUGUUACUGCCCCCAUGUGAACCAAUAAUUUCAUCAGAAUUGAUACUCCCAUGAGUCUAAAGGUGGGGAUGGAGAGAGGCUUGGAUGCCAAGUCUCCCACAGGGGGCUAGGGGAGCCCGAGGGGUCAGUACAGCCUGCAGAAGUUAGGGGAUCCAUGCUGAGUCUCAAAGGACAAAGAGAAUAAACCAGGCAAGAUACGAGGUUGGGGAGGGAUGGUGUUUGCAUGCAGGGGAAAGCGCCUGGCAAGGGUAGGGAGGAGUGGGCAUCUGUGGGGCCAGAUGGGUAAGCAGCGGUCAGCUUAUGAGAAUCUUCACUAAAAAGCUGUGUCUGAGGCUUCAUUUGGGGGGAAGUCUUAGAGAGGAAAAGGGAGAGAGGAGAUUGUUUUAAACCAGGGGUUCUCAACUGGAGAUGAUUUGUCCUUUUCUCUCCUCCCUCCCCUGGGACAUCUGGCAACAUCUGACCAUGUCCUGGGGUCUUACAAUGGUGAGGAAAGAGUUGUUCCUGGCAGCCUGUGUGUAGAGGCCAAGAAUGCUGCUGAGCAUUCUACAGUGCCCAGGGCAGCUUCCUACAACCAAGAAUUAUCUGGCUAAAAUGUCAACGGGCCAGGCCUGGGGUUGUGGCUAAGUGGUAGAGCGCUCACUUAGCAUGCGCGAGGCCCUGGGUUCCAUCCUCAACACCACAUAAAAAUAAGUAAAUAAACAAAAUAAAGGUAUUGUGUCUAACCAAAAAAUAAAUAUUUUAAAAAAGAUGUCAACGGGCCAAGUUUGAGAAACCCCCUUUUAAGCAAGGGAAUGAUGUAUUUAUUUACUUAUUUUCCUGUUUUGGAAAUGUUAGCUGCUAGGUAGGAACUUUUAGGGGCAAGCACCUAGGUUUGCAGGGAAAACAAGCUGCUUCUCCCUUAAGUGACUGCUAACGUUCCUUCAAGUUGUUGUUGUUGUUGUUGUUUUUAAUUGUUUGUUUGCUUGUUUCAGAUAAGGCUUUUCUGAGAAAACCACAAGGAACUGGUUUGAACCAGCCCAAAUCAGCCAAAAUAGCUGAAUCAUUCCUCUGGGUGACCUAGAGUAAACUUUGCUCAUUAUAAUCUCGUGAUCUCUCUAAAUUCUCUUCUCCUAGGCCUUCCCCAUCCACCAUUUUUGAACAUGUGCUGUGUGAAGAAGCAUGAUCUCAAACUGAGCAUGUUCUGUGUCAUCUCUGUAUGUGAUGACAAGCUUUCCCAGUAUGAACAUCCUAAGUUUCUCCAAUAAAGUCCCCUUGCUUCCUAAGUUCCGGGAGACACUGCUUUGGGGUUAUCCCCAGUGCCCUCCUUGCUCUUUGCAAGAAAUAGCCUUUUCUUGACUCUUCUGUCUCCUGUUUGUGUUUGUGCUCUCCAAGAGACAAAUACAUGAUGUUUGUUUACAGAAAGACAAAUUAAAAGUGGCACUAAGGGAUGGGGAAUUGCUAAAUGACCCAGCUGCCUUAUUGAGUCUGACUGUUCUUCCUUCUGUACUAGAUUGAAUAUAUAGCUGCCGCAGUCUAGCUGGGCAAAUAACCGGGAGGUGGCAAGCAAAUUGAAGGUUCAAGCGGGAACUACUUUAUUGCAAGUGAACUCAGCAGGAACUGAGCGAGAACUCAAAGUAGCGGGCACCCGAGGUAGCAGUGCCGCUUUAUUGCGGGACAGCAGAGGUAUAUAUACCCAACUGAUUACACACAGCUUGACUCAAUUAACAUCAUCUAGAUACAGCAGUCAGCCAAUAAGGAAUCCUCACCAUCUUAAUGGCUCGCUGGCGUUGCUUCACAAACCACUCCUCCUGGCAAGCUGCCAAGCGCCAUCUUGACUUGAAUUGUAUCCCCAACAUAUGGCAUUUUCAUUUUCUGUUUAGUUUUUUUUUCUCUUCCCUAUUCCAUGAUUACCUAGCAGAGACCCUGGAUGUGAUCAUGAUCCUUGUGAGGGGUGUCCCCUAGAGUUACGCCUACUCUAUGCAGCAGGCUUGAGAGGAAUGAAGUCACUCCAUGAACCCUUUAAGGCUGAGUUGAACAGUAGAGUUGAAAAAAUAAUCAGCCAAGUCCUUCUUCUUAGUGUUCAUCAUGAGCCAGUGCAGGAGCUCAGAAUUUAGUGAAUGACUGAACAAAUGAAUGCAUGGUUGGGUAGUCCAAAGAAUGGGAAAACUAAUUGGAUACCAGGUGAGGCUGAAGGAGAAACUCAUCGUUAACAAUCCCAGCAAGGGAUCAUACCGAAUUUACAGAGCGCGUUGAAGUGGAAACAAACAGCCCCGUGCCAGGGUCCUGUUGGCAGCUGCUUCAGAAUCCUGGCUGCAGAGGGGCGGCUGGAGUGGAGGCCGGGUUUAGACUCUUGAAAGUUACUAGACUUUCUGGUCUCCUGGGUCCUCUGCAGUCUUAUCAGUGAAGCUUUGUCAGUGUUUCCAUCAUAAACCCUGGGUGUGGGGCUAAGUGGCCUAUAAAACCCGACUCCAGGCUAAGGCUGGCAGGCACAGAGCCUGCUAGGAUGCAAUUAGUUUGGCUCAAGGAGGCUCCGGUUGGCUUCUUCGCUUAAUUGCAAGAGUAUGACCAAGAAAUACAGAGGUUGGGUGCCCCUCUGUUUCCAAGGACAGGCACAGAAAAGCUUCUGUUGCAGGGGUAAACUGUGAGCCAAGCACCCACACCCAGCUCUGGAAAGCAGGGUCCUGAAAGGGGUGUGCCUCCAGGAGUAGGAUUACUGAGGGUAAGUGCCAAGGCAGCUCAUGUCCCUCCAGGCCUUUGUGUCCCUGUGUGUAUCUCAUAUCAUCCUGAGGGUCCACUUUGGUACCCGGGUAGUGAUGUUCCGAGGUGACUGCAGUAAAACCAAACAGUUGCUUCAAGUCACAUGUCCCUCACACUUGGGCCUUUCACUCAGUGGUGACAUUCACUCACUAUUGUGUUCAUUGCCUGUUAUUACUGCCUUGUACAGGUUGAGCAGUAGGAACCAGAGCCUGCUCUCAAUGCAGUCACUGUCCCUUACACAGCAAUGAGAUCCCACCCUUCUUAAUUUCCUCAUUUUUAAAGUUGUGAAAAUAAUACUCCAUUUAUAUCAUAGCAAUGAAAUAUAAGUGACAUAAUUUAUAAAAUCACCAUCACACUGUGUCUGGCAACAAACACCACCACCCCCAACCUCUCAAAACCCAGAAAAACAGAAGAGAGAGAAAAAGAAGACAUUCCUUAAAUAACAACUUAUGCUGUUUUUGCUACCAUAAUCGUAACAAUGUCAUAAAAUGCUUCCUUGGGGCAUGUAGACUGCUGUAAAAGCUAAGAGGAGUGAAUGUCUAAGGGUGAUGGAGGUGGGAGGGGAGGGAGGGAAGUCUUCAUAGAGGAGAUGACAGGACCGGAGGGCCUGAAAAAUAGAGGAUGAAUUUCCCAGGCAGAGAAGAGAGGGAAGGAAAUACACCCUGUUGUAAGAAAGGCUCAGCUACUGAAAGUGCAUGGACAUUUAGAGGGCAGGAGAACUGGUCACAGGGUGCAGGGUAGUGGAAGGGCUAUGGUGGGGUUGGGCUGAUGGAACAAUCCUUUCUUCUCUUGUCCUCUCUAUUCCCUUUCUCAUUUUUGCUUUCUGGGCAUUGGUGAUGCUCAGAUUCUCUAGUGCACAGCUAAACUCCAAGCUCAGUGCUGUCCCUUGGAGGCCAUGGCCUCUUCAGAGGUCCUCUUCCUCCAUCAGGGCUGCCUCUCACCUCUCAGAUCUGCUCAGCCUCUCCAUCCUGCCCCACCCCGUUCCAUUCCACCCUGCCGGAGGGCUCACUCCUGUAAAGUUCUCUUUAAAGUCUUUAUGGCUCCUCCGUGCAGCCUCCCAGUCUACCCUGCACCACACGUGGGCUUGUUAAUUCCUUUAAAGGUCCACACCUUGGAGACAUGGGCACCGAUUCCUGGGGAGCAGCUGCCUUCACUCUGCCAAAAAAGCCAAUAGAUAUCCCCUUCUCAGGAAUAGAGACCAGGGCCAAUUGCAGAAACCUGGAAGCAAACAAGGACACAGGUGUAUUUCGAACAUCUACUACUGAAGACUGUGCUGGGGACUUGUACAUUUGAAACCUGCUUUCAAAUAUGACUGUGUUGCUAAAUAUUCUGGGCAACUCCAAGGUUCCAAGUCUCGGUUUCUCAUGGGUGGGAUGGAAUGGUAAUGGUGACUUACUUUGAAGAAGUAGAGCUCUGGCUGCCUUUGAGAGUCUAAGAUGUGAAUAUCUCCUCACCUGCUCAGAUUUGGAAGAGCCUUCUGGAUAGAAUACAGAAUUCCUUCGUUGAAUUAUAACUAAAGCAGUGGAGGGUGGCGGAUAAGCUCUGGACCUGGAGUUAGAGCUAGAAGCCAGAGCUUUAUUGGCUUUGAACUUGGGAGGUUUUGAAUUGACUUCAAGGGGGAAAUCCCUGCUUACUCCCCUAUGUACCUAGGGGAGGGUGUGGUUAGGCUCCAUGAAGAAACUUGCUCAACAAUGAAGUUGGGAAAAGCUGAAGAGACAGGGAGGGCACCCCAAGAGCCUCCUCCUUCCUUACAGCCAGGCCGCUGGUUCUGUCUUCUGCCUGUUGGGGUGUCACCUGGCUAAGUGUUCCUGGUUGGCCGCUUGACAGUUAGUGUGUCCAUCUGUGGUCAAGUCUCUUAAGCCCUAAGCUGUCCUCAAGUACCAAACACCAUUCAUGUUAAUUUCUUGAGGGGCAAAUGACCUGGCACACAAUGAACACCCCAUAAAUGUUAGUUCCCUCCUCCCUCUCCCACCUUCAAAAUACCCUUUUCCCCCAAGGAACACCACCCAGCCUGGGGGCACAGCUCAAUAAAGUCCCCAUAAAAUUCAGCUUCCCUGAGCCCAGCUUUAGAAUUUACAGUGAGUUGAUUCAUCACGUUGUUUGAAUUAUGGCAAUAUGAAAAUACAGAAAACCCACAGGGAGUCAGCCUUUUCCCAUGUAUAAAAUGGGGUUACGAUCUCAUAUAAACUUUUAAAAGAGAAUACUUUAGUUUAUAUCUUCAUGCAUAGGAUUGGAAAAAGAAAAGGAAAGAACAAGAAAAGAAAAAAGUCCAGAUUGGCCCAACACUGGAAUUCAACCCACACCCUUGCCAUGGACGCCCACAGGCCCUUCCCUUACUCUUCAUUCUUCAUCUUCAGGAUUUCCACCCUGGUGUCCUUAUUGCAAUGAACUGGGCUUUUGCUGGAUUCAGAAUCCUGAUGCCUGCUCAGGAUCUGUUGGUUCAUCCAUCCUUCCCCAUCUCCAUGGUCACAGCCUGCAUCCCAGUCUCCAGCAUCCCUGCCCUGGACCAUGGACCACCUUGCAAUGGAUCACCCCAACAGAUGAGGUUGCAGUGAGGAGGCUGGUUGGGUGGGACGCUUGCUGGUGCACAUAAAUCUAUUCUAUUUUUUACCACACAGGAGUUUAAGAAGACCCUAUGAGCUCGCAGGGUGAAGUCUGAGCCCCUGAACAGUUUUUCUCGGCUUUAUACCAUCAAGACCCACCCCUACAGCUUCUCUUGUUCCUGUCCUUUGCUGUGAAUAUGGCCCUUUUCUGCUUUCUUUGCUUGGAAGACUCUUUCUCCCUUCUAAACUUCCCUGUCUCUUUGUUUACUCCCAUUCAUCUCAUAAGACUCCGGUUAUGUACAACUUCUCCUGUACUGUGAUCACCUUACCUUACCCUAUGCACCCCAAACCAGGUCAAAUCCUCUAGCUCUGGAUUACCUUACACGCAUCUGAUUCUUUACACUGGAAAGAAGUGACUGUAAAUAUGAUGAAUUUCUUUCACCUCCAAACUGUAAGCUCCACAAACGCAAUGACUAAACCUUUUUUGUUCAUCCUUAUAUGUCUGAUCUCCAUAAAGUGUCUUUACAUGGUAGGCAGUUGAAAAAAAAAAAAGACUUGAUGAGUAGCUAUGACAGACAUCUAUCUCAGUCUUGGUUCUACACCAUUGAUGUCCAAGAUCACUUCAAGGUAACUCUACCAUCAUUUGCAUCUGCAAAAACCACACUGCUCUGUGAUGUUGGUAUAAGAAUUGGAGACAAGUCUGCAAAGUGUGUAUGCUGUAACUAUUGAUUUCAAUGAAUGAACAUCUACUCCUAUUGUGAGGGUUUGGGGACAGAAGAAAAAGCAUCCUAUAACACUGAUCAUCAGUCAUGAUGAAUUAUUCAACACCAGCUAAUGCCCACCAGAGAUGCACAAUAGCAGAUUCUUGGAUCAGAGUUCUGUUUACACUUGGAUGGUGAAGGAGUAUCAGUUGUUAGCUUUCAAAUGAGACCUCCUCUUGGAUGGCAACACAUGAAAGAAUAUCCUGGGCACUAAUCCAAAGGUCUGUAUAAAACAUGUGUGGAUAUUCAAAUACAAUUUCAUUUACUCGUGACACCGACCUGUCAAGAGCCACAUCCAAGUAAGAAAUUUACAAAUUAUGAAGCUUUAUAGAAAAUGGAAUGAUAAUAAUUCGAUAAAAAUAUAAUUUGAAAUAAUAAUUCAUGAUAAAAAGAAUGUGUAACUUACUAAUUAUUCUAUGUGUCUGUCUUUCCAUCCUUACACAUUCAACCUUUUGUAGGGAACAUAGAGUGGCUAAGGAUUAAACUCUCCUGGAUGAGCACUAGAGAAUUCCCUGGCUGCCAGUCUUCUUACUGCAGCCUCUAGAAUUUUAGAUUUGGGCAAAGCAUUUGAGAGGAAAUCUUAAGGGACUGUUGGCAAAGUGGAUUGGCAGAGAACCCGGAGGCUUAGAGAAUGAACUCAAGCUACAAGUUUCUUACUAAAAGAACCCCUCUUAACAGCAUGCCAUGUUGUGGUAUGAACUAUGUCUACAUAUGUUACCUCGUGUGAUCUUUAUUCAAAACUCUGACACUGUAUGAGGGGGAUUAGCCAAACUGUUUUACAGAUGAGAAAAUGGGUUCAGUAAUUUGUCCAAGGUUGAUCAGCUCGUUAAUGGCACUGCCAGGAUUUAGCCUUGGUUUUUCUACACAAAGUUCUUUUUUUUUUUUUUUUUUUUAAAUUGUUUUGCAUUGACUUCUGUAGGCAGGGCUGGCUGGGUCUUAACUCCCUCAUCUUAUCCUUCCCUUUUCUCUCAGUCUGAAAGUUUUCUGUCCCUGUAAGUGUCAGCCCUGAGGCUUGCCUGGCUGCUUCCCCAGGAAGCUCCUCACCCUUCCCCACAGGGGUUCCCACAGUACUUGUGCUCCUGUGUAACAAGUAGGUGCAGCGCAGUGUGGUCUGAGCCACAGGGAAACACAUCUACUUUGUGGGUUUCUGCUGAGCCACGUGGUGCCGAGGGAGAGGCCUGGAUGGAGAUGCACAGAGCAGUACUCGGGCAGUUUCUAGAUACUUUACUUGUGACAUUGGUGUGUGGGAGGUAUUCUUUUCCCUGUUUUAUGGCUAAUGAAUCACAUCCCAGGAAAAAGCAGAUUUUCUGUGCACAGGAAAAGGUACUAGAGCAUUAACUGCAUCCUCCUGUGUUCUAGUUGUUACAUGGUUACAACUUACUCCAUCCACACAUCCUACAGAGGAAGCUCUGAGUAUCCCAUUCUACAGAUGAAGAGACUGAGGCUCCAGUGAAGUAAUAGAUUCCUCCGCAUCCAAAGGGCACCAUCUGGCCUUUGCUGCCAUUUCAGAAACCUGCCCGGGGCCUUGUCUGAUGCGAAGGAGCCUAUUCCAGCCAGAACAGUCCAACAACACGGGUGAAGUGGUAACAGCCUGUAACUAUUAGACAAGGAAGAAGGAAGGGGAUUAUGAGGUGUCAAACAAAUAGGAAACAAUUGGGAGGCAAUUAUGAGGGAUGUAUAGGCAACAUUCCAGGAAGCCAAACGCUUAUAGAGCUGUUUACAACGGAAGUGGUGGGAAAAGCCACCCUCUGGACCGAGAACCACAUGUUCUGGAGAAAAAUAUCAUAUCGAAUCACAGAAACUCUUGGUGGGGAGAAAACAAAACAAGGUCUUUCAUUCAUUUAAUUAGUCAGUUCAUGAUUAUUGAGUUUCUGUGAGGAGUCAAUUCUAUCCUGGGCACUGCAUGUUCAAAGUUGAACCAAUCCAGUUUCUACCUUGUGGUCACAUGUGGUUGAAAGGUUGCAGGAAGAAGAAUAAAGGUGUCACCAUGGAGCACAGUGUAGAUGUUGAUUGGGGAAGUGAAACAUCAGGAAGAUCAUAGAGGUGUGGGGGAAACUCUGGAGAAAUCAGAGAAGGCUUCACAAAGUGGGUGACAUGAGAAAGGUGGCUUCCAAUAGAGAUCUGAGCCAGGCAGGGGACAGGCAGGAAUGUGUGUAGCGGGUUCAGGUGACAGGAGUAUCCCGGUGAGAAACAACAUGUAAUAUGGCUGUUCUGACUAAUGCCUGUGUCCCCUCGCCUCUGCUGGAAACACAGCACAGACUGUCAACAGAGACUAGUAAUUGAAUCUAGAUGGCCAGAUGUCGAAUGGAGAAUCAAGCACUUUGCUGCUGGUAGAGAUCCAUCCAGCAUUCCUUAUUCCAUAUUUUAGUCAGUGUCAUUGCAGGUAAAGCCACCAAUUGGGAUGCAGCAAGGUGGUGAGGUGAAGCAGGCUCUGGAGCUCUGAGGUCUGAACCUGGCUCUGUCACUUACUAGUCUUGUCACUGAAACUCUCUGUGCCUCACUUUCUUCGUUUGUAACUUGGGGAUGACAAUAGUACUGAUCUAGAAUUGUAAAGGUUGUAAAAAUGUAACUUGAAUUUUGUAUUAAGCAAUGUCAUCUUCUUGUCCAGGUCGUCUUGAAUUUUAAGUCAUAAAAGCAUGGCUGACUUUUUAUAUUCAUUUAUAGUUGAUGACCAACCUCCUGAGUCACAUGGAAUAAUUAUUUGAGUGAAACCUCAGAGGUCUUCUAAGUCUUCCUUCCUGGGUUUGGAAAGUUGGUCAGAUGACUGUGUGACCUUGGGAAAGUCACCUCAUUAUACUCCCUGCCCUGUGAUACCCAAGAGACAUGUGGUAUAAGGUACCCUGUAUCAGUUGUGAUUGAUGGCCACAUGACUGCUUAUGAUGGGCCAUGUCUCCUGAGUUUUAAAACUAGUAACUUGUUCAUCUCUCCCAACAAUCUCAUGAGGUAGAUGUUAUCAUCAUUUCCAAUUUACCCAUUAAGAAACUGAGGCUUUGAGGAGCUGAAUACUUUUCCCCAAAGGCACCCAUUGAUGCAUGGUGGAAGGAGGAUUGGAUCCCUGCAGGAUCACUCCUGAGCUGUGGGAUUCUCUAUGCUGCUGAGACCCCAUAGAGCAAUUGAGCAACUGAAAGAAUAUCUACCACUAUGUUACCAUUAUGUCUUAGGGAGGUUAGGUAUGACCUUGGAUCUAAACCUCUCCUACAUAAUAUAUGCAGUUAAAAUCCACAAAGUGCUGCUGGCAUGUGAAAAUGUAUAAAAUAUACAAUAAACAACCUGGGAAACAAUAUAAAAUAUCAUCUUAGAUAUCUCCUUUAUUUUUUCUUUUCUAAAUCAUUUUAUGUCCUUGGAUUGAACCGAGAUUCUGUGUCCUGAAUUGCUGAGAAGGACACAGCAGGAUUUCAUGGUCAAUGUUUUCCAACAUCAACACAGUCACUCCCCUGGCUGCAGUGGUGGUUCAUAGGUGGCUGGAAACUUGCUGUCUUUUCUGCUCCUCCAGGCCUCUGUGCUCUCAGCCCUUCUCUAGAGGGAAGCAGCUGGCUCUGGGCCCAAGACUGCUCAUAGUAGUUCCUCAGAAUCUCUACUCCCAUUCAUUUUUUCCCUAUUAUCCCCCAAAUCACCUCCUAUGGACCUCUUUCCUUCAUAGUAACUCCAAUCUGGUCUUGGGAAAGCCCUUGUGUUAUUCAGCUUUCUGUCACUGUGAUAAAAUGCUUGAGAUAAACAACUUAAAAAGAGGAAAGACUUAUUUUGGUUCAUCAUGUCAGAGGUUUUAGUCCAUGGUUGAUUGACUCUGUUGCUUUGGGCUGGUGGUGAGGCCAUGCAUCAGAGUGCAAACAUGUGACAGAUGAAAACUGCUCACCUCAUGGUGGCUGGGAAGCAAAGAAAGAGUGGAAGGGGUCGGGGUUCCAAUAUCUCCUUCGAGGGUGUGCUCCCUAAGACCUUCUGCCAGGCCUCCCUUCUAAGGGUUCUGCCAUCUCCCAAUAGAAUCACAGGCUGAGGACCAAGCCCUUAGCACCUGAGUCUUUGGAGGACAUGCCAUAUCCAAAUGAUAAUAGCCCCAUUACUAGCAGCCCUACAUGGAAUACUGGGAGACGUUGUGGCUCCAGAGUCAGGAAAGCAGCAUCCUGGCAGGGUUGGGAGACUGAGUUGUUAGAGAGCCAUUGCUCUUCAAUGAUCCCCAGCUUUCCCUUCUGUAAAAGAUAGAUAUACAGCAAUUCACAUACACAGUGGAGCAUCCAUCUAUUGGCAGUACACAGUGCAAUGUCAAACAAAUCUAGAACAUAGAAGCUUAAAUUGGGGUGGAAUAUUUUACCUUAUAUAAAUCUCCUAAUCAUCUUCAUACUAUACUUCAUAGACAUUUCUGAUGGUAGUUUGGGUGGUGGUUUUAAAAUAGAUCCACAAAUUCCUCGACAGGUGUCCCACAGAUAGGUGGAGCUUAAUUCCCUACCCUUGCGUGACUUCCAAGGAGAGGUCAUUGUAGAAGGCACCUCUGCCUUCUCUUGGCUCUUGUGUUACUUGCUCUUCGGAAGCCAGCUGCCAUGUUGAGUGGAUGCUCAAGCAGCCUUAUGAAGGGGAUGUGAGUGAGCUACCUUGGAAGCAUAUUCCCAGCCCCUAUCAAACCUUCAAAUGGACUUCUUGAUUGUAUCCUAAGGAGAGACCCUAAACCCAGGACAAGCUUCUCCUGCAUACCUGACUUUUAGAAACUGUGUGAGAUGAUAAGUAUUUAUUUUAUAUGAUGUUAAAUAUUAGGGUAAUUUUUUACAUUUGUGGGGUUACUAUUGGUAGGAAUGACAGUGGUAGAACAGUCAUUACCUAGAACUUGACCUUGCCUCACUGUAAAUUUCAUGUCUGGGGACUGAUGGGAUGAUUGAUGUAUAUUCUUGGUCCAGAAAAGAUUUUAAAAGGCAUAGUCUGGGGCUUCUUAACUUCCACAAUUUAGGGAAAAAUUCUGUCCCUGAACCAGAACCAGGGAAUAUAAUUGGCUCUGCCUGCAUCAGUAGACUGAUAACUUAGCAUCAUAUGAAUCUUGAUCACAGUCCCUUCUCUGAGCUUAUUCCCUGAUCUAGUGAUGGCUUCUCCCAACUCUGUCUCUCUACCAUCAUAGCCACAUGGAUUCUUAUGACCUCAAGAGAGGUCUGUGAUGAAUUAGGUAUGUCUGCCAUGAGAGAGAGAGAGAGAGAGAGAGAGAGAGAGAGAGAGAGAGAGAGAGAGAGACAGCACAUAUACCAGGAAUCCCUUGUUGUUGUUUUUAGAGGGGGGGGAGGGAGGGAGGAGAGGGGGGAGAGAGAAAAAUUUUUAAAACAUUUAUUUCUUUUUUUUUUUAGUUUUUGGUUGACACAACAUUUUUAUUUUGUUUUUAUGUGGUGCUGAGGAUCGAACUCAGAACCCAGCACCCCCGCGCAUGCCAGGCAAGCACGCUACCGCUUGAGCCACAUCCCCAGCCCGGGAAAUCCCUUGUUUUUAACAUGAAACCCAUGUAUUUAUCUCUUAAUUCUUCCCCUGAGCCAGCUACCAUUAGGUCUCCAUGGUGUGAUGUAAAGGACAUAGUUUCCAUUAUUAUUGGUUACAUGUUAAUGAAUGAUUAAAAAUAAUUAGUGGUAUUUGCAGUUGUUAUAAUUUCUAAUUUCCAGAAUCUUACUGUCUUAGUGACUAUGGAGUGAUCUGGGGUAGAGGAUAUUGUUGACUCCUUAGUGCAUGGGAAGGAAAACUGAAGCUUAUAAAAGGCAUGCACUGCAAGGGCUAUUUCUGUCCUCUGUUUAAUGAGUGGAGGUCUGUCUUCAAUAUUAUUCUAUAGAGAUUCAGGCACAGAGAACAUUUCAAGGGUUUGAAUCCAGCUCAAACCUAAAAACUUCCCCAUUACCACCACAGUGCUUGAGGUGGCCGUGCACAUUUAUAAGGAGUCCAGAACACUUUGCCAAUCCAAGAUGGGAGGAAGAGGGCAAAUGUGUAAGACCUGCAGGUGGGUAUGCACGGGAGCUCUCUGCCUUCUACCUGGGUGUCAUCAUUAUUACCCUUCAGCAACAGGUGGCAAGCCAGAGUGGUGACAGGACUCCUGGAUGCAUAGGGACCAUAAUCCAUUGUUAAAACUCUGACUUUUACUCUGAGCAAAAUGGAGAACCAAUAUAGGAUUUCAAAUAGAGAAAUAAGUUCUCCGUUUUAUUCAUUGAAUGGAUCAUUCUACUAGCCCUGUUGAAAGUGAACUGCUGGGGCAGGGAUGGCAGCAGGUAGGAGGCUGUUGCAUGAAUCUAGGCUGGAGAGGAUGAUGCCUCAGACAAGGAUGGUAACGAAGGGGGAAGAAGUGGUCAGAUCCUGGAUCAGCUUUAAGCGUAAGCCCAGCAUGGUUUCUGGACAGAUUGGAUGAGGGGUGUGAGAGAAAGAGAAGUCAAGGACUCUGAAUUACCAUUUGUCUGCUUGGAAGGGCAGAGUUUCCCUCAACUGAGAUGAAGAUACGUGGGAAAGAAGCAGGGUUUGGGAAGAUCAGGAGUGCAAGUUUGGAGGUGCUGAGUUUGAAAUAUCUAUUAGAUACCUAAGUGGAGAUGCUGAGGAGUCAGAGCAGGUAUGUGGGUCGGGGAUUUAAGUGAGAGGUCUGGGCUACAAAUGCUUAUUUAGGAAUCAUCAAUACAUGGCACAUAAAGCUGUAAAAUCAGAUGAGUAAAGUAUCCACCAGUUUCUCCCUCUGCCUCUCUGUGUCUCUUUCUCUCAUUCUCUCUCACAUCUCUCUCUCUACGAAUGGCAUACAUGCAGAAAGAAUGUAAGAGAAGAAAUUUGAAGAGGACCAAAGACAAAGCCCGGUAGCCUUCUAACAUUAGGAGGAAGGGAGAAGAGAAGAAGCUGGCAGAAAAGAGUGGAAUGAGCCAUCAGUAAGAGAUGAGGAGAAUGAAGAGGAGAUUAGAAGCUGAAUUAAGAAAGAGCAUCAAGGAGGAGGGUGUAGUUGACUGCAUCCAAAGCUGCUGUUCGCUUGAAGCAAUUGACCAUCAGGUUUACCAACAUCAGCAUCAUCUGCAACCUGAACAAAAGCAGUUUCCCUGGAAUGUGGGGUGCAAUCACGCCUGGACAGGAACCCGAGAGAGCGGGGCAUGGUGGCCUGGUGCAAGAUCCAUAUGGCAGGGAUGCAUGUGCGGUCAGCUAUCUUAGGAGUGUAUCUGUUUUCUCAAGACAAGAGAAGUGAGGCCAUCAGUUGAGAGAGGGAGGGGGGGAUGUUGGAGGUUGGAGAAGGAAGAAAGUGUGCAGGAACUCAUUUUUUUCUUCUGGUUCUUUGCAUAGGACUUGGCACAGGAGAAAUCUGAACAAACUUUAAACUAGAUUUCUUUGAUGUGCCCUGCCCCAGGGCACUGGCUUAUGGAAUCUGACAAGGUCUGAAUCUCAGCUACAUCCCUUACUGGAUGUGUGGUCUCCAAAAAGUCACUGUGCUCUCUUUGCUUCAGGGGAUUGAAUGAGGUCACACAGGUUAUGUGCCUAGCUAGUGCCUAACAGAUAGUAGAUGCUAAAGUAGGUGCUGGUUUCCCCAACAUUGUCAUCAUCUCAUCUUAAUGACCUUGGACCCUAAGGAAUUUGGACUGGACAAUUUUUCCAUUUCUAUACUUCAAUAAACUUCAGAUAAUAAAAUAGUCUUAAACUAACCAUUAAAGACAAGCUUGUAAAUUUUCUGUCGCUUAAAAAUGGAAGGAAAGAUUCUGAGUUCAGAUUUACUAUCUUCUAAGCAAAUUGACCUUUUUCUCUGUUUCCAAAUCAAUAAAUGGCAGAGUGGAAAAAUCACAAAAGAAAGACAAGCUGGGCCAGCUAUGCACUGGCUGGUAACUUUGUGUAAGCUACUCUGCUCCUCUGGGCCCUGGAUCCUUUGCCCCAUGGGGAGCUGCCAGACCUUCCUUGCAGGUGGGGACUUGAAGGAAAUAGUGACUGAGCAGCAAAUGUGAAAAUAUUUUGUAAAGUGUGGAGUGCUCGCAAGCAGUGGGGAUGGUGGUGGACGCCUCUGCCUCCAUGAGAGCUGGGGUUCCUGCCCAGCAGAGCCAUUCAAGACCUUCAAGUGAGGCUACAGCAAGUUGGAGCCCACAGCUGCUGCCCAAGAAGUGUUCUAGAAGGUCCAGGGCAGCCUCGCAUGCUCCCUUUGGUUGUGACUUUUGCAGUGUUUCCCAAUUAACCCUGGACAUGUUGCUUAUGCUCUGGACUAGAGAUAAAGUAGGAACAGGUCAGGUUGCCCAGACCUUAGCAAGGAGCAGAUAAACUAGAGUUACAUACUCCCUCUCAUCUCUCCUAAUCCUGAAGGAGACACUCUGGCAGGCAGCAUUCAGAAUCACGGGUCCCCUGCUUUCCCCAGGCUGACAAAAGGAAGCAGAGUUUCAGGGGUAGAUUGUGGAGGAAAUCAGACAUCAGAGGACACAGAGGUCACCUUUAGCUAGGUGCUUCUCUCUUCUCCCUUAUGCCCAGUUUUGUGUUCCCCUAGGAGGCAGGCUGCACCCCAGAAGAGCUCAGGCAGCACAUGGCUCAGACAGCAUUUGAAUUUCAGCUCCCUCCCUUUUUAGACAGGAAGGCCGAUCAGAUGUCCCGGCUCAGACCUACUGACCUUGUGUAAUUAUUGUUAGCAUCUUUCCUGUUCGAAAGUGUUCUUGUUUAAAUAAGGAGUUACAAGAUCAUCCGGUGAUGUGUGACCUUUGCUCUAACCUCCUUGAACCUCAGUUUCUACAUCGGAACGAUGGGAAUCAUUGUUUCUCUACUGCAGAAUUGUUGAUUAUUAUACCUGAUUUAAAUAACUGUGGUUCAAUAAGACAUAAAAGCUAGUUACUUAAUAUUAGCAUUGCCCUGAUUUAAGCUUCCAUCUUGUCUCCCAAGAAUUUUAGUAAAAUUCUGGCUGGCCAUAUGUCCUCAAGUCCAGUGGGUCUCCAAUCUUAGGAGACACUAAGAUCACUGCAGAGCUUGUUAAAACAGAUUGUUGGCCCACGCCUGGCAUUUUUUAUUCAAUGGGUGUGUGUGUGGGGGAGCUCUGGCUGCUUUUUAACACACUCCAAGGUGAAACUGAUGCUGGUCUGGACCAUCCUUUGAAAACCACCAAUGUAGUUUCUCUUUUUGUUCAUAAUUAUUAACCAGUAACAGUGAUAUCAGGAAAACCAGGUCUAUUUCAUGUUUUUAGUUAUAUUAUAUAAUGCUAGGUUCUCAUUACUAUAACAAAAUAUCUUAGGUAAUUAAUUUAUAAAGAGAAAAUGCUUAUUUAGCACACAGUUUUGGAGAUUCCAGUCCACGAUUGAAUUGUCCCACUGCUCUGAACUUCUGGUGGGGGUGCCAAACAAUGGUGGGGAGUGUGUAUCAGAAAAAAAGCUGCUUAUAUCACAAGCCAGGGAGCAAGGAGAAAGAGGAAGCAUCAGGAGUCCCACCAUCCUCAUUUGGGGCAUGCCUACAGUGACCUAAGAAACUCUACUAGGCCCCACUUCUCAAAGGCUCCUAUUAGAUCACUGAGGGGUGUGCCCUUGAAGGAAAUAUUGGAACCCUGUCUCCUUCUAGUCCUCUUUUGCUUCCCAGUUGCCAUGAGGUAAACAGACCUCCUCAGCCACAUGUUCACCAUGUGUGUCACCACAGGCCCAGAGCCACAGGGCCAAGCAACCAUGGACUGAAAUCUCUGAAAUCAUGUGUGAAAUAAACCUUUCCUCCUUUUAAGUGGAUUAUCUCAGGUGUUUUGUCACAGUAAUGGAAAGUUGACUAAUGCAACCCCCUUCAAAUAAUUCUUUCCUUGAGAGUGUUCCCUGCCGCUGGUACUUCAUAGAUUCUGUCAGAAAGAACCAUUAAAAGUCAGAAGAAGGCAAGCAGAAAGCUAGGGAGGCUGGGGCUUUGGAGGCUGAACAUAGAGACCAUGAGGGGACAUUCUGAUUGAGCCUUGUGUUCUCCAGGCGGUUCACUUACCCCUCCCAGUUCCACCUGAAGGAAAGAAUCCUCGAUCUUGCUAAGGCAUGCACAGGGAGGAACAUGACAGCAAAGCACAUGCCAGCGCUAAAAUGCAGCCCGUAGUGCAGCCUGCCUCACCCUGAGUAUUUAAUAUUCCUAUUUAAAUCAAGUUUCUGUCUCUACUGGACUCUGAUACAGAUAGAAAUGUAGUGUAAUGAAGCAUGGAAGCCAUAAAGCCUCAGUUUGCUCUUUUAUAAACAAAAAUAUUAAUAGCCAGAGCUUUGUAAAUUGCUCAAGUCUCUUGGUGGCUUGUGGGGACCAGUCCUUGGGCUCACUAUGGGUGGCUGGUGUCUGAGUAAAUUAUGGAGAAAUUCUGAUUUAUAUUUGUGUUUACCAAGUGUGAAGACCUUCAGGGCUGUCAGAACCUCCAGAGCAGAGCUUCAUUAGGGGAGGAAUCCAAACAACACUGAUUGCUUGGUAAGAUCUUGCCGCAAGAUGCCCCUGUCCACUGUGGUACAUGCAGGGACCUCACAGGUGGGGAUGGCAGCAUCGGGAUAAAGGGUAUUCAGAGCCAGGCUCUGAUGAAUGGUAGUUACCCACCCCACAACGGCGUGUCAGUUUUUUUUUCCAUCAGCAACACAAGGAAGCCAAUGGGUCCCACAGGAUCUGAGCCUAUUCAUAUGCAAGAACAUUAGUUCUUUGGUGUCCAGGUGCUACUCUUGCCAAUAUGGUAGUCUCCGGCACCACCCCACCCACUCUUCCUGGACUCCAUUUCCAGGUUCACCUUCAAAUAACAAAUAUUAACUGUGCUCAGCCUCUUCCCUGAGCUGACUGGGAAUGUAGGACAGGCUUUCCACCCCUGAAUUGGUAACAAGAAAGCCUCCCGUAGGGGACCUGAAUACUCACCUGACUAUCCCCAAAGUCCCAGAAUCCCUAGAAUGUGAGAAUCACCAGGGACCCAGGCUCUGCAUAUAUUGUGGGGGGUUUGCUCUUGUCAUUGGUUUCUGAGUAAGUUGUAGAAAAACUAUGGAGUGGAAAACUGAAGCUGGAAGAGGAGGUGACUUACUCUGCCUUGCAGAGUGCAGUCCCCCUUCCAGCCCACUUCCUCUCCCAGGUGUCAGGUUGGUACACCUGUCAGAAGACUUCGGCCUUCUCCCACCUUUAAACACUUAUGAACAUUGUCCCCAGCAUCCCAGUUUUAUUUCUAACAGUGUCUGCUUCCUGGAGGAUCUGGCUUACAAAAAUAUCUCCAUCAGCUGUUAAGUGUGGAACAGAGCUAGGGCACAGUGGAUGGUAGACAUGAUAGUAACAACUGUCGUACUACUAUUAACACUAUUGUUUUCCCCAGCCCCUCUGGUCAAGAGAACGGAGUGACAAGCAACAGGAUGUCAAUUCUCAGUCUCAACAGAAAUUGACAGAGGAACAUGUAUUCUUCAAGGCUGGUGUGUCCUGCAGCUCAUGACCCUUGGACUUGCUGCUGACGCUCUCCUAGUUCUUCUCACAAAGGGCACAGGGCACUCCUAUGGAGUGUAUGAGGCAGCUCAGGUUCCACAAGGAAACAAAUGAAUUGUAAGGAGAAACAUUUCAUAUUCGACAUGCUCAACACUUCCUCCCAGAUGCCCGUAUGGAGAGAGUAGGGGACAAUUCAUUACACUUGUCAAGACUCAAGGACAAUCUCAAUACGAGCUCUGCUGCUUCAAGAUUUAAGACCCUUCAGGAUAUUUUGCAUAUUUGUUAUAUUGCCACCUUUGGUGUUUUAACAUUUAUUGUCCCCCAGGGCCAUAAAAACAUCUUGCCUUUUAUAGAGUGCACAGAUUCAGAGCUCUCCCACCAGCCAGCCAAAGUUUGAAGGGACCUUAGUGAAGUUUGAGUUCUUGAUGUGUAACUGGAGUUUGGCUGUGCUGUUAAGUCGUCUGGUAAGGGCACUGGUGAGUUACAAUAAGAGGCCCUCCUUCCUGUCGGCAAUACUGAUGAAGUUUACUGAGACACUAACACUGGCAAGCUCACCAGCUCUGAAAGCAACCCAUUCUGUGCCUUGGGUAUAUGUUUUUUUUUCUAUUUGACUUGUAGAGUCAAAAUUUGUUUUCAAUUUUUUUUCUUUCUUUCUUUUUUAAUUAUAGUAGACAAAUUGAGUUCUGGCUUUUCAGAACUUUAUCUGAACAGGAACUAAAAGUAAGAUGACCAUCUGAUCUAAUUUGCCUCAUAUGUCAUAGUUUAUGCCUAUUGCCUGAGUAUAGAUAUUAGUACACACACACACACACACACACACACACACACACACACUGGUGAAGGUUUGGAAUCAUGAGCCAUGUACAAAAUUACAAUUUACAGAAAUGAGGUGGAUUUAAUUCAUUCAUGAUUUUUUUUUUAACUUUGACAUUGUGGUAGAGAGCUCUUCAGUGACCCUCAUGAAAAUCCAAAUAAGCUGUUAUUGUGGUGGAACAUGGGCUUGCUUGGAGUCAAGGGGAUGGCACAAGUAACUACUGAGGGCUCCCUUCAAUCUUAUGAAUGUUUGAAAUAGAUUAAUGGAAGGUGACAUAUGGUGAAAUAGAUCAUAGCUUUUGUGGUUAAAUGAAGAUGAUGAUGAUUAAGAUAGCAAUAAUACAUAUAAUAAGAGCUAAUACCUGAUAUGUGUUCUGUGUUAGGCAUUAUUAUACAUAUUUUAUAUUAAUAUACUGCUUUAAUCUUAUAGUAACUUUAAGAGGUAAAUAUUAUCAUUAUUUUAGAUAAAGAAAAGCAGACACAAAGAAGUUACAUAACUUUCCCAAGGCAUAGAAUUAUUAUAUGAGAACAUAAAGCCUUACCUUGUAUCCUAUGGUUUGGGCAGACAAAGACUGCAGGUAUAUGGGUCUCCAGCUUUGACUUUCUUUCUCCUUACUAAAACGACCACCAAAGUGCCUUUUAAUUAGAAUGCUUAUAGAGUUUAUUAUCCAAAUGGGGACAGUUUUGAGAAUGAAAAGGGGUGUUAUUAAUAGUUGCGUUGGGACGAUCGGCAUAAAUGAAAUGAGGAUGUGGUACAAACUAGUUCAUACAGUCACCAUACACACUCAAAUCAAGUCCUUAAGAGUCUGAGAUACACUCUAGUUUAAGUCUACUCUCACAACAGCAACAGCAUUAAAAGAAGGCAUUUUGAUGUUAUUCAGAAGUAGCACAUAAACACUGUGCAACCAUAGAAUGGGUUGUCUGAAAAAGAGUUGGGGAAAACUGUGAAGAUUCUAAGAUUUUAUCUUGCUUCCCAACUAACAAGUUAGCCUUCCAUGAUUUCAUGGAUGCUGAGAGAAGGCAAAUGAUCCUGGGUUAGAGACAGGACUUCAUUACUUAUAGAAGGGCAAGCAGCAGAAGCCUCAAUGUGUGUUGAUUUUCUCCGGUUCUCCCAGUCCCAUGGGGUGGGCGGGGGGAAUGCAAGAUGGCCCAGUCAGAUGCUGCACAGAGUGGGGGUUUGCUUUACAGCUGAUCGAGGAACAUAGAGCUUAGGAACCCAAACCUUUUAUAAUGCAUGGCAAGAAAACCCAUGUGGACUUUUUCUCUAGAGAGAGAGAAACAUAUCUUUUUUAUAUGGGCAGCAAAUGAACCAGCCUGUUGCUCCUAGGAAGGCUCUAUCUCUGUCUUUCAAGGAUGUUUGUUCUACAAACAUCUUUAAAAAGUUAGCCAGUGCCUGUGUUAUGGUUUAGAUAUGAGGUAUCACCCAAAAGCUCAUGAGUAAGACCGUGCAAGAAUGUUCAGAGCUGAAAUGAUUGGAUUAUGAGAGCCUAAUCAGUGGAUUGAUCCACCGAUAUGGAUUAACUGGGUGGUAACCGUAGGCAGGUAGGGUCCGGCUGGGGGAGGUCACUGGGGCAUGCCUUUGGGGUUUACAUUUUGUCCCUGCUGAGUGGGGCUCUCUCUCUGCUCCCUGGUGCCGUGUCCUGCACUGCUCCACACCCUUUCAAACUCAGGCCCAGAGCAGUGGAGCUGGCCAUCUAUGGAGUGAGGCUUCGAAACUGUGAACCCCAAACAAACUUUUCCUUCUCUAAGAUUGUUCUUUUCAACCCUUUUGGUCAUAGUGAUGAUAAAGCUGACUAAAACAGUCUGUGUUUUUAAAACAUGAGAAACCCAAGAAGGACUGUCUCCCACACCAGGAAGAGCCUCAACAUCAGGAGUGCGUACAAAGCGUUUUGCUGGGAUUUCUGUGUUAAAUGGAGGACAGAAUAGACAACAUCCAUAGUGCCUGUCAAGUUGAGCUCCAGUGAGGUUCUAGUUCUCUUUCUCUUGCUUUUGGAAGAAGCUGAGGUUAAGAGAGGGAAAAUGAUGGGAAUGAGUGAAUCACAAGUCCACCAUCGUCCUUUUUCCAUUCGAUUCUUUUCCCUCAUUAAUACUGAGCUUUUGUUAGCAGAGGUUGGAAAAUGAAUACCCGAGUUGCUCAUGGUGAUUGUUUUCCAUCAGAAGAUUGGUCAGAUGAUUAUUAGCAGAAGGACACAGACUUAUUAGAAUUACUAUUAGUGAAGAUGAUAAAUAUACUUUUUCUACCAUCAAAAGAACUUACCAUGAGAAUUCUAAAAUGUUUGAAAAAUAGAGACACAAAAUAAAAUAAUCCUUCUAAUCUUACUACUCUAUUGUGACCACUGGUAACAUUUCACUUUCAAUUAUUUUGGGGAAGUGUGUGUGUGUGUGUGUGUGUGUGUGUAUAUAUAUAUAUAUAUAUAUAUAUAUAUAUAUAUAUAUAUAUAUAGCCAUAGUUGUCAUUGUGAACAUUCAAACCUCUUCUUAUUUUUCAUUUUCUCUGGAGUCUAUAGGCAGUUUUUAUAAACAUCAUUUCCAAAAGUCAGGCAGUCUUGUAUUGAAUUCUAGAAUUUAUUUAUUUAGCUAUUCUCCUGUUUGAUCUUGAGCCUAGGGUGUAAGAUCACUGACCCUGGAGUGGGAAUUCUGUCUCCAUCACUGAUGAGCUCUGUGACUGUGAACUAGUUAAUCGCCUUUCUGAGCCUCAAUUUCCUCAACUGUAAAGUGGGAGAGUGGCCUUUUUAUAGAGUUGAUAGUGGAAACUAAUGAAAUUAAGAUGACAUUUAAAGUACCUAACACGGUGCCUGACAUGUGACAGAGCUAAUGAAUGUUUAAAUGUUAGUUUUCUGUAUUAUUACUGCAUGCAAUUCACUAUUAACAACAGCAGUUCAGUGAACAUCACAUAUGCUUUUCUAAGACUGACAAUUAUUUCUUUGGAACACAUUCCCAGAAGAGCAACGACGGUGUUAGAAGCAGGGACAUUUAUGACAUCGGUGACUCCAGAUUUGUGUUUAGGAGGUGAUCAUUCAGUCACUGGUCCCAGGCAGAGGGUGAUCUCUAUGGCUAGCACCGAGGCAAAACAAUUGAGUAAUUUCAGUGCUGUAUAAGGCCUCUCGUCUCCCAGAUGCACCUAAAUGCACCUAAAGCUUGAGUAAUGACCACAAUCCUUGACUGAAAUACCAUGAGCAUUGCAGAAUAAUGGACAUGAACUCUUUGGCUUAUGUGUCCCUUAGGCAAAGAGGGGCUCACAUCUGGUAUCUCAGUGACCACACAGUUAAAUGCUGGUUCUAAAUAUGCUGUGAUUUUUUUUUUGAGACAGAGUGAGCAAUUGGAUCUGAAUGUCUUUGAAUUGAGCACAGACUGUCCUCUGCACCCUCUUCCUCUCCCAUAUUUUUGUCUAUGACAUGACUUCAGGCAGUGGAGUAUUCGCUGAGCCCCCAAGACCUCUCUUGUCCUGCACAUGAGCUUUUUAGGGCAAAGGCUGGGUCUCAUUGCGUGUUAUUCUGAUGUCCAUCCUGGAGCCUGGAGCAGCUCUAAACAUGGCUGACAGAGAGUCUCAGGGAAAGCAGCCGGGCACACUUGACUUAACUCUUUCUAUGGACCUUCACCACCUACUUUUCCCCUCCAAGUCUCAGUUCCCUCAUUUAUAAAAUGAAGGAAUUUAACUAGAGACCUUCAAAUAUCUCCUCUAGUUGUGGAAGUCUACAUGUCUACUACAUAAUUAAGUUAUGAGUGCCUCUUUUUUGCCAGGAGAUAAGAAACAUGAUACCUCCUUUAAGGAGUUUAUGACCAACCUGGGGAAUUUAUUAUUGUCUACUACUUUAUGUACACAAAUUCCAAAAAGUGAUACUGAGUAUGUAGGAUUCAAUCCCCAAGGAACAGCAAGGAUAUAUGGCAGAGGGAUUUAUCCACUGAGCAUUUAUGGAGUACAGACCGUCUAUGAGCCAUGUUCAGUUCUUCAGUUGAAAUGGGCCAGAGGAAAGAGCCACAAGGACAUAACCAGGACCUAAAACCAGCAGCAUGAUCUUGGGAAAAUUAUUUAAUCCUCUCAAGUUGUACUUUCCAUUUACGUAAAAUGGGGAUUAAAGCGCUAUGGAGAGGAUUUAGUGAUUUAGUGAGUUUGUAAAACUCUGGGGAAAAUUGAAAGUGAGAAAAGUAUUAGUUGCCAUUAUUACUCAUGAUUUUUGUUGGCUCAUUGAUUUUCCAUGCUUAGCAUUAAUCUAUUUGCUAAGCAUUCAACAAUUAAACAUUAAUUGCAUUGAUCCAUUUUGUGUUGCUACAACAAAAUACCUGAAGCAGAGACUGUGAACGAAAUUGUGAACGAAAUGCUGGCAUUUGUUUGGUUCUGGUGAGGGCCUCCUAGUGGAUGGCCACACAAUGGUGAGAAUGUGUGCAGGUGAGGUUACCUGGUGAGAUAGGAAGCUGUCAGCACUGGAGUAGUCAAACUUAACGUUAUAACAACCCAUUCUUCAAAGAACUAAUUUAUUCUAUGAUACCAGUAUCAGUUUCUCCCAAAGAAGAUACCUUAUGACUUAAUUACCUUCCAAAAAACCCCACCUCUUAAAGAACCCAACACCUCUCAACACUGCCACACUGGAGACCGAGGGUCCAGAGCAUGAAACUCUGGGGGAAUGAACUUAGUCUACAUCCAAACCAGAUAAAAGGUGCAGGUUAGAACCACCAUGCUAUUGUCUUUGGUCUGGAUCAUUGAUCACCCUCCUAAUCUGAGCUGUGUGUCUAACAUUGAUUCCUCCAACCCAUGUAGUAGCUAGAAUGAGCUUCUUGACAUUGUGGCUUCACUCUGUCACUUUCCUCUUAAAACCCCACAGGACACAUAAUUGGAAAAUGGGAGAGGGGCCAGAGAGCUUCUGUUUACUCUGCAACGUUUGAUGUUCUUGCUAGGCAAUGGCUUCAGAAGUAUUAUUAAUACUAGUUGUGUGUUUCUCACCUAAAAAGCACCUGGGGAGGGACCAAGGACAUCGUUGUUUAUUGAUGAUCCUGAUGACCUGCAAACUGUGUGGAGGGAGACAGCAUCCUCCAGGGUGGCAGCUCCAGGAGGACUUGGAAUCCAUUCUCAGGGUCAUCCCAGACUUCACAAAGGCAACGUGGUCCAGAAAGAAACCAAAACUUGUGUUCAUGAAUCGGGGUCUUUAUUUCCCAUGUAGCGUUUGACAGUUUUCCCAAAGAGAAAGAAAACAAGUAGGAAAAAGUGGGAAAUUCUCCAAUUCCCAUUCAGUUAUAGCAAGGGAGAAAACUGGUCUCCAUGCUUAGUUUCUGGAUUUAAAUGCACGGGCAGGUACUAAUUGUCUCCCAGGCCAGAGGCCCCGUUCUAAUUUAUGGAGAGAAGGGCCAGGAGGUAAAUCUCUAUGUCAUUUUCUAAGCCACCUAAAAUAAGCCCAUUAAACUACCGCCCAUGAAUGGAGGUGUUUUUCCCGGUGUUACGCUGGAACCCCCUCUCCCAUCCCCAGCAGCACCCAGGGCACUGCAGCCCUGAGAUCCCGAGGGCACAUCUCACAAUGGGGCAUUCAGGAUAGCCUUCCUAGAUGGGGUAGGAAACCUGUUUUAUGCCCUGUUAAUUACUUCAACAAUUUAUAAAAUUCAUGACAAACAUAAAGUCCUUACAGAGAUUGUAUUUCAAAUGGUAUUUACCUGUAACAGAAUCUCCUUUGUUUGUAAUUCCUGGAUUUAUGAGCUGUUGCACAACAAAAUGGAACUGCCCCUUGUCCCCAUGGGGGGCACUGGCAAGGGGACCUCAAAUAUACCAUGGAGACAGAAACAUAUUCAGGUUCAGAUAUAGGAACUGCAGUUCCAGACCUAUCUCUGGUCCCCAGUGCCUCUCAGUCCACAGCAUGGGAACUUGGGGUCUUGAAGGGCAUGGAGUUGCACCAGGACAGGUUAAGUUUUCUGCCAGGCCGUCUUGGGACCUCUGGACAUAAGGUAUUUUGACUUUGUAUCCAUAUGGGAAUUUUCUCUUCCUCUAUCUGUUUGUAUACUCCAGUAACAGGGAGCUCCUUACCUGGCAAGGCAGCCAGGAUGAUUCCCAUUAUCUCUUGUCUUAUCCUUUUCUUCUCUUCCCUUACCUUUUCCUUGGCUGCAAGAGUGAUUUUUAAAAAAUUUAGAUCUGACAUUGUUUUACUUCUGCCUAAAAACUACUCAGUAACUUCUCUUUGCUUCCAUAACAAAUCCAAACUCUUUAAUGAACCCUGCAUGUUCUUCACAUGGUUGUCCCUGCUGUCUUUGCUGGCCUCCAGCUACAGUGGACCUUCCUUUUGCACCAAGCUACUUCAGUUACCUUUUAUUAGUCAGAGUUCCAUUAGUGUAACAAAACACCUGAGACAGGAAACUUAAAGAGAAGAAAGGUUUAUUAUGUGUCUCAUUUGUGGAGAUUCCAGUCCAUAGUUAGUUGGCCCUAUUGCUUUUGGACUGGUGGUGAGGCAGCACUCACGGCAGAGCAAAAACUGCUCACUUCAUGCUGAAGAAAUGAAAGAGAGAGAGGAAGGGGCAGAGUCCUACUAUUCCCUUCAGAGCCACACCCCCCAAUAACGGGAAGACUUCCUACCAGGCUCCACUUGAAAUAUUUCAUCAUCUUUCAAUAGCACCAAGUUUGGGAUCAAGCCUUCAAUACCCAGGCCUCUGAGGGACAUUUCAGGUUCAAACCUCUGAUCUCUUUUGCAUUAAAACCCCUGGUAAGACUCAGAAGGGUCAGGGUCUUAACUUCAGGGCAGCAAGUGUGAGUGUGUUUGUGAAGGUAAAAUGCUCUCCUUCUUCCUCGGUGUUCAGCAUCAGGGAUGAGGUGGUUAGAGCUGGACAGAGAGGGGGGAGGAUGCUGGCAGUUCCACAGAAGAGGAAAAGCAGUUUGAUCCCUAGGAUCCCUGCAAGAAAGAACAGGGAACCUCAGGAGAAUAUAAGCCCUGGAGAAUGGAAAGGCCCUGCUGUUCUCUCAGGUGACCUUUGAGUUGCAGGUUGAAGUCUGCUGCAUCAAAGGAGCUGGUCUCAUCUGACUGGGCCCAGAGACAGGGGAGAGGGAACCUGAGCUCAGCUCAGCUCUCCUUUCCUCUGCAAGGCAGGUCUGGUUUUCAGUUUCCAGGGAAAACUCCAUCUAUGCAACGUUAGCACAUAAAGGUGCUAACUUUAUGAGUCUUGGACAAGGAGUUGCUUUCACUUCUAUUGGGUGUCAGAAUAUAUGUCCUCUGUGAGAUUUGCAGGGGACUCUCAGGUAUGCAUCUUCUGAAACAGCCAAACUUCUUAAAGAGCAGUUAAAAUCUGGAGUAACUGUGUACUUUGACUUUUCAAAGAGUCUAAUUUAAAUGCUCAUGGGCUAAUUUUUGAAUAGAGAAUUAUUUUGCACAAUCUAGAGUUCUAAAGAAGAGAGCACGAACUUCAGAGCCCAUCAGAUUUCAGCUGUUCUGCUCGUUGGUGGGUGAUCACAGGCAGAAUGCCUCCGUUUUGGGAUCUUGGCCUAGGUGUCUGACAAUUGAGAUCACUGCUUGGAAGAAGACCUUUGAAUGUUUCAGUGCUCAGGACUUGAAAUUCACUCCUUAGUUUUCUCAUCUAUACGGAGUAGAUGGCCCUCCCUAUGUGAAUGGCCUCAUGGACCAGUUGAAGAACUGAAUAAAAUCAAAAAAGAACUUGUAGGGGACAUAGGCAAUUAUGGGAAAUCUGAAAAUUGUAAUUAUUUUAUUUCCUUUCUGAGGUAUAACUGCCGCUACUAUGCCUGCCUCAUUGUAGUCAAUAAACAUUACUCAAAUGAAUAAAUGCUUACCUCUCUGGUCCACUAUUGAUCUGUCAGGUGGACAUGGUUCAAUCUCUUCACUCUGUAGACUUCAUUUUACAGAGAAGAAAACCAAGCAACGUAGCACACCUUAAUUCACAGGCAUGGUGUGGGAACGUGUGUUGAAAACUGCAAACCGCUGUAUAAAUGCAUGCACAGGUUCUGAAGUUGGGCUGACAGAGACAGAAGACAAGUCCGCCAGGCAUUGCUUGUGUGACCUUGGGUGCUUAUUCAACACUUUGUGCCUCAGUUUCUUUAUUAGUAAAAUAAAAAUGACAAAAAAGAGUCCUCUGUUUUGGGGUGAAUAUAAUGACAGAUAAUCUAAGAUACUGGUUGAUCAUCCAAGUGCUCCAUACAUGCCAGGUAAUAUUAUUGUUUGGCAAUUGUUUGGUUUAUUUUGCUCAAUUCAAAUCGAAAUCAUGAAAAAGGCCAGUUGCAGGUCCCUUAGUGUCACAGAUUCUAUGACAGCUCUCAGCAGAUAGAGUUAGUAGCUCGGUCAGUGUUAAUAGCUCUCAGUGCAACUUUUGCAACUGGAGAGAGAAAGUAAGAUAAAACCAUCCAAAUGAGGCCUGAUUGGGGCUUAUGCUGCAGCACAAGGGAGGCAGUCCAGGGGAAGAAUUCCCACAUCGGCUCCUCAAGAAGAAUAGGAGUGGGAAGUGUAGGUUCAUCGUCAUCUGUUAGCUGUAGGAUUUUUACACACUCAUACUGGUCUGUGCAUGCUUGCUGGGUCCAGCCACUCUUGGUUGUCUUGGGGGAGGGGGAGGUGCUUAGAACCAGAUACUGUAGGAACUUCCCACAAGUCCCCAAACUGGCACAGUAGCUGCAAGGGCAUCCUGACCCACAGCUGGAGUGGUGGUGGCUGGGGCAUCUGCAGGAACAACUAGAGGUGCGACAAUGAUAGCUGCAGUGACCUCCAAAGUGGUGGCAGUGGUCAUUGGAGCAGCGGCUGCUGUCAUGAUGACAACCUGAGAGGAAGCUGGAGCAGUGGCAGUUGAAUGGAGUCUCUGUGUAGGCAGCCACAGAGGCGGGAAGGUGCCAGGGCCCAUCAUCAUCAUGCCUUCCCUGACCAUCCUGGGAACUGGGGCGGGUGUCCAGCAUUGCAGGCGGUAUGUGGUCCCAACUCCCCUCCUCCAGCCAGUGAAGGCCCCCGCAUGGCCUUCUGGCGGCAUCUUAGCUGUGGGGCAUGGGGGAGGGGCAGAGCAGUUGUCAGUUCAACACCCUCUCCCACCAGCCCCAGGUGGCUUUGGUGGCCUUCGGAAAACAACAACCUGUGUAUAAAAAGGCAGGGGGAAAAGAAAGGCAGAAACACACCUUUCUGGGGAGGGCAGGGCCCUGCUUUUCUGUCUCAAUAUCAGGAAAAGAAUCUUCUCUGGACUGGCGUCUUUCCUUUUCUCCUCCUUGCCUGUUCCUUUUUCUUCGGGUCUCUGGCACUCACUAGCAUUCUGGGAUCCUGUCAUUUACAGCCUUAAAAAAUGAGUUUCCUCAAAUUGUAAAUGGUCUCUUACAAAGGAGAUGACCCCACCAGGCAGCCCUCCCCACCCUUGAAUUCAGGAAAUCUGAGCAUCUUUUUUUCCCACCAGAGGAGGAAAAGAGGUGCUAUUUGGCAGCUUGUGAAAUGUCUGGCUUCUCCUACCAGACAGCCUGGGAAGGAGGGGCUGCACCUGGUGAGAACACAGAAUGGAGGUCAUCUGUGGAAACAUCCUAGAACUAGAGCCGUUGAGACCUUGAGGGCAGAACAGGAUCCCAGGGUAGACUUCUCCUCCCUCCAAGAAGGGGCCAGCAUAGAGUCAGAUUCAACUAAAAGGCACCCCAGCCCCAGACAGAAGUGGAGUGAGCUCUCCCAUGACUGGCGGAGUGAUUGCCUCUUUCUGGGCUCAGUAAACUCAGGGAUGGGGACUAGAUGCUCUGUAAGGUCUCAUUCAUCUCUAAAUUUUGGGGAUUCUAAAAAGUGGGGCUUGGUACAGUAAACUCUUUCCUCUUGGCAUUCUUGGGCAAGUGACAUCACCUCUUUGACCUUUGAGUUUUAGCUGAAAAAGGGAACAGACUAUUGGCAACAGAGGUUUGCUGUAAAUUAGAAACUCACUCAAAAAUAGUCCUGUGGUGGUUAAUUUUAUAUGUCAAUGUGGCUGGGUCCUGGGUGCUCAGACACUUAGGUAAGGAUGGUCCUGCGUGUGUCUGCAAAGGUAAUUCUGAGGGAGGUUAACAUUUGAGUCUGUAGACCCAGCAGAGCAGAUGGCCCUCUCAUCAAGGUGGGUCUCAUUCAAUCGGGUGGAAGCCUGAAUAGAACAGGAAGGCUGACCUUCCUGUGGAAGAGGGAGCUCCUGCCUUUGAGCUGGGACCUUCAUUAUUUCCUGCUUUGGUACAUCAACUGAAACAUGGGUUCUUCCUGGGUCUUAAGCCUGCUGACCUUUGACUUGGAACUACACCUUGGCUCCCCUUGGUCUCCAGAAUGCUGACUGCAGAGCUUGGGACUUGUCAGCCUCCAUUAUCAUGUCAGCCAAUUCUACAUGCAUGCACACACACACAUUUAUAUACACAUAUACAUGUACACACAUAUAUGCAUACACACACACACACACACACACAUACAUCCUGCAUGCUAUUGGUUCUGUUUCUCUGGAGAGCUCUGACUUAUAUAGUACUCUUCCCAUCUGCCUUUGACACUUUUUAAGGAAAAUCUUCAUAUUUUCCUCUCAUACAUCUUUCAGCUUUUACUGUUUACUCUUAAAUAAGGCAAAGGCCAUUCACAGAGAGUAAAAGUCACUAGCAAUAAAAUAUAUUUCAUUUGUCCUCUAAUUUUUGUUAUUUCAAGAAUUUUAACAAUUAUUAUUUUAAAUCAUAAGGAUGUGACUAUCCAGGGAAAUAAAUAAAGCAGAAAUCAUUCCUUUUCCUUUUUUUUUUUUUUAAGAACCAGGGAUUGAACCUAGGGGUGCUCAACUAGUAAGCCACAUCCCCAGCUCUUUUAAAAACAUUUUCUUUAGAGUCAGAGUCUUGCUAAGUUGCUUAGGGUCUCACUAAGUUGUUGAACCUGGUUUUGAACUCACCAUCCUCCUACCUCAGCCUUCUGAACCCCUGGGAUUAUAGGUGUGUGCACCAUGCCUAGCGGCCCCCCAUUUUAAUAAGAAACAUUACUGAGGUAUGAUUGGCAUACAAUAUUCUACUUAUUUGAAAUGAACAAUUUGAAGAAUUUUGAGAUAUGCACACACCCUUUGAGUCAUCCAUACAAUCAAUACAAAAAACAUACCAAUUGCCCUUUAUGCUUCAUCAUAAUUCAUUCCCAUUCUGCACCCCACCCAGUUCCCAGUGACCACUACUGAUCUGUUUCUGUUUUUGUAAUAGCUGGGAAAACUGAGGUUCUGAAAGACUUCAGGUGACACGCCCUGCCCUUAUCAGGGCCACAGCAGUCAGUCCAUUGUGCACUCAGGGAGGCCACCUUGAUUCAGACGGGAGGAGAGAACCAUUUGUUGAGCACCUGCCAUGUGUUACACUCCCGCCCAGAUGCCAUCUCUGUAGCUUACAGCAGGAUUGGUCCUCACUUUGGCUUUAGGGGCCUGCUCUCUAGAGAAUGUCCAAGUGCAACUCCUUCCUGAGCUCUCAUAUCCCACUGUGUUCUUGACACCUCCCCUUGGACGUUUAAACAUCUUCAUCUGAACUCACUUGAUCCAUAACUUUGUUCACAACCUUCUCCCCCAGCUCCAAUCUGUUCUUUUCCAGUCUUUUCAUUCAUUGUCUGCUCACGUCAAAACCUUCAAGUCAUCUCUGAUAAUUCCUUUCCCCUUACCUGUGACCUCUGACCCAUCGACAAGCUCCGCUGUCUUUGAGAGAAUCUUAUUCUGGCAUUUGCUUUCCAUGCCUAUUGCCACCACCCUGGUCCUGGUCACCAUUGUCUCCCACUUGGUGGCCUAAUUUCAUUCUUGCUCUGCAGUUUACAGUCACACUUCAGCCAGUGAUCUUAGGACAAAUCAGGUCAUGACACUUCCCUUCUUUAAACUCCCCAGCAGCUUCUCAUACAUGUACGCUAAUUCCACAUUCUGACUGAGCCUGGUGAAGUUCUGGGAGAGCUGGCGCCCCUGUGAACUGGUAUUGUGACCUCCUCUCCUCCACCUGGCAUGCAAACUCCUGUCUCUCUGACCUUUCCAUUGCUUGAACACAGCACACUUUUCCCUCCCUUAGAAUUAUUGCAAGUUUUUUUUUCUUGCCUAGAAUAAACCUCUCAUCUUAAGGUGGAUGAUUUCUAUUUUCUCCUAAGGAACAAAAGUGGUAGUUCUCUCCCUCUGAAAGGAUUUUGCUUAAUGACCUAUACCUUGCCUGUUGUUUCUCUUAACAAUGAGAGUAGGAACCUCCUCUGUUUUAUUUACUGACCUGUUUACUAAUAUAUUCCCAGUUCCCAAGAAACACACCUGGCAGAGACUGGAUGCCCAAUAACUUUUUGUUGAAUAAAUGAUCAAAUAACAGGCAUCUUAAUCCUCACAGUUGUGAACCAUCUUUACGGUCAAACAUUUCUCUGUUGCUCCUUAAAAAUUCAAUAAUUCUUCUUAAUUCUUCCCCGUUCAGUGUUUGGCUUGGCUUUGUGCUCUUUACACUGAUGAGAUCUUUAAAUGCUUUAAUUUCUUCAUUUUUCUGCUCCCUUGUGGGAUCUCCCCCCUAUAUCCCCCUCCUCGUACACAUACCUCCUGGGUUUGCUGAGUAAAUUCAGAAUGUUCAUCCCCGUAUCCCAUAUUCUCUUACCAAAUACCUCUUCUGUUUCAAUAAGUCUUAAAUCACUUUACAUUCCCAGUCAGAUGGUCAUCGCUCUUUCAGAUUUAACUAUAAAAUGUUACCAAAAGUGUUGUUCACUGUUCUUUCUUGUAUUUGUCAUCUUCUAUACCUUGAGACUUUGGCUUUAAUUUAAUUUUCGUUUGAUUAGCAUCCUUCCUCAAGUAUUUUCCUCAGCUAGGGGCAUGGACACAUAUUCUUUAAAUUCUUUAAUGUUUGAAGAUGCCUUUCAGUGAUAACAGCAAAGGCAAUGACAUAUACUUACAUAUGUAUAUUUAUGUGUAUGUAUGUAUACACACAAAUAUACAUAUUUAUAUAAUAUGACAUUAUUUCAUGUUAUUCCUGGGCCCAGGGUGUGGCAGACAAUAGUCAAGACCCUUGCUCUUCUAUUGCUAACAGUUUGCCUCCAGGUUUUGCUUCAGGGAUCAAUAUCCUGUCAAAUUUCAAAAGCUUCUAAAAAAGAGUAAGUACCAUUUUUUUUUUUGGCAUGCAGUUUGCUGCUGGUCCCAGGAGACCCACCAGGAAAAUAGGAAAGCUGUCCUCCACUUGACAGCUCUGCAUGGCACUCUGUCAACAUAAACUUUCCAUAUGACAACAGCAAGGAGAGAAAGUUCUGGAAAGACUUAGACCACCAUUGAGUGCUUCUUCCCUGAAGUGACACUCUUGUUUUCCCUCACAUGUCAUUGGCCAAAGAAUGUCACAUGAAGAUGCUAAACUGCAUAGCGACAGAAUAAUGCCAAUCCCCCUGAGUAUCCAGAAGGCAGAAAACUGGAAAUAUUUAUGAGCCUCCCUAGCACUGCCCUCUACCUUAGCUAAACAGUGAUGUCUUGGCAGAAUGGAAUUUGGUUUUAUUACUGUCACUAUCACCAUGCUUUCCUUUCCUGCAGGUCAGAUUCCUUCUCUGGGUUGGUACUUUUCUGUCCUAAGUCUGGUGUCAGGAGCUAGUGUGAGCCUUGGGAGUUGGCACCUAGUCCAUCAUUACUGGAGUAGCCCCUAAAGGAAAGAUGGGCUGGUAGGCUUGGGCCCAGUGGGGAGUUUGCUCUUCUGUGGGCAGAGGUUAGGUUUGCACAGAGAGCAGCUGAUGUGAUAGUGGUGUUUAAGUUUCUGUCUUGGUAUCUGGCAACCAAGAGGUGUCAGGGAGAGCAGUGUGGUCAAGCCCCGUACAAGGUGCGUUACACGUAUUUCUCGCUCUUUCCUCACGACAUCCCAGUUGCUCCCCUCAUGUUAUAAAGGUGUGACUAUGGCUCCAAGAGAAGAGGUGGGUUAGAUGGCAGAACUGGCUUGGAGGUGACCUGGGCGAUUCCAGGGUCCCUAUGCUUGCUGUAGACCACUGAUCUAUGCUCCUACCCGGCCCAUGCUAUUUAAUUUUGAGUUGGUUUUUGAAGGGGAAGCAAGAUUUCACUAGCAAAGAAGAUGUGGAGGGCUGUCCAAUUUGAGAUGCCAACACAUGAAGAGGCAGGGACUAAAUGGGAAGAGGAAGUAGUUCCCUGUGGCUGGCUUAUAAAUUAUGCAAGGGGGUUUGUUAUAGGGAAGAAAUGAGAUUUAAAAGUCAGGGUAAUGCCAGAUGGUGAAGGGUCCCGUAACUUCCAAGCUGUGAGAUCUUAGGCUUAACCUAUUUGAACCUUAGUCUUCUCUUGUGGGAAGUGGAGAUGGAAUGUCCUUUAUUGUUGUGUGUGUGUGUGUGCAUGUGUGUGUGUGCGUGUGUGUGUUCUUAUGUCCAAAGAAGUGUGUUUGUGUAUAAAGCACGUAGCAAGUGCUUAGUGAGCGUCCUCCCAGUCUCAGGAGCUAGCAGCUGGCUGGCGGGCUGGGGGAGAGCUCUGUGGCUGUCAUGGAGGGCUGGCAAUGUUUUAGCAGCUCCUGAAGCCCCAGGUUUCUUUCAAUUCCAACAACCUCUUCAUCAUUUCCAGCCAUCAGCCUCGGGACCAUUUGGUGUUAAUUACAGCAACCCAGGCUUCUCUGUGUGAAGGAAAUCGUCCCUCAUUUCUCUCAUUAAAGUAAAAUAUGACCCAUUUUUAUGCCUGCGUAUUUUGUUGCUGAGAUUACGAGAAUCAUCCUUUCUGUUUAUACAGAAUGAAGAAACGUUACACCAGGAGGGCGCCCGGGCCCCUGAGCCUUGGGGAAUAGAAAGCAGAUGUUGUCCUCACUCUAUUUUCUCUUCCAGCGCCGCUCCUGGUCUCCUCCUCUCUGUCUCUUCAUCUCAGAGGCUUAAUCCUCAUUUCAGAUCAACACAGAGUAAGCAGGCUAUAGGAGAAGAAGCCUAAGUUAUUGAGCUCUUUACCAGGUGCCAAGUCCUAUAAACAAGUUCCCCCUUUAAUUCUCCCCAGAAGCCACAGGGGUAGUUGGCAUUAAUCCCUUUUUAUUGUAUAUAUUUAAGGUAUACAACAUAAUGUUUUGAUAUAUGUGUGUGCAUAUAUAUAUAUAGUGUAUAAUGUAUAAUAUAUAUAUAUAUAUAUAUAUAUGUAUAUACGUAAUACAUAUACACAUAUGAUUUCUAUAGUCAAGUAAAUUAACUUGGCCAUUGCCUCACAUAGUCACCUUCUUUGGUGUGUGUUAAGAGCAUCUGAACUCUGCUCUCCAAGCAAAUUUUCAGCACAGUCUGCAAUCUAGCAUUAUUAGCUGCCUCCUCGCACUGGACCUUCAAACUCUGGACCUACACAUCCUGCAUUUACUGUGACUCUGUGCCCUUUGACCUAUGAAUCCUUUCUCAGUCUCAGUUUCCCUCAAAUCAAGAAUGCCCAAGUCCUGCCGCUGCCCAGGAAGUGGUAGGAAUGAAGCCAGCUCAUGACAGACGCAGCUGCGGACCUCUGUGCUCCUCCUGGAGGGUCCCCAGAGCUCAUACGUGUUGUCCUCAUCAUGCUCACCACCAGGCAGCUGGGGGCCAGCGGGGCUCAGGGACUUGUGAGAAGUCUGUUGAACUGGCAGGUGGCGGGGACUUGGAAAGGCUUCAAGCAGAGAGUGAACAACAUAAGAUGGGUGGUUUGGAAGACUCCGUCUGGUAGGAGACUGGAGAAUGGGUAGAAAGGAAGCAAGAGUAGAAGAGAUGUUAAGAAAAGCCACUCCGAACACAGAAGCAAGGUGAGGAGGUCUGUGUGCCUCUCAUUGUUACUUGGCAGCGUCAGCGACGGGUCCACUCAAGGGUUAUCCAAUUCUCUAUGGCAGGGCUGGACAAGCAUUUUCUUCUUAGAACCAGAUAGUAAAUAUUUUAGUCCUGGGAUCCAUGUGGUCUCUGUCACACUUAGCUAACGACGCCAGGGUAGCGUCAGAGACCAUAUGUAGAUUAAUGAGCAUGAGUGGAAUAAAUAAAACUUUAUGUACAAAAACAAGAGGUGGUGGCCAGCCCCUACUCUAUGGGAACGUGCUUUAGGUUGACAUUUUUUACUAUUGAUUAGAAUCCAGGCUCUCUGAAAUUAUGUGUUGAUUUGUGUAUUUUUGUCAGAUUGUGAUGCAAAUAAUUUCUAUCUGGUAGGAAAACACCCCGAACUCCAAAGGGUAUGGUUUUAUAGCCUCGAGGCCAUUAACCAGUUUUAUAUCUAACAAGAAAUCUUAUUCCAACAUUUUUUUCUGCAGUGCUUAUGUAACAUAAAUACUCAGCUCUUCCAAUACUCUCUAAGCCAUCUUUACCAUCUGGCUGGUUCCUUCAUUAAUGAGUUAAAUAAAUCUUUAACACAUGUUCCCUUUAUAUUUGUAUGACAGUCAUUUUUAUUUUAACCAUCUGAAAAUUAUACUGUACUUUAACAGAGGAGAGAUUCAAGGCAAGGCUGGAGGAGGAGUCUGGGAGGGAUACCGAGGGGAGGAGCUAGCUGAUGAGCGAGGACACUGAGGAGCAUAGAAAAAGGUAGAGAAUGAAUGGUUCCCAAGUCCAGCUUGCUAAGGCACCCAGCAAAUGACAUCGCUAUCACAGAGCCACAGAUACUGUCACAGAAUAGUUACAGAAGAGUCUCUACCUUUCAUGGCAUCUCCAGUAAUCCAUGAUUCAAUUAAAAUUCUCCCACAGGUGAACGUUCUCAGGCAGCCCAUAUAAGAUAUCCUCUUAUCUGACCACACUGGCAAAUCGCUUGUUUUACACCAUAUUUAACAGUGCCAAAAAAAAAAAAAAAAACCCACAAAAAAAACCAACAAGCUUUUUCUUGUUUUAUCAUCACUUCCUCUGGGGAUAUUAUCUGAAUUUCUUUAUUAACUCUGUUUUGAUGAGAAAGUUUGAUGACUUGGCUAAGAUUACAUAACAUAGAAGAACAGAUCCUAGAACCUGGACCUCUUGAGUCCUGGUCUAGUGAUAUUUUGAUGAACAUCUGUAAAUAACCUCAGGGGCCACUUACUAGACUACAAACUCCUGGAGGUGGGAGAUCAAGCCUGAUCUGGGUCACCAUUAUGCCUCUGGCACUUGGUAGAUGCUCACCAAAUAUUUGUUAAAUAAAGGAAUGAACAAACUCAGUUAUGGAAAAAAAAACAACAACAUUAUUUCAAAAGCCAGGAGAUCAAGGUCUGUAACUAGUAUCUCAAAAAUCUUUUCCUUUUUCUCGACCCUUUUCAUGCACUACAAGAUGAGGUGAGCUGGAGUAGGCAGCACUGGAGGUCUUCUUCUCAGUCCAAAUAGCUAGGAAUUAGGACAAGAGGGCAAUACUCACCAGGCCAAGUGGAUUUUGGAGAAAAUGAUCUUGCUGUGGAGUUCUGAGUGAGAGGUAGAGGGCAUAUUUUUGAGAUGAGAUGCUUCCUUGUCUGAGAUUAAAUUAUCACUUCUGGUGCCAAAGGUUAUUGGAUCUCUUAGACCAGAGAACAGGGGUCUUUCCUUUGUCUUAAAAUAGAUCAUGAUUAUUCCUAGACCUGGUAGGGACUCUAGGUUUGGAGGUAACACUUAUUGCUGUCACAACAGCUCAUGGCAUUUCCAACAGCCCCUCAUAGGAGCUGGAAAGGCGUGUCAGGUAAAUAGGUGUCACUGAGAACUGCCCUUGGUGGAGCCUGUCUGGGCAUGACCAUGAGGUCUGCAGAUAUAUGAUGGAAUUGGCAGCAUCCUGGCAGAGACUCAGUUUAUUCUGUAUUUUCUUUCCUCCUUCCUUCCUUCCUUGUUUCCUUUUUAUUCUUUCUUUCUUCUCUCCUCCCCGCCCCCAUUUUUUUUUUUAAAUCUCAAGUCAGUUACAUGUUACCCCUGUGACCAUGGUCAUGACUCUUUGCCUCUGAGAACCUCCACUUACUCUCUGUGGAAUACAAGGCAUUUCUGUAGAAUACAGGAAACCCUCACCCUCAGUGAGGGUCCUGGAGGGAAGAGAGGUUCUGGUUUGAGAGGUUAAGGGAGGAAAUACUGAUGGAGGUGGGCAGGCUAAGGAAUCAGCAUGGAUGCUGACGUGCCUGGCGAGGCGUCAUGGACAGAGAGUGAGAGGCUGACACUGGCCCAGCCUGGACAGUGAGGGAGGAGGACAGAACUCUGUAAAUCCACUAAGAGCUGGGGAAGGGUCUGCCCUGAGGAGCUGUGGUCAGGGAAGGGUGUAGCCUCUGCUGGAAACGUGUGCUAGGCAGGGAAGGAGCAGAAGAGGAAACUGGUACACUGCCGUCUCUUGCAGGAACCUUGGAGUGGUACAGGGCCAGGGUCCACCUCAGCAGCACCAAGCAGGGAAGAGUAGCAUUGAGAAUAGAUCUGGAAGGGGGCCGGCCAGUGACAAAGAACCCAUCCAACCUCUGAGGCCCAUUAUUACCUGACUAUAGUACAGUUCAAUGGAGCCCUAAGCCUCUCUUCCUGAGCCAAUCUCUAUAUUCCCACCAGACCACAGGAUGGCAAGUUUGUAGGGCUGUAAGAUACUUAGCAUCUCUGUCUAGGAUGCGGAAAGGUGAAAGGGUAACUGAUGACCUUUUCCAGAGGCCAAUUCAGGGUUGAGUGUCCCAGAGUGCUUUUUACUGUUUUCUAGACUGUUAACUCACUGAGGAUGGGCUAUGUCCAUACCUCCUAGCGCUAGUCUGGUCCAUACCUGGCUCUUGCUAACUACUUGUUGAAUGGAUAAAUAAAUGAAUGAGUGGUCAUAGGCUUUGUGUCACUCCCUGCCUCUGGCCUGAGGCAGGAUUGCUGGCUCCCUCGCCUGUGCAGCUUCUACACCCUGUGUGUAUGUUCUGAAUCCCCUGGUCAUGCUGCAUUAGAACAGUUGUGCCUAAGGGGCUUGUUUAGGGCAACCCGGUUUUCCCAGUUUGCCUCAGGGUCUGGCAGAGAUUGGGUGCUCAUCACAUGUUCCUUGGAUCGACUCUGAAAAUAUUGAUGGAGUUGGUCUGGCUCCAAAGAGAAGCUGUGAGCUCCGUUCCUGACUCUGGAUCAUCUCCCUCUCCUUUCCCUCUUCUCUGCCCACCCGCCCCCAGGCACCAGCUUGUCGGAAAUUCCAUCUCUUAUAUCUUGAUAUGUUAGUCCCUGGCACCUGACCUGAGCAUUCUAAUAAAUCAUUUCCUGGAGACGUGAGGUGCCCCUGGGUCUUGGUAAGGAGGUGGCUGAGUACAGCUUAUGGGAAAAGGGUUGUCCCUUUCCAAGGGCAUGGUUGAACAGGCAGGGCCCUUGUGUGUGCUGAUCUGGGCUUCAUGGUGGGGGUACAGAGGGAGAGACAUGUCCUAGCCUUCAUGAGGCUUCCAUUUGAAUGAGGAAGAUAUUAUACCUGCCUUUUUAAAAAUCACUUCUAGGAUUUUAUCAAUUUAUUCUAUAAAUACACCUGCACACCUACAACUGAACAGCUAUACAAUCUGCAUUUUCAUCAGUGGGGACUGGAGAAGGCGAGGUGUCAUGGACAGAGGGAGGAAGCCUCUGGAUCAGGACAGGGAGUGACCUCCAGAGUAGGGUAUGGAAUGACCAGAACCAAGUAACCAGUACAUUGUGUGAUUUUACAUACUGAAAAAAAGAACUUCUAUUUUCAUGUCUAGGGACUCUAGGAGGAUCUGCACUAAUAUGAGCUGUUAACUGCUAGGUGCGUGGAGGUGGAUUAGAUGGGGAGGGAUUAGAAAUCAGAUUUUCACAGCUUACCGUUUUGUGUUGUUUCAACUUUUUUUUUUCCUUUUUUUCUUUGGUGGUGCUGGGAAUUGAACCCAGGGGCUUGUACAUGCGAGGCAAGCACUCUACCAACUGAGCCAUAUCCCCAGCCCCAUCAACUUUUGAAACAUGUAGAAAGAUGACUCGAUUACCUUUGAAGUGACGGGGUAGGGAAAUGGACUGCCUGUAGGAGAAUCCAGAACCCAGUCUGAAGGUAUCAGGGAAGGCUCCAGGAGGAGGUGCCAUUUAACCUGAGUCCCAAGAGGAGACAGAGGGACAGCAGUGGAGAACUGGGGACUGCUUCUCCAGGCAGGUUGAGCAUCCCUGAAAGUCACUGAAAACCUUAAGAUGGGGAGGUUUAAGGAUCCUAAAGAAGCUCAUUGGGUGGAGACUGUAAGGUCUGGGGCUAUAGCAGGGGGGAAGGGACUGACUGCUGUUGAGGGCUGACCCUGCAGGUGCCCUGGGUUUCCCAUGCACCGGGCACCUCCCUGACCCUGCCACAUGCCUUCUUAUCCAUCCUCAUCUGAGCUGAGCACUGAUCACACUCACUUUCCAGACAGAGACAGAAGCUCAGAUGGUUAAAGUAGCUUUCCUGGUCAUGUGGUCAGUGAGUGGCAGAUGGCUGUCUAGGCCAUGUGCUCCUCUGUCUGGUCAUUUCUAAUGGGAGGUCAUCCCUAACAAGUGAUGGGUACAGGAAGCAUUUAUUCUGUGGCUGGCACAUUAUGACAGAUCCCGUGGACUGCACAUGAAGGCUCCCCAGUCCAGGGAGGUCACUUGGACCAUUCUGCAGUGUGCUGGAGAGGGCUGGUUCUCAGAACACAGAACCCAACCACCAACCUUCCUCAUUAAGAAUCACAAAGCUAUUCUGGAGAAAGGAGGGGGUAUUUCAAUGAAACCAAGCCUUCUAAAUAUAAGAUUCCCAAACCCUCCUUUUUCUGAGGCCCAGGGAAGUCCAUUUAAUGAAGUGAAGCUGAGCAGUUUGCAGUUGGUGGCCAGUUCCCUGCUGACCCUUCUGCAGGUGGUUGUCUCCUAUGUGGUCUCAGCUACUUAUCACCCCAGUUGGCUGAGGUAGACAUAUUCUAUAUCCCCAUUUUACAGACACGAAAAUUGAAGCUAAAGGAGGUUAAUUGGUUUGUGAAGGUCAUAGAGGCAGUAAACUCUGAGCCAGGACUUGAAGCCUGAUUUUGGAGGGAUGACAGAGGUUUUGCAUGUUAACACAGACCAGAUGAUUAGGCUACAGAAUAAAGAGAGUGAUUUAGCCUCAAUUCCUGGCUUGGUGAGCACACAGAGAUGGGGCUCAUAAUGUUCUAGAGGGACAACAAGGUAAUCCUUGAUUUGAGUCCUGAAACACAUGUAGCUGUUGGCUACAGGUGAAAAGAGGUGGAAGAGUGGAAAGGUAGAAGGGUGUUUCAGGAAGAAGGACAACAUUGGCAAACUUUGUAGGGAACAGUGUCUGGGGUACAUUUAGAAAGUAAAUGAUCUGACCAUUUCACCCAGGUAUCCCACUCCUUGGCAUAUACCCAAAAAGGUUAAAAUCAAUAUACUAUAGUGAUAUGGCCACAUCAAUGUUUAUAGCAGCUCAAUUCACAAUAUCUAAGCUAUGGAACCAACCUAGGUGCCUUUCAAUAGAUGAAUGGAUAAAGAAAAUUUGGCACAUAUGCACAAUGGAAUAUUACUCAGCCUUAAAGAAGAAUGAAAUUAUGGCAUUUGCUGGUAAAUGGAUGGAACUGGAGAUUAUCAUGCUAAGUGAAUAAGUCAGCACCCAAAAAACCAAAUGUGGAAUGUUCUCUCUGAUAUGCAGAUGAUCACUCAUAAUAAUCGGGCGGGGGAAGAAUAGAAGUUCAUUGGAUUAGACACAGGGGAAUGAAGGGAAGGGAGAGGGAACGGGAAUAGGAAAGACAGUAGAAUGAACUGGACAUCAUUUUCCUAUGUUCAUAUAGGAAUACAUGACCAGUGUAACUCCACAUCGUGUACAACCACAAAAAUGGGAAGUUAUAUUCCAUGAAUGUAUAUGAUAUGUCAAAAUACAUUCAACUGUCAUAUAUAACUAUAAAGAACAAAUAAAAAAAAUUUAAAAAGAGAAAGUCUGGACAGACAGGAGAGAGUAAGAGGAAGACAGGCAGUUAGCAAUUGGACUUGACUUAAAACAUGCAAAAAAGUCAUCUUUUCCUGUAGCCAGUCCUUCGUCUUUCUCUAACCUAACCACUUGGAGAGAGAAGCCACUGCAGAGUGCAUUCCCAUUUUAACCAGGUUUGCACUGAAAGGCUCCAGAUGGCUGGUGCCUCAGGGAGGAUCCUGUGUCAGGUCUGGAAGGUGUCCAAGGAGGGGUCUUCCCAGGAGGCGGCUGAGGCAUGACCCGCGCUGCUCCUCACCUCCGCCUGGUACCCCACCCCACUUGCCUUAUCAUUUACUUUGUGUCCAGUUGCUGUCCCCACACCUCAUCAAUCACCCGGGGUUCUCGGAGAAAGGCCAACUGCACUUUCAUGGAGUUCCUGUGCCUGGUGCUAACAUCAGAGAGCUGGGCCCUGUCUGAACUGAUGAUGUGGGACAGAUAAGGGCCAUUAACGCCUUUCUUAAUUACAGAACCCCAAAGCAGACCUCCGGUGAUAGACCUGCAGGGCCGGGAGAGACAUGGAGACCCAGGCCUUCUCCUGUUUUACUUAUUUUCUUCAAAUGCACUAGUUCAUGACAGCCUUUGGAAGAGUGCCUGGCUCAUAGCAAGGGCCAUGCAAGAGCUGGCUACUAUCGUUAUCAAUGCUGUCACGGUUGUAGGUGGAGAAGUGGAGGCCCAGGGAGGAUGGGGCACUUGCCCAGUUACACGUCUAGUGACAGGCUGAUCCGGGAGGGGUCCAGCCCGGGACUCUUGCCAAGACAUCCAUCUGCCCUGGGGAAUGCACUCUGGGCUUGCUUCACUCCCACAACUGACACGAGCCUGGAUCUCGGGUCAAUUCUAAGAAAAAAGUACAACAGGACUCUUUCUAUCUGAGGAGACAAGUGACAAAAGCUGUUUUGUUUUUCCAUAAAAAGUGACUUUAUUUGAUCUCAUCCCCCCCCACCCAAAACACUGUAGAUUAGGUAUCUCCAUUUUCUAGAGGAAAAAAAUGAGUGUGUACAUCUCAUGCCUAGAGACCUGGUUUUAGAAAAUGCUCAAUAAAUUUAAACGGCUGGGGCCCUGUGGGUGGGCACGUGUGUCUGGUUCGUGGAGGCGUUGCGCUAAAACCAGUCUCUCUCCCAACCCUGGCCUUUGUCUCAUCUGAGGGAGAAAUGAGGAAUGAUGGCCAGAAGGUGAGAGAAACACUAGCUGGGUGGGGCCUUACCGGGAUUAGGACCAGAGAGCAGCCAGCUGCUGGGUGGCACGAGCGUGCCUUGGGGGUCACCCAUUUGUCUUGUCCUUGGACAGUUGGGGUAAACUUGUACCUGGUCCUGGUUUUGUGAGACGCCUGCACUAUCUGCUCCCGAGAAGAAUGUCUAAACAGCAUCCAGGCAGGCCAGGCUGGCUGGAGGCUUCUGUCCCAGUCUGGGAAAGGUGGGUCACAGACAAGGGCUGACCAGGGAAGUGAGGCUGGGGUGUGACAACCAAGAACAUGGUGGCUCAGGAAGCAGCCACCAGGGCCUGUGAUGUGAUGCUAGGUCCAAGAUCCUGUCUGAGACGUGUCAAUUUUAGGGGAAGUAAAAGGCAGUUUUAUUUUAUCAGGAACUGGGCAGCUCACAAAAGGGCAUCCUGGUUAAGUGCUCUGUCUCUGCUGGAGUCAGGGUUCAAAUCCAGCCCCCACUUCUCCCACUGUGAGACCGUUAUCUUCCUCAUCUGCACAGGGGAGAAGAACAGAGUGCUGCUUCCACCUGCCUCAUACAGUAGGUGUGAAAAUUAAGAGUUAAUAUACUUAAAGUGCUCAGAACAGUGUCUGGUGUCAGACCUAUGCACAUGUUGCCGUACCUUGCUAUUCUUGAUACCUACUGUGUGUCAGAUGCUUUGCAGGCCUCCAUGUAUUGGAUUGUCACAAAUGACUUUCUCCACAGGCUGAGUGACUUGUAGCUGGGUGAGCCCUGGUUUUUUAGCCCCAAAGUCUAUACUUCCAUCUGCAUCAGGCUGUCUCCAAAUUCCUUCAGUCCCAUUGGAAAUCUCUCUCUUCCUUGAAUGUUUUCCCCUCCUCCCAUUGGAUGACAGCAUGAAGAGAUUAAUGAGAUUAUUUUCUGGGCGUCCAAACAGAGCCCAAAGUCAUCUCCUACAUUCUUUGCCAUAUGGAGUGGCCACGUGCACACGACCCCCUGGGUCAGAACUUGCGGUUGACUUCUUGUCUCCUUCUUGGCAGCUGUACAGCCAUUGGUGGGCCACGCCACCUCCGGGAGCCCCCCCCCCCACCCUCUAGAUCUGUCUUCACUGUGUUUUGGCUGAGCGGGCAGAUCACGAGGGGGAUUUUGGUAACACGGAGAGCUGCCGGCAGAUGGAGUUUGUGGAGACCGGAGGCCUUGGUCAUUGCAUGGCCAUUCCUGAGAAUGGUGCUCCAUUUAAAAAAUGGGGGAAAAAACCCCAAGCAAUAUUAUAAAGUAGAAUACGCUUUAAAGUUGAGUGACCAUCAUCUCCUUCUUUCAGUCUUGAUGGUGCGUGUCCGGGGCUACGCACUAUCACCUGGAGCCUGCAUGGAACUUCUAAUGAGGCCCAUUCUGUGGGAUGUGGGCUGGGCAAAGGUCAUAGGUUCCAGCUCUGUCACCACCUUUUGGCCAUGUGUCAUCUGAGCUCCUUGGGCAGAGCUGAAACUCAACCUUGGAGUGCCUGAGACUGCGUGCUCACGAGUCUGUCUGAAACAGAUUCACCUUCCUUCCCUUCUCCAAGAUGCUCAGAGUCUCCUAUCUCCAUACAUGACUUUUCAUAUCCCUUGACUGGCAGGACCACCCUCUCCUGCCCCCCACUUGGCCACAGGUCUCUGCAUUUGCUCAAUGCAUGGUUCAGGCUCAAGAGUGUCUGGGCAGCAUCACUCCCUCCUCUGUGAACUCUUAUUCUUUGAUGUGUACAGGCCUAGAUCCACUGAGCCUAGAGCCACAGAGGCCCAGGGGAAUAGAAGCAUAGGGCUACAGAGUUAGAGUUGUACCCAGGGUGAAUGGUGUGUCCUGGCCACGAAAGGGAUGAGAGCCCAGUGACCUGAGCUGCAAGCAGCUCAGACUCCUCUGAUCUGAUGAUGACCCAAAUAACCCAGUUCAGAGUUCAGAGCCUGGUGUGCAACAGGUACGUAUGAUGAAAGGAUCAGAGAGUAAAACGGAGCUGGGCCUGGGCUUUCAGUUUCCCCUGAGUAUACUCACAGGUAUCCAUUCUUCCCUCACUCAUUCUGUUCUCACUUCAUGUCUGAUCUCCCCUCCUUUGAUGGUGAGCAUCGGGGUUAGCUUGUGUCUAGUUUCAGGGUCUUCAGUACUAGCAAAUAAUAGGUGCUCAAUAAAUAAUGAAGGGAUGAACGAAUGACUGGGUACUACCUUUUAUUCCCUUAAGACUGCAAACAAGAGGAGCAAAGCCAUGGGGUGGAGCUCACCCUGGUGAGCUCGGUCACGCUCUCCCUACUGCACAUGGUCUGUUUUGCAACUCCAGGCUGUAUGAAAAGAGCAUUCUGGGAAGAGCGUGUUGGGAGUCAUUUGCAGACCUGUCAGCAGCGUCGGCUGCAGAUACAGCUGGCUGCAAACUCCUCACAAGACAGAACAAAAACAUAUUGGUCUGGAAUAGUCAUUUUUUUCUUGCUCAACUUACUCUGUUUGCCCACAGUAAAAUCGUCUCUUAAGCAGCCAAUAAGAUCCCUCCUCAUUGGAGGAGGAACAUUAACAGGGGCUCAUUCAAGGCUAAGUGGAGCAAAAUGUUUCCUAAAGCUUUCCUCAUUUAAGGAAGAGCACACAAAGUGUCAGAAUUCAGUAAAUUGCUCAAAGUCAUGUGACUAAUGAGCUAUUGGGCUUUUAGCUACAAUUUAUUGAGCACUUACUGUGUGGUAGACACGUAUAUAAGUGCCUUACAUCCAGUAUUAUAUUUAAUCCUGGCUAAAACAAAUUUACAGGUUUGGGUUUUAUUAUUCCCAUUCGAAAGAGGAGAAACUGAGGCUGAGAGAUAAGGUAACUUGCCCUGGGCUGCCUCAUUAGAUAUGGGCAGAGCCGGAGCCUUGUGCCAUACUCCUCAGUCAGCAGAACACGUACAUCAGGAGUGCCUCUGUUGCUGUUAAAAAGAAAAAAAAGUCUCCCCCAGAACCCUCCCCCCCUUGAGAUGCCCAGUUUGAACCUCUGUAUUCUAAAGAAGCUCCCUGAGGGAUUCUGAUGCACCUCCCUGCUCGAGAACCUCGGCAUUGACCAUACACCCUCUCUGAGCUCCAGGUUUUCUUAUUUGUAAAAUGGGGGCCACUGGGACCCAGGGCUUUUUGCAAAGAUCCAAAAGAGCUUAUGCCUGGAAAGGGCCCCCUGCGCCGUGCUGCGUGCAGGGGUGCUCAGUAAUUGCUGACUUCCUUGUCCCAGCAACCAAGGAGCGCCGGGAGGGCUUUGGGUCUCUUGUGUGUGUACAUGACCCCACUUUGCCAAAGACCCAGAACACUGUUUUCUGGGCUUUGGGGUUCAGUUUCCUGAUUGUUUGUUAUUAUUCUUAAUAGAAUUCAGGAGAAGGCCACAAGUGGGCCAGACAUCUGUGAUAAAUCUGCUGGAUUUUUACAGGAAAGACUUCCCAAGUUCACUGUAUUCUAUAUUUCUUGCUUUUCUUUCCAGCUACCACAUAGCCAGGAAAAUAUCUUGCUUGAACUGAGAGGGGGAAAAAAAAUAAAACAGCCCAUUAUCCUCUGGUGAAUGUCAACUUAGGAAAUACGAGUGUUAUGUUAUAUUGCAGAGUGCAAGGACUUUGGAUCCCUCUUUCUGAAACACUCAUCUGAAAGGCAAAGGGAAUAUUUAUCGUAUACCUUUCUUGUUACAGAUCCUGCAUCAAGUGCUUCGCAUAUGUUAUCCCACGUUGCUUGUCUCUCAUGGGGAUGGGAGGGGAGAUAUGGUUGCUCUUUUACAGAUGAGGAAACUGAGGUUCAGAGAGUGGACAUGACAUGACCAAGGCCUGCAGUCAGUGAGCUGGGGGUUAUACCAGUUGAUCUGGCUUCAAACUGUAUGGGCUUCUCUGUAUCACCACUGUCUGUCUCCACUAUUUCCCAAUAACCUUAAAUUAAUUCCAUGAUAAAAGCAAACAACAUUUAAAAGAUCAUCCUCAAGAAAGACAUCUUUCUAAAAUAUGACAUUCUCACUAGGCUCUGGAUUCCUAAGGCUUGACACCACCAAUUGUAUAUAAUGCAGGGAAUGACUGUUGAUGGAGACAUGGAUAGAUAAACCCACCUCUACUGGUUUUCUUUUUAAAAAUAUAUUUUUAUUUUUAGUGGAUGUAGAAUAGUUGUACAUAUUGAUGAGGAAUGGUGCAACAUUUCAACACGUGUAUAUAAUGUGUAAUGAUCAGAUCAGAGCAAUUGGUGUAUCUAUUGCCUGAGACGUAUCUCAUUUUUUUGUGCCGGGACAUCCUCCUUACCAGCUAUUUCAAAAUACUCAAUCAAUUACAGCUACCUUUCAUUGUCUUGCUGUGCUAUAGGGUGUCAGAAGUUAGUCUUCCUAAGCAGCUGCAACCCUGUACCCAGUAAUCAUCCUUUCUCCAUCUGCCUAGUGUUCUAAUAAGGUAGGAAAGAGGGAGAUUUGACAGUGUGAAGAUGGAAGGAGAGACUGGAGUGCUGGAUCUACAAGUCCGGGAAUGCCACAGCUUGUUAGCGGUCACCAAAAUCCCAGAGAGGCUUGGGAUGCAGCUUCUGAAAAAAGGAACCCAUGGCGCCAACACCUUGAUUUCAAACUUUUGGCUCUCAGAACUAUGAGAGAAUAAAUUUUGGUAAUUUGUUACAGCAGAAUUUGUUUUCCUAGAAGCAAACACAUCUAUAAUACAGAUUUUUUUUUAAUCCUACAGAUCAGAGAAUAGGCUGAGAAGAAGUUUAUGACUUUGUCCAAGUUUAGAGAAUUUGCAAUUGCUGCAGUUUGGUUUGUCACCAGCUCCAGGCUGGGCUUCCUGGAGAAGCAACCUGUGUGGCUGUCCAUGGCCUUGACCUCAGGAGAGCUUUUGCUUAGUUUAAUGUCCUGCUUUUGUCUCAUUGGAAUUCUCAAUAAUUUUUGAAGAAGUGGCCCUGCAUUUUCAUUUUGCAUUGAGGCCUAAAAAAUCAUGUAGCUGGCCUCUGGUUUCAGACUUCAGCUUUUCCCUUCAUAGACAGCACCACAGUUCACACACAUCCUCAGUCUCCCUCCACCCCUGCCCCUGCCACCCAGCCACAACCUCCCAAUCAGACUCUUCUUGUGGUAGGCUGAAAAAUGAUCCCCAAUAGAUGAUCACAUCUGAUCCCUGAUAUGGUAAGGGGGUUACCUGAUAUGGUAAGGGGGACUUGGCAGAUGGGAAUGAGGAUCCCGAGGUAGGGAGAUCAUGCUGGGUGCUUUGGCCGAGCAGAUGUAUUCACAUGCUCCUUAUAAAAGGACACAGGAGUCAGAGUCAAAGGAGAAGGUCACAGGAUGACAGAACUGGAGAUGGGAAUGGUAUGAUUUUUCAGAAGGAGAGAGAGGCUGCUGACCAAGAAAUACAUGCGUCCACUAGAAGUAAAUGGCAAGAAAAGAUCUGGAAAAGAUCUGGAAAGAUCUGGCCCAGCUGACAGUUCAACGUUAGCCCGCCCAGUGCAACUGAGUUUCAAGUUCUGACCUUCAGAAUAUAAAAGAAUAAAUCUGUGUUUUAAGCUACUAACUUUGUGGUAAUUGGUUAUAGCAGUCACAGGAAACUAAGGUGCUUUUGCCUCCAGGACUGUCUCUUACAUUCACCUUUAAAUCUGCUAAAGAAAAAUAAAUCAUUCAGGCGGUAUUGGAGAAGAUAAAUAGAGCUCAGGUUCAGCAGAAAAACAUUCAAAACAUUUACAUAAUAUUAUCUAAUUGUAGAAAUCACAGGUUCUUGAAAUCAUAAAAGCAAGACACCCCCACCCUUUUCCCAAUGCUCAUUUAUUAUGCAGUGGCAAAGAUUCCAGUGUGUACAGUUAAAUUACCAAAAUAAUUUAAAUGAUGCAAUAAUUACUAGUGUAGAAAUAAAUGAAAAGAGUAUUUUAAAAGUGAAGCCUCUUAAAAAAACUCUCAAUACUUCUGUUUUAAUCGUUCAUUAGUCUGAAAGGAAACAUUGUUUUGACAUUUGUGUCAUUCAGUGGUUAGAUUUCUGCCUAAUACUUUAAAACUUAAAUAUUAAAAGAUUGUUUUAAACAUGAAUUUAAUCAACAUCUUUUUUUAGGGAAAAAAAAGACGAGAGAAUAGCAAUCAUCAAAAUUUUAUAACACCAAACAAAUACAACUAUGAUAAAAACCAAAAGAGACAUCACAGUCUUCUUUCCUUGUGUGGCUCUCAAAGUUACUCCUUGUCACCUAGCCUUUGCCUGGUGUUCCUCCAACAUCUGCCAGUGGCCCAGCCCUCUGUGAAAAGGGGUGCAGCUGAGAAAGCAUGAAUUUCAGAUCAAAUUCUAUCCCAACAUUUCCUGCCUGUGUAAGGUUGGGCAAGUCACUUAAUUUGUCUCGGUCCUAUUAUGUCCGUUUCACAAAUGAGGAAAUUAGUCCUCAAGGCUGGGUCACAGAGGAAAUGAACCCUGGCAGGCAAGAUGCUCUCUGCACAUUGCAGGUGUUGGAGAUGAUGUUAUCCAGGAUUAAUUGCUGUCUCCUCUUCCUUUCAGGUAGCAGCAAACAUAUUCUGACUCACUGCCAUGUUGUUAAGGUUUUAAAAAGUUAGUUUUCGGAUUUCUGAGUAGGUAUUCAAUGCUCCUUGCAGCUAGUGGUCUGUAGAGACAAAGCCUGGGUGAACUCAGGCCAUGAAGUUUCUGCCCUCAACAACUGAGUACCCAGGAAUGAAGCCUGUUCUUGUAUGAGAAGAACUCAAACCUUUCUGCGCUGGUAGAAAGAUGGAAAAGUUGGGGAGAACUGAGUCUCUGGUUUGAGACUCACUCUGUUCCUCUUGGAGGCUUCCAGCAGUGGGCAAAAGAAUCCCCGGAUGGAUUUGAUUCUGACUUCCCAGGAAACAGGCCUGGGGGCCUCUGCCCAACAUCUGGCUCACGUUCUUACCCCACUGGAUGAGUGGAUUAAAGAUGGCAGUAUAGAACAAAUAAGAGGACAUUUGGUCAGCUUUUUAAACUGAGCCCAAAAUAACAGUGGGUUCAAAUGAAAUCAAAGGUUUGUUUCUCUCACAUGAAAGUUUGGGUUGGUAGGUGGUCCAAGAGGAAGGGCAGCUCCGUUCCCUAAGUCAUCUGAGGACCUGGUUCUUCUUUUACUUCUUGUUAUUCCCCUAUUCAUUAGGGUGUUGGUUUGGUCUGCCCAGCUUCAGUGAGCCCUCAUCUGCCUCAUCGGUACUUUGGGGAGCCUGAAGGGAAAGAGGCCAAAGGAGACCACCUGCUUCCAUUUCAGGGCAUGUCCAGAUGUUUCCCACACGACUUUUUCUCAUAGCCUAUUGGCCAGAAUAUUGUCGAACUGUUAUUCAUUUCUUCAAGCAAGAAAUUUAAUCUCUAAUCACACAGUCAUGAGAAUUGCUAUAAUGCAUGGGACCAUCAUGAACAGAAAUUGGGAUCCAAUGGACACUGGGGACAGUUAGUAACCAUGCUACAGACAGGAUUAAAGAUGGCAGUACAGAACAAAUAACAGGAUAUUUGGUCAGCUUUUUUUUUUUUACUUGGAAGAACACAUAUUUUACUGCUGUAGCAGUUAGGGCUCAAUCAAGGAGAUAGAACCAUUGACUUUUAUGGUAGAGGGGAUUUCUUUUUGAAAUGUUAAAUUGGAUUUAUGUUUUGCUUAAAGAUGUCUCCAUACCUAGUUUAAGUUUGGAUUAAAAGUUUUCUCUGUAUUAGUGAGCCUUAACCUAACUUGGUGUAUAAACAGACUAUAUCCUGGAGUAUAUAUACUCUUGCAAAAAGUAGCUAAGUUUCAACCAAUCAUAGCAUCUGGACCUGUAGCCAAUCAGAGGCCGUAAGCUGCCAGCAAACGCACGCUGUAACCAGUCAGGUUGUUUUGUAGGUUACUUCUUUCUCUCUGGUUCUAAAUAAGCCUGCACAAGUGGAGGGGUGGAACAUUCUGAACCAUUUCAGUCUAGACUGCUGCCUGGUUCAUGAAUCACUUCUUUGCUCAAAUAAACUCUACUAAAUGUACUUUGUCUCAAGUUUUACUUUAAAAAGAAGAAUUUAAAUAAUUGUGUGAGAAGCUGGGGAAAUAAUUCUGUAUAGGGCAGUUGAAGAAACAGAAAAAAAAAGAAAAAGAAAACCUUGAAUGGACCCUUCUGAGACUCCUUCAGGUGGACAAGUGAGGGAGAAAAGAACAAGUUAGAAUCUGCAGCAUGUUUGUAACUGUGCUUCACCUCAUCUAAAUAGGACAGCCUCAACGGAGCAAGCUCUAACUUCUAAACCUUGCAUAAAAUCUUUUUGGCCAACUCUAACCUGAAAUUGUACCAGAUGUUUAAUUCUGGGAAAUAUAGUUCCAGCUUAGUCAAGCAGACACAGUUACAAACUACACAUCUGUGUUGCUGAGAGUGGAAGACAUUGAAGUUGGGCAGAUGGGGGACUGUGAGGCUGGCAUAGGAACAAGAGCAAGUUCUGCAUGGACUACUUGAGUAAAAUUGCAAUGGAUGCUGCAGCCGAGGAUGACAUGUGAGACCCAGGUGUGCCUCACUGACUCUCUCCCCAGUGCCCUGCCACUUGGCAACUAUGCAACAAUAGAUCUAACUAUAACAGUCCUAGUGCAAUACUUCUCUGCUAGAAAUAAGGGGCAAUCUUGGGAACUGAAAAGCAGUCUUGGGAGAGAGAAAAUCCUGAAUUAGGGGGGAAAAAUCUCAAAUUAAUCACAUUAGGAUUUCUGCUCUUGGGUAGAACAUGUUUAGAAUAGAAAACAAAGUGCUGGGUAGAAACACAUGUUACAUUUCUUAUAUCCUUGAAUAGGUAUAGUGAGGAAUUCUCCUGUGCUAAAUAGGUACUCAAACAUCUUAUUUGCUUCUUUCUUAUGCUAGGUCUACAAGGCAUAGGUCCUCCAAAUUAAAAAAUGUGAUUGUUCCCUCCAUGGACCUGGUUCUGGACUGGAUUGAUUCUUCUCCAAGUUAUGAGAUAAUCAGAUGAUAGUCCUAUUCUGAAGGGAACACUGCUCCCCAAUUGUGUAAAGACAGAUUAUACACACAGAAUUAUCUGACUAUAAUGCUUAAUCAUGCUGAUAAAAACAUGAGCCUUCUGAAACUGUAUGGAGCAGGGAUCUUUGGGGCUUCAAGUGUUAAAGAUUACUUAGUUGUGCUUCAACUCAGUUGGUGUCUUCACCGACACUCUUUCCCGGGUCCUUCUCUUGUUUAGAUUGCAGAGAAACACCUUCCUUUAGCCCUUUGCUGCUAUCGUAGUUUCCAGUGUAACAGAGUGCCCCACACUGGGGCUUAACACAAUAUUCAUUUAUUAUCUCAUAUGUCUAGAAGCCACAUGUCCAUAAUUAAAGUGUCAGCAGGGCUGUGCUCCUUCAGAUAGCUCUGGAAGGAUCCUCCCCUGCCCUUGGUAGCUCCUGGUGCUCCUGCAGUGUUCUGUGUGCCUUGGCUUUAGACACAUCACUCCAAUCCCUACCCUCAUUGUCACAAGGCAUUAUCACAGCACAUGUCCCUGUCAUGUCCACAUCUCCUGUCACAUGGCUUCUUAUAACAAUACCUGUCAGGCGGGUGGACCAAUGGUACAGAAUAGAGGACACAGAAACCAAUCCACAAAACUACAACUACCUUAUAUUUGAUAAAGGGGCUAAAAGCAUGCAAUGGAGGAAGGAUAGCAUCUUCAACAAAUGGUGCUGGGAAAACUGGAAAUCCAUAUGCAACAAAAUGAAACUGAAUCCCUUUCUCUCGCCAUGCACAAAAGUUAAUUCAAAAUGGAUCAAGGAGCUUGAUAUCAAAUCAGAGACACGCCGUCUGAUAGAAGAAAAAGUUGGCUACGAUCUACAUACUGUGGGGUCGGGCUCCAAAUUCCUCAAUAGGACACCCAUAGCACAAAAGUUAAUAACUAGAAUCAACAAAUGGGACUUACUCAAACUAAAAAGUUUUUUCUCAGCAAAAGAUACAAUAAGAGAGGUAAAUAGAGAACCUACAUCCUGGGAACAAAUCUUUACUCCUCACACUUCAGAUAGAGCCCUAAUAUCCAGAGUAUACAAAGAACUCAAAAAAUUAGACAAUAAGAGAACAAACAACCCAAUCAACAAAUGGGCCAAGGACCUGAACAGACACUUCUCAGAGGAGGACAUACAAUCAAUCAACAAGUACAUGAAAAAAUGCUCACCAUCUCUAGCAGUCAGAGAAAUGCAAAUCAAAACCACCCUAAGAUACCAUCUCACUCCAGUUAGAUUGGCAGCCAUUAUGAAGUCAAACAACAACAAGUGCUGGCGAGGAUGUGGGGAAAAGGGUACACUUGUACAUUGCUGGUGGGACUGCAAAUUGGUGCAGCCAAUUUGGAAAGCAGUAUGGAGAUUUCUUGGAAAGCUGGGAAUGGAGCCACCAUUUGACCCAGCUAUUCCCCUUCUCGGUCUAUUCCCUAAAGACCUAAAAAGAGCAUGCUACAGGGACACUGCUACAUCGAUGUUCAUAGCAGCACAAUUCACAAUAGCUAGACUGUGGAACCAACCUAGAUGCCCUUCAAUGGAUGAAUGGAUAAAAAAAAUGUGGCAUUUAUACACAAUGGAGUAUUACUCUGCAUUAAAAAAUGACAAAAUCAUAGAAUUUACAGGGAAAUGGAUGGCAUUAGAGCAGAUUAUGCUAAGUGAAGCUAGCCAAUCCCUAAAAAACAAAUGCCAAAUGUCUUCUUUGAUAUAAGGAGAGUAACUAAGAACAGAGUAGGGUCGAAGAGCAUGAGAAGAAGAUUAACAUUAAACAGGGAUGAGAGGUGGGAGGGAAAGGGAGAGAGAAGGGAAAAUGCAUGGAAAUGGAAGGAGACCCUCAGAGUUAUACAAAAGUACAUACAAGAGGAAGUGAGGGGAAGGGGAAAAAUAAUAUAAGGGGGACAAACGAAUGUCAGUAGAGGGAGCAGAGAGAGAAGAGGGGAGGGGAGGGGAGGGGGGAUAGUAGAGGAUAGGAAAGGCAGCAGAAUACAACAGACACUAGUAUGGCAAUAUGUAAAUCAAUGGAUGUGUAACUGAUGUGAUUCUGCAAUCUGUAUAUGGGGUAAAAAUGGGAGCUCAUAACCCACUUGAAUCAAAUUGUGAAAUAUGAUAUAUCAAGAACUAUGUAAUGUUUUGAACAGCCAACAAUAAAAAAUUAAAAAAAAA